This 107194-nucleotide long non-coding RNA is filed under the name Citrus maxima (pomelo). RNAcentral describes it as "long non-coding RNA (CMAX_LNC000240)". The record is from RNAcentral. Lineage: Eukaryota; Viridiplantae; Streptophyta; Magnoliopsida; Sapindales; Rutaceae.
AGAUGAAAGACCUACUGAGCGAACAGUAGUAGGCUUGCAAUCACAACUUGAACAAGUCUGGAGAUGUCUUGUAGAAGAAUCAGCGGGAAUCAUUGGCCUAUAUGGUAUGGGCGGUGUUGGUAAAACUACACUACUGACCCAUAUCAACAACAAAUUUCUCGAGAGUCCAACCAACUUUGAUUGUGUGAUUUGGGUUGUAGUUUCAAAAGACCUGCGACUCGAAAAAAUUCAAGAAGAUAUUGGGAAAAAGAUAGGUUUGGUUGGUGAUUCAUGGAAGAGUAAAAGUGUAGAGGAGAAAGCUGUCGACAUCUUCCGGAGUUUAAGAGAGAAGAGAUUUGUAUUGUUGUUAGAUGAUAUAUGGGAGCGGGUUGAUUUAACAAACGUGGGCGUUCCACUUCCCGGACCAAAAAAUACUACCUCAAAAGUCGUAUUCACAACCCGUUUCAUCGAUGUUUGUGGUAGCAUGGAAGUUGACAGGAAGUUUCAAGUAGCAUGCUUAUCAGAAAAGGAUGCUUGGGAACUGUUUCGAGAAAAAGUUGGGGAAGAAACUCUUGAGAGUCAUCAUGAUAUCGAUGAGCUAGCCCAAAUUGUGGUCAAAGAGUGUGGUGGUUUGCCACUCGCACUUAUUACUAUUGGUCGAGCUAUGGCCUACAGAAAGAAAGCGGAGCAGUGGAGACGUGCAAUUGAAGAGUUAAGGAGAUCAGCUUCAGAGUUUGCAGGUUUGGGAAAAGAGGUGUAUCCUCUUUUAAAAUUCAGCUACGAUAGUUUGCAGAAUGAUAGUUUGCAGAAUGAUACGGUUAGAUCUUGUUUCUUGUACUGUUGUUUAUAUCCUGAAGAUUAUGUCAUUCCUAAAUGGGACUUGAUUGAUUGUUGGAUUGGUGAGGGAUUUUUUGGGGAAUCUGACAGGUCUGGUGCAGAAAACCAAGGAUAUGACAUUUUGGACACUCUUGUUCGUGCAUGUUUAUUAGAAGAGGUGGAAGAUGAUAAAGUAAAAAUGCAUGACGUUAUUCGUGAUAUGGCUAUAUGGAUAACUUGUGAAAUUGAGAAGGAGAAUAGAAAAUUUUUGGUUUGUGCAGGUGCUGGAUUAAAAGAGGCACCGGGUGUUAAAGGAUGGGAAAAUGUGAGAAGAUUGUCAUUGAUGCAAAACCAAAUUGAAACUCUGUCAGAGGUUCCCACAUGCCCUCAUCUCCUCACUUUAUUUCUUGACUUUAAUUAUAAUUUGAGGAUGAUCGCGGAUGGCUUCUUCCAACUUAUGCCUUCUCUCAAAGUUUUGAAGAUGUCACUCUGCCGGAAUUUAACUUUGAAAUUACCUUUGGGGAUGUCAAAGUUAGGUUCACUGGAACUUCUCGAUAUUUCAUAUACCUACAUACAAGAGUUACCACAAGAGUUAAAGUUGUUGGUAAAUCUGAAAUGUUUGAAUUUGAGGUGUACACACAGGUUAAAUAAAAUUCCACGGCAACUAAUAUCAAAUUAUUCAAGGUUACGUGUGUUGAGAAUGUUCGCUAGUGGCUGGUUCAAUUUUCAUGAAGCAUCAGAAGAAAGCGUUUUAUUUGGUGGGGGUAAAGUUUUGAUACAGGAAUUGCUCGGUUUGAAAUAUUUAGAGGUAUUGGAGUUGACCUUGGGAAGUUAUCAUGCUCUCCAAAUUCUUUUGAGCUCAAAUAAGUUAAAAAGUUGUAUUCGAUCUCUUUACCUCCAUUUGACCGGAGAUACAGCGUCAAUUAUUGAUGCUACGGCUUUCGCAGAUCUAAACCACCUCAAUGAAUUAUGGAUUGAUAAUGGUAUUGAGUUGGAAGAAUUGAAGAUUGAUUAUACGGAGAUAGUACGAAAAAGGCGGGAACCUUUUGUUUUCCGCAGCCUUCACCGUGUUACCAUAUAUAGUUGCAGUAAAUUGAAAGAUGUGACAUUCCUCGUUUUCGCUCCAAACCUCAAGUCUCUUACGCUAUUCAAUUGCGGUGCUAUGGAAGAAAUAAUCAGCGUCGGAAAAAUUGCUGAGACUCCUGAGAUGAUGGGACAUAUAAGCCCUUUUGAAAAUCUCCAAAGGCUUAAUUUAAAAGAUUUGCCAAAUUUGAAGAGCAUCUACUGGAAGCCAUUGCCUUUUACUCGUCUGAAAGAAAUGGCGGUACUUGGGUGCGAUCAGCUUGAAAAGCUUCCGGUCGAUUCCAACAGUGCAAAAGAGCGUAAAUUUGUAAUUCGUGGAGAAGAAGACUGGUGGAACCGACUUCAAUGGGAGGAUGAAGCCACUCAAAUUGCUUUUCGUUCCUGUUUCCAACCUUAUUCCUGAGCGGUGGUCGCAAAAUUUGAUUUCUGGUGAGUGCGUUUUUCUUUGAACUCUUGUACAUAUUCUUGUCGUUUGCUUCACGCAAAACACUAGGUCUUUUCUUCAGUCCGUUACCUACACGCAAAACACUGGUUCUUUUCUCUGUUUUUAUUUCAGUUAGUUUCUCUCUCUCUCUCUCUCUCUGUGUCUUCUGUAAAUCACAAUUAAAUGUUGAAUUAAUGGAAUUAAUGCUUCAUAAAUUUGCCGGCACUGCCGUUACUUUAUUUUAGGGGGGUCGAAUUGGUGCUCUGGUUUUUUACUUUUUGCUGUCAAAUUUUGGCCUUUUUUUUUUUUUUAACAAGUUGAUACUUUAUUUAUAUCUUCUUAGCGAUUUAAUUUCCUGUCAAAAGAGGAACGAGAAGAACAUAUGACUUAAACCAAUGCUCGCAUAAACUUGCUGUAAAAAGAUGUAAUCUCACUGAAAUGCACACGUCUAGAAUGAAUAGAAUUAAAACAGGGAAAAUAUUAAGUAUAUUAGCCCUCUUUACCGAAAAUCAAAUGACAAUAAAUUUUUGGAAGUUUUGAUUUUCUACGGUCAAUUCGACCUUUUGCAAUUUCUUCUGUUCUAACAAAAACCAAAUUCUUUGUUCAAGUAUUUUCGUUUGGGUAUCAAGGAUCUCUAAUCAAUAGCUGGAAGCAAUUCAGAGGGCGCCGAGACCCGAUCCGACCUAGGCCCAAGUUUGGUCUUAAAGCCUGGGCUUGAGCCUGACAAUUAAAUUAAAACAUUAAUUGAUUUAUUGAUUGAAUUGUCGUGCAAUUGAUUUAUGGGGGAUGAAAAUUCAACAUACUUGAAAAUACACUAAUCUUAGCAUCAUCGGUUAAUAACUUUUAGAUUUAUGGGUAAUCAAUAGUUAAGAUCAGUUGUCAUUUAUUUUUUGAAAUGUCCAUAUUCAGUGUACAUUUGAAAAAGACCCAAUAAUUUCUCAUAAAUUUCAAUUAAAAAUAUUCAAUUUGUUAUUUCAGUUCUUUUAUUUUUUAUUUUUUCCAACAUGAAAGCGACUUAAUGUUACUAAAUUGAAGCCGCUGCCCCGCCUGUGGUUCCAAACUUUUAUCUUCCUCCUCCUUUAAAUUAAUGCGAGCAGCCUCCGUCCUUGACUAGUUGACUUCUUUUCUUCUUUUUUAAUUAAUUAAUUAAUUAAUUCAGCCGCCCACCUUUCUUUUCCCAAUGUCUUCUACUUUCGAUUUCCUUUUAUUUUCUCUUUAUUUUUAAAAUAUGCUUAUAGUAAUAAUAAAAAAUAAAAAUAAAAAUAAAAAUAAAAAUGAACAUAUUAAAAUAUAAUUUAUCAGAAAACCAAGAUAAAGAAAUAUUAUAAGCACAUCAAUCAAAAAGUGAAAAAAAAAACAAUUUUAAUUUACAUUAAAUAUAAACUUUCAGUGUUAAUCAACUUUUCUAAAUAACUGAAAUUAUUUAAAAUAAAAAUAAAUUAUUCUUCCCAAAAAAACAAAAAUUACACCCACUCUUGGCUGUAUGUCAAGAUUCGCUUUAAGGACUGAAGUUGGUAACUUUUGCAAGCAGUCUUAAAUUGAAUGGCAGCAACCCACGCUUUCAGAUUUAUGGUUAAUCAAUAGCUGAGAGUUGUUAUCGCUAAUGCCGUGUAUUUUUUUUAAUGUUUUUUCUCUCUCCUACAGCAUCUUCUAGGAAAGUGCAUCCGUUGCUAAAAUUUAGUAUUGUAAAUAAUAAACCAAGAAUAAAUAUUAAAUUUAAGAAACUGUAUUGCAUUUAAUAUUUAAGGGAGAAAAAUAAUUGUAGUGUCUUUAUUAAUCAGUAAAAAGAAAAGAUUAGAAUCAUAAUAAAUUGUAUUGUUAUUGAUGUAUUUAUUUUAUUUUAUACUCAAAAUAAAUUAUUUUAAAUUAUUAAAAUAUUAUUAUUGUUAUUCUAAUAAUAAUUAUUAUUUAAUAUUUAUUAAAAUAUUUGUCAUAUUACUAAAAAAGCAAUAAUAAUAAUGAUAAUAUUGGAAUUGUUGUUUUUUAUCUUAUUAUUAAUCAAAACACUUCUGGUUAGCCCAUUCAUACGUGAAGACCAAAACCAAAUCUCUUCUUCUCCUUCUUUUCUUAAAAUACGGGAUGUGUGUGCUCGGACUGCUCUCUCAUUCUUAAAACAAGACUUUUUGAAUUAUCCAAUUAAGUUAAAUUCUGUGGCAUCUGGUAUUUUCAUUUCUUGUUUAUUUCGCAAGUUAUUAUUGCCUAAUGCUAUGUCAACUCUAACAUUAGCAUAUAUAUUUUUUUUUUGGUCGUCUUUUAACACCAAACAUUAGUGUAGGUUAAGUAACAUAAUCAGUACUGGGACAAUUUGAAAUCCCUUUGUGUUUUAUUCACAGUAUCUAUGAGGGUUUAUCCUUUUGCUAGAACAAACUCUAGCAAAUUGUCAAAUGUACUUAUCCUUUCGCUUGAUGACUCAUUUUAAAAUUGUCUUUCAAUGUACACACACAGAGAUAACCACCGACAUCAAGCACCAAGUUUGGAAUUUAAUUGAUAAGCAUACAUUUGAUAAAUUAAUGAAAAGUUUGGGAGAAUAGUUUUGAUCACCCUCGAUUAGGAUGGUAUCACGAAAAAGAUCAAAAAGAAAACAUCGUCUCUUCUUCAACAAAAAUAAAUAUUUUCCGUUAGAAUUUAAAUAAAAUAAUUAUUUUUUUAUUUUUUGAAUUAAAAUUUAAUUAAAUACACAAAUAAAUUAUAUAUUUUUAAAAAAAAAUUUACACCCAGUCACAAGGCUGGCUAUUAAACUUAAAGGGAAGCUUCGGAGACUAAAGUUGGUAACAUCUCCAAGUGGUCUUAAGUUGACCGGAACUACCCCGACUUUAUGUUUGGUAGCCUAGACCUGAUCGGACCUAGGCCCAAGUUUGGUCUUAAAGUCCACAAUUAAAUUGAUUUGUUAAUUUAAUUGUUGUGUAAUUGAUUUAUGGGGAAUGAAUCAGCAUCCCUAAAAUUACACUAAUCUUGACAUAAUGACAUCAUCGGUUAAAAACGUUCAGAUUUAUGGCUAAUCAAUGGUUUGAGAUUUGUUAUCAUUAAUGCUAAAUAUUUUUUAACAUUUUUUCUAUCUCUCUCUCCUGAAGGAAUUUUCUAAGAAAAUGCAUCCACAACACAAAUUUUAAGGAUCACACUAUGUUACGUUAAACGUAACGUACACACACUCACAGCAACAGUAACAGGUCACGUCUUGUUACUGUUGCUGUGAGUGUGUGUAUAUUACGUUUAACAUAACAUAGCAUAGGCCAAAUUUUAAAUUGUAAACAAUAAACAAAAUAUAAACGUUAAAUUUAAGGAACUGCGUUGCAUUUCAGCUGAAGCUAACUUUAAUAUUUUACGAAAAAAAAUAAUUAAAUCUUUAAUGUGAUUUAUUUAUUAAUAUAUAUGACUAAUUUUUUAAAAUAAGAUGCAGGAUGAAACUUAAAAAUAUAAAUUAUAGAAUUAAUUUCUCUCUUCAAUAAAUCUAAAGUUUAUUUUUUUUAUUACAUGCUUCUAUUUUAUUUUUAUUCCAUGUUAAUGAUUGGAGAUUUAAAUCCAUUUCGGAUUUAUAAAUAUGUUUAGAUAUCUAAAUCCACGUGUGAUUCCAAACUAUAACCUUUUUUUUUUUCUAAUUAAUGCAAACAGCCGCCUCUUUGGACUGCUUUUCUUCUUUGAUUAUUAAUUAAUUAAUUCAGCUGCCCACCUUUCUUUUCCUAAUGUUUUCUACUCUCAAAUUUUUUUAAGGACAAGGCUACGUUGCAGACGCUGUACCUAACAGCUGCACCUUAGCCAGCUUCACAAAGGGUGCAUUUGGUAAGCAAUUUUUCUUUCCUGUGCAUAUGUGUCCUUCCACCAUUGGGUGUACGUAACAGAUAAUGUACCGUAACAAGCUCCUAUUUUUAAAUAUGUUUAUAAUGAUAAAAUAUAAAAAUUAAGAUUAAAAUGUAAUGUAAUAUAAAAUUAAAGGUGGAAGAGUAUUAAAAUAAUGUAUAAGAUAUGAAUAAACAAGUCAAUAAGAAAACAAACAAACGGCAAGAGAAAAGGAAUGGUCAUGCAGAUUUUAAGGUGGCAGUGACAAUGAGAUCUCAUUUUAACCGAUAAAGUCUUUUGAAUUUGUCAACUCAAAAAAAUAGAUUCAAAUGUUUUGUAAUAAAUGAAAAUAUAAUAUUAAAAUAAAUGUGAUAAUAUAUAUUUUAAAUAAUUUCAAUACAAAAAACAUUUGAAUGUUUUAUAAUUUAUUAGACAUAUUUUAUUAUAUUAAUAUAAAUUUUCUAAGAAAUAUGGACAUAAUAUUAAAAUAAAUUUAUGAAAAAUUUAAAUUAUUUUGAAUGUAAAAACAUUUGAAUGUUUUAUAAUUUAUUAGACAUAUUUUAUUAUAUUAAUAUAAAUUUUUCUAAAAAAUAUGGACAUAAUAUUAAAAUAAAUUUAUGAAAAAUUUAAGUUAUUUUGAAUGUAAAAACAUUUUAAUGUUUUAUAAUUUAUUAGAAAUAUUUUAUUAUAUUAAUAUAAAUUUUCUAAGAAAUAUGGACAUAAUAUUAAAAUAAAUUUAUGAAAAAUUAAAUUAUUUUGAAUGUAAAAUAAUUUUAAUAUUAUUAAUCCAUUAAGUAUUAAUUAUAAAAAUUAUUUAACCCAAAGAUUAUUUAUAUCCUUACAAUAAAUAUAAAUAUAUUAUUUGCAUUUAAAAAUUUAAAAAUAUUUAAAUAAUAUUAAUCUACAAUUAUAUUUUCAUUUAUUAUAAAUAUUUAAAGUCAAAUCUUUUGCACUUGUAUUUUAUUACAAUUAUGGCGCACAAAGAAAGAGCCAUAUAUGCUUUAUAGCGUUAGAAAUUGGUUUCUUUUAAAGCUGGAAACAGAGAGGAUGAUUAUUAUAAGGAGAAAAGAAAAAGGGAUAAAGAAUAUUAAUGAUUAACAAAAUCUCUCUGCAAAUUGAUUGCAGUAGAAAAAAAGUGAGCUGAGCAAUCUAAUUUAGUGGUAGAGUGAUAUUUCAUUUGUAGCAAAUUACAUCUCAAGGUUAAAGGAAAGACUUAAGAUCUCAGCUUUUGAUCAUAAUACUUUUUUUAAAGAAAAAAAUUAAUUUUAAUAUUUUAUAAUAAAUAAAAAUAUAAUCUUAAAAUAAAUACAAACACACUAUUAAUAGUACAUAUUUUAAAAUAAUCUCAUUAUUUAAAAUUGUUUUAAUAUUUUGUAAUUUGCCAGACAAAUUUUAUUAUUUUCAAGUAAAUUUUAUAAUAAAUACAAACACACUAUUAAGAUAAAUAUAUGAAAAAUUUAAAGUAAUUUGAAUCUUAUACAAAAUAAUUUUAAUAUUGUUAAUAGUGAGAUAAUUCUAUUAAUUUAAAAUGCUACUUAACCUUAAGAUUUAUUUAAGAUAAAUUAAUAAUUACAUUUUUAAAUUAUUUCAAAUAUUAAAAAUAUUUUAAUAUUAUUUAUCUAUUAGAUAGACUAAAUUAUUUAAAUUAUUUUGUAUAAAUUAAUUCUAUUUAAAGGAUAUUAUGAUAAAAAGAUCUUAGUGUUUUUAUUAAAAAUUUAAAAUUUAUAUGACUAUUUCUUUAAAUAUUUAGGGUAUAUAUGAACCACCGAGGAGAAAAGCUUUAUUUAAUAUUUUUGAAUAGUUUUUGAUCAGUACAAUUGCGUCCUUAUUCAGAAUUAUUGUUCUCUUCCGCAACAGUUUUUGUUUAUCAAAGUCAUCAAUUAAAAUUUUAGAAUUCUUAUCAUCAGAAGUAGUCGUUUUAGAAGUUGGGUCUUGGAUCAAAUUUCUACGAGUGCAUGAAUUAACAAUAAAAAAAAUUUCAUUACACACGGUUUAAGCUACAAAACUACUAUUUGCACAGUUGACUAUAAAACUUACCUCCAAUUACACUAAACCUCUCUAUUUGGUAACGUUGAGACUAAAUUAAUUUUAUUAGCAUGAAAAGAUAAUAGAAAUAUUAUCAUAAAUAUAAUUGUUGUUAAUCAAUUAGUACAUGUGAUAUAAAGGUUAAAUGUGCACUAUAUUUAAUAAAUAAUUAAUGGAACAUGUUAAACAAAAUGUUAAUGUAUAUUUAUAUAGUGUUAGGAAUAUGCAAAGUCAAGUCCUCAAUUUGCAUUAUCCUGUAUAGAAUAUUACUCUAAAAAUGUUUUACUAUAAUUGGCUUAGAACAUUUGUAAAGAAAAUAAUAAUCGUAAUAAUAAAUAACAUACACCGUCACAUAGCAUCUAGACAAUGAUAGAAAAUUAUUAAAGGGAGUGCAAACAAUUAAUUAGAAAUUUUUAUGAUAACUUUUAAUAUUCAUGAUAAUAACAAAUAAAUACAUGUACCACUUUUUAAAAAUAUUAAAUUUGACGUGCUCCAUUAAUAAAUUAUUAUUGUAAUUCAGACUCUAUCUAUAUAUCCUUGCAUUAAGAAUAAUUAAGUCAUAAUAAAAAUUUUCGUAACUACAUCUCAUUUCUUCCUCAUAAUAAUAAUUAGAUUGGUUCGAAUAUUAUAACUAUAUAGAUUUAGGGCGUGUUUGGUGCAUGGGAUUAUGUGGUAUUACACUACUAUUCACAUUAGCUUAUUUCCAAGAAGAUGUUUGGCAAACUUUGACACCUCAUUAUGCUGCAUUAUAAUGCAGCAUAAUGAGGCAUGGGGCCGCAUUACGCAAACCCGAGGGAACCUCGGGUUUGCGUAAUGCAGAAGCUUUUUGCCUCAAUUGAGGCAACAGUUAAUGCCUCAAUUGAGGCAAAUUUAUUUUAUUAAAAUAUUAUAAAAAUAAAUUAUUUUAUUAUUAAAUACUAAUAUAAUGAAUAAAAUAUAAAAAUAAAUUAUAUGAUAAUAUUAUUUUAUUUAUUAAUGAUUCAUAUAAAAAUAAUAUAUUAAUAUUAUAAUAUUAUUUACAUUAAUAUUAAUUUUAAAAUUAAUAUUAUUUAAAUUUAUAAUUAUUUAUGUUAAAUUAUAAAUUUAUUAAUAUAUUAAAAUGUAAAAAUAAUAAUAUAUUGUAAAUUAAAAUAUAAUUGAAUAUUAUUGAAUAAUAAUUUAUUAAUUUAUAUUAACAAUUAUAAUAUUAAUUAUAAUCUAAAUUUAUUAUUUACAUAUAAUAUUAAAUUUUAUAAAUUUAUUUUAUCAUAAUUAUAAUACAAAUUUUAGAAAUUUAAUCAUUAAUUUUUAAUAUUUACUAAAAAAAUUGUUAAAUUUCUACAAUUAAGAUUUCUAUAUUUAUUAUUUUUCUAAGUAUUAAUAAAUAUUAAUUUUUAAUUAUUUAAUUUAAUUAAUUAUAAAAAUUAAUACAAUACAAUGUAACACCAAAUAUAGUUUAAUUAAAAAUUAAUACAGUACAGUGUAGCACCAAACAUUGUACAGCAUUAUUAUAAUACAAUACUAACGCAAUACAGCAUAAUACAAUACACCAGCAUUAAAAUAAUGCAAUACAACAUAAUACAAUACAAUGUACCAAACGCACCCUUAGUGUAUAGCCACAUCCAAUUUAAAUAUUGACCCAAUUGGGAUGGUCCCCAAAAAAAAAAUUCGUUAAAGGAUAAUUCUAAUUAUUUUUACUUCUCAAACGUUAGUGGGACGUUUCUAUUAGCGCACUCGUAAGCCAAGUUGUCAAAUAUUUAUAUUAAACUACAAUUGCUGACAAGAAAAAUCAAGAUCGUGUUGCGCAAGUGGGUCCCGAAUAGGACGUGCCUAAAUCUCUCGUAAGCCAAGUUGUCAAAUGUUUAUAUUAAACUAACAAUUGCUGACUAGAAAAAUCAAGAUCGUAUUACAAGUGGGUCCCGAAUUGGACGUGCCUAAAUCUUUUUAUAAUUUUCCCAGUGUAGCGGACAGAGGUCAUUACUAAAUUUCUCUUCCACACGCCACAGCAGCUUCGGUUAAUCAAACUCAAUCAAUUUUCUUGGCUUCUCCGCUUAUCAAUAUUACAAGGUAUGGGUAGCAUUUUUCAAAUCACAUGCGAUGGUACUAUUUUCAAUCGUUGCUUAGAUUGCUUUCUUGGAAAAGCAGCAUACAUAAGUAACCUCCAAGAUAAUCUCGUUGCCUUGGAGACUGAACUAAGGAAACUAAUCGCAGCAAAGAACGAUGUGAUGACGGCGGUUGUCAAUGCUGAACGGCAACAAAUGAGAAGGCUGGACCAAGUGCAAGUGUGGGUUUCGAGGGCGGAAGCUGUUAAAACUGAAGCUGAUGAACUUAUCAGAGGCGGCUCUCAAGAAAUUGAAAAAUUAUGUCUUAGAGGGUUCUGUUCCAGGAACUGCACGUCAAGCUACAAGUUCGGAAAACAAGUGGCUAAAAAGCUACGAGCUGUGGAGACUUUAAUCGCCGAAGGAGUUUUUGAGGCGGUGGCUGCCGAGGUGGUGCCUGAGAGAGCUCCAGAGCCUGUAGCAGAUGAAAGACCUACCGAGCGAACAGUAGUAGGCUUGCAAUCACAACUUGAACAAGUCUGGAGAUGUCUUGCAGAAGAAUCAGCGGGAAUCAUUGGCCUAUAUGGUAUGGGCGGUGUUGGUAAAACUACACUAUUGACCCAUAUCAACAAUAAAUUUCUCGAGAGUCCAACCAACUUUGAUUGUGUGAUUUGGGUAGUAGUUUCAAAAGACCUGCGACUUGAAAAAGUUCAAGAAAAUAUUGGGAAAAAGAUAGGUUUGGUUGAUGAUUCAUGGAAGAGUAAAAGUGUAGAGGAGAAAGCUCUCGACAUCUUCCGGAGUUUAAGAGAGAAGAGAAUUGUAUUGCUGUUAGAUGAUAUAUGGGAGCGGGUUGAUUUAACAAAAGUGGGCGUUCCACUUCCAGGACCACAAAAUACUACCUCAAAAGUCGUAUUCACAACCCGUUUCAUCGAUGUUUGUGGUAGCAUGGAAGCUGACAGGAAGUUCCAAGUAGCAUGCUUAUCAGAAAAGGAUGCUUGGGAACUGUUUCGAGAAAAAGUUGGGGAAGAAACUCUUCAGAGUCAUCAUGAUAUCGUUGAGCUAGCCCAAAUUGUGGUCAAAGAGUGUGGUGGUUUGCCACUCGCACUUAUUACUAUUGGUCGAGCUAUGGCCUACAGAAAGAAAGCGGAGCAGUGGAGACGUGCAAUUGAAGAGUUAAGGAGAUCAGCCUCAGAGUUUGCAGGUUUGGGAAAAGAGGUGUAUACUCUUUUGAAAUUCAGCUAUGAUAGUUUGCAGAAUGAUACGGUUAGAUCUUGUUUCUUGUAUUGUUGUUUAUAUCCUGAAGAUUAUGGCAUUCUUAAAUGGGACUUGAUUGAUUGUUGGAUUGGCGAGGGAUUUUUUGGGGAAUCUGACAGGUCUGGUGCAGAAAACCAAGGAUAUGACAUUUUGGACACUCUUGUUCGUGCAUGUUUAUUAGAAGAGGUGGAAGAUGAUAAAGUAAAAAUGCAUGACGUUGUUCGUGAUAUGGCUGUAUGGAUAACCAGUGAAAUUGAGAAAGGGAAGAGAAACUUUUUGGUUCGUGCAGGUGCUGGAUUAAAAGAGGCACCGGAUGUUAAAGGAUGGGAAAAUGUGAGAAGAUUGUCAUUGAUGCAAAACCAAAUUGAAACUCUGUCCGAGGUUCCUACAUGCCCUCAUCUCCUCACUUUAUUUCUUGACUUUAAUGAGAAGUUGAAGAUGAUCACGGAUGGCUUCUUCCAAUUUAUGCCUUCUCUCAAAGUUUUGAAGAUUUCACACUGUGGUAGGAAUUGGAAAGAUUUGAAAUUACCUGUUGGGAUGUCAAAGUUGGGUUCACUAGAACUUCUUGAUAUUUCACAUACGCUGAUAACAGAGUUACCAGAAGAGUUAAAGUUGUUGGUAAAUCUGAAAUGUUUGAAUUUGAGGUCGACAGAAUUGUUAAUUAGAAUUCCACGGCAACUGGUAUCAAAUUCUUCAAGGUUACGUGUGUUGAGAAUGUUCGCUACUGGCUGGUUAAAUUUUCAUGAAGCACCAGAAGACAGCGUUUUAUUUGGUGGGGGUGAAGUUUUGAUACAGGAAUUGCUCGGUUUGAAAUAUUUAGAGGUAUUGGAGUUGACCUUGCGAAGUUAUCAUGCUCUCCAAAUUCUUUUGAGCUCAAAUAAGUUAAAAAGUUGUAUUCCAUCUCUUUUCCUCCAGUUGGCCGGAGAUACAACGUCGAUUAUUGAUGCUGCGGCUUUCGCAGAUCUAAACCACCUCAACGAUUUAUUUAUUUAUAAAGGCAUUCAGUUGGAAGAAUUGAAGAUUGAUUAUACAGAGAUAGUACAAAAAAGGCGGGAACCUUUUGUUUUCCGCAGCCUUCACCGUGUUUCUAUUGGGGGGUGCGAUAAAUUGAAAGAUGUGACAUUCCUCGUUUUUGCUCCAAACCUCAAGUCUCUUUGGCUAUUCGAUUGCGGUGCUAUGGAAGAAAUAAUCAGCGUCGGAAAAUUUGCUGAGACUCCUGAGAUGAUGGGACAUAUAAGCCCUUUUGAAAAUCUCCAAAGGCUUGAAUUAUGGGAUUUGCCAGCUUUGAAGAGCUUCUACUGGAAGCCAUUGCCUUUCACUCAUCUGAAAGAAAUGGUGGUACAUGGGUGUCAUCAGCUUAGAAAGCUUCCACUCGAUUCCAACAGAGCAAAAGAGCGUAAAUUUGUUAUUCGUGGAAAAGCAGACUGGUGGAACCGACUUCAAUGGGAGGAUGAAGCCACUCAAAUUGCUUUUCGUUCCUGUUUCCAACCUCGUUCCUGAGCGGUGGUCGCAAAAUUUGAUUUCUGGUGAGUGCAUUCGUCUUUUAAAAGAAGAAUUUAAAAGAAAUUUAUUCUUGUCGUUUUCUUCUCUGUUUUUAUUUCAGUUUCUUUCUCUCUCUCUCUCAAGGAUCUCUAAUCAAUAGCUGGAAGCAAUUGAGAGGCGCCGAGACCCGAUCGGAUCUAGGCCCAAGUUUGGUCUUAAAGCCUGGGCUUGAGCCUGACAAUUAAAUUAAAACAUUAAUUGAUUUAUUGAUUGAAUUGUUGUGUAAUUGAUUUAUGGGGGAUGAAACAUCAACAUACUUGAAAAUACACUAAUCUUAGCAUCAUCGGUUAAUAACUGUUAGAUUUAUGGGUAAUCGUAAUCAAUAGUUAAGAUUAGUUGUCAUUAAUACUAAAUAUUUUUUACUAUUUUUGUCUCUACUAGAGGAUCUUCUAGAAAAAUGCAUCCACAACAAAAUUUAAUAUUUUACAUAAUAAACAAAAUAUAAAUGUUAAAUUUAAGAAACUGCAUUGCAUUUCAGCUGAAGCUGACUUUAAUAUUUAGGGUAGAAAAACAAUUAAAUCCUUAAUGUGUUUAAUUUCUAUCACUUGUGUCAUUAAAAUUUUCUAGCCACCUUAACCAAUUACAUCUCAACCCACUUUUUUUGGAUGAUUUUAUUUUUACACAAUUAUUUUCAACAUAUCAUGAUGUAUUCGUCAAAAGCUGGAAAUGACUGUUGCCCGUCAAAAUUCACAUUUUUUCCUUAACGAUAAAGUUUUAAUAUAAUUUUGAAGUUAUAACGUCAUAAAUAUAUUGCAUAAUAAUAAGAAAAAGGACCUAAAUGGUAAAAGUGAUAAAUAAUAAGAUCGAAGUAUCAUUUUCCAAUGUUAAAUGAGGCAAUGCCAUUCUCCGGUUCUCUUCUUUAAAUGCGUGAUGUGUGUGCUCUGUUUUCUCUAUUAUUCUUUUUCUCUUUUAGAUUUUGAGAACGUAAAGGGUGCAGGAGUCUUUAUCUUGUUAAAACAAGUCUUUUCGAAGUAUUCAACUAAAUUAAAUCAUGGCCUAAUGCUGUGUCAAUUCCAUCAUCAGCAUUUUUUUUUUCCUUUUUAACACCAACAUCAGUGUAUGUUUGGAUAAUUUGAAAUCUGUUUGUGUUUUAUCUCAAAGUAGAGCUUCAAUCAAUUUGUACCUCACAAAUUCACAAUAUCUAUUAAGGAUAAUAAGACCGAACUCUGGCAUAUUGUCAAAUGUGCUUAUCCAAUUCCAAAUUAAAAUGUUGACAGUGUUUCAUCAACCAAGAACUUGUCUUCGAUAGUUAAUCGGAUUAAAGGGAAUAAUUAAUGAGAGCAAUUAAUUAAUAUUAGCCGGCAUCGUCUGUUUCAUAGGUACUCGUGGUUCACUAACAUAAGCGUUGAAUUUGUAUAGUAGCUUGUUCCUUUCCUUCGGUUUUACUUAAUGAAAACCUUGGCUAGAUCGUACACCAAUGUAAAAUCGAAAACCCUUAUGCCACGAAGAGUUCUUAGUGCAAUUGAGAUCAAUGAUAAUCAGCUGAUAGGGAAAACAUUGUCUGAUUGUCAUAAACAAACUUCUUGAAAAUGCCAUCAGUAACAUGGAAGAUUUGGAGGUUAUUCAAAUGCUGACUUCAGGAAUGCAGAUUAAUAUAUUAUGGAGACAGAUUGAGUGCAAUGGCUAAUUGUAACAGGGAAUUUUUAUUGUACAAACAGACCAGCCAGCAAAGAAUAUUCCAAAUCUAGGACUAAACAAGUCAAUAAUAAAAUAAACAAACGGCAAGAGAGAGUGAUUAUAUCUACAACACCAUCGGCUACUACAAAUUCAACUUUUCAACAGUUGUUACUCACCAUGAACAGAAAAAAGAAAAUUACAACAAAAAAUUGGUUGCUAAAAGACGUCUAUUCAUGGUAAUGCCUCUCAAAUGGGUUCAAAACAUGGAAGAAAAGCAUUUAGUGUGGCUUCAUCGUCCCAUUUCAGCUCACUCCACCAGUGUUGCAGGGGCUUAGUCAAAGUGGCUUUCAAGAAGUUUUAUUACCACCUCAGUUCAAAUCCUAAGAGAGGUAGGAGGAUAAAAGAAUUAAUUUGGACUUUACCUAGCCCUCUACCUUUGUUAAAUUUAUGUUAAAAAAAAAAAUAGAUUUGAGAUUGGUAAUAUCCUUAUUUUUUGUUUUCAAAGGAAACUGAUUUAGGACCAAUGAGACUUUGAUCCAAUGGGAGAAGCCUUUCACUUAUAAUGUUAAGUAUAAGGGUUCGAUCCUCCAUAAGAGCUUUAUGAAGGUUAAUUUCAGUACUUCCUUAGUUAUCAGUUAAUUGAGUGGAGACAGUCUCUCCCUUACGAAAUGUGAGUGGAGUAGGCACCCCUCGAAUAUUAGAGAAGGUUUAAAGUAUCUGAGCAAGUGCUUUAGUGGGUUAAUAUAUGGCGGUAGUUCCAGUUGUUUAGUAUGAUUGUAGUACGAUUGUAUAUAUUAAUUGUAAUAUCUAAUGUAAUAUCAAUAACAAUCUGUGCAUAACAGAAUUCAAAAAAAGAAAAGAAAAAAGAAAACUGAUUUAGGUGGUUUCUUGGUUAAGACUUUUUCUUUAGCAUACUUAGUUCCACGUGCUAUUUAGAUAUUUUUCGACAUACUUAUUACUUAGUUCCACAUGCUAUUUAGAUAUAUUUCGACCAAAUGAACAAGCGCAAGCCAUUGACACUUAGCUUAAUUUCAGGGUCAAGCUAUAUUUGAAACUCAAAUAUUAACCUAUUAAUAUUUUCAAUUCAUUCAAUUAUAAAUUAGAGAUGAUAGAAAUUCUCAUAGGAACAGGGGCCCUAGGGGAUUUUAGAGGAUUUUUCCCAUUCGGGAAGGGUAGGAGACAAUUUUAUAUCAAGUUUCUUAUUCCCAGAGACUAUAAUAUUUUUUUACCUAAUUUCUUAUUCAGGGAAGAUAUGGAGAUGAUGUGGACUUUCCAUCCCCUCCCAAUUCUCCAUUUUUAUUUUUAAUUUUUAUAUUAUUUUUCUAGAAUUAUUAGUGAAAAUAAUAAAAUUUAAAUUGUAAAAAUUUUAUUAAUGAAUAAAUAAAAAUAAAAAUUUUAGACACCUUUUUCCCAAACUUGUAGCUUGACUUGCAGUUCUUGGAGCAGUAGCCUCCAAGACAGUUUUUCAAUUUCUCGAGAGCCGUCCCUUGUCAAUUCACCAACUUCAGCUUCCACAGCCGCCACCCUUGAGGUGAUGUUUGGUUGGGAGGAGAGAAUGGGGGAGAGGAAAGUAAUUUAAAUUCUACUUUUAUUUUUAUUGUUUGGUUGCACGAAAUAUAUAAGAAUUUAAUUUCCAUUAGAAUUUAAUAUCCUUUAUAAUCUAGAAUUUGAAUUCCACACCAAAGAGUGAAGAAUUCAAAUUCCUCUUAGGUUGAAAACCCAAGUUUCCAAAUUUGUCCUUCAACAUUUUAACUUGUUUAAUGCUAUUAAUAAUUAUUAUUUAUAAUUUUAUUUUAUCAAUUUAAUAUUAUAAAUAAUUUAAUAUUAAUUAAAUUUAAUGAAUGAUUUAAGACAUUUAAUAAAAUAAAUAAACUUAUUUAUUUAUUUAAUAUGCAAAUAUAUAAAUAUAAAUUAACUAUCGCCGGAACUUCGCUGGACCGUCGCCGGAAGCUGUCGAAAUUUCACCGAAAAGUCACCAACCACUGUUGAUCGGCGUUGGCUUAUGUUGACCGCUACUGUUGACCGGCUUUUAUUUAUAUUAAAUUAUAUUAAAUAGUUUAGUAUAUUAAAUUAUUUUAUAUUUUAUAUUAAAUAUAAAUCAUGAAUUGUUUCAUAACUUUUUGAAAUUAAAAAAAAUUGGUAUUAAUAUUAAAUUAUAUUUUAUUACUAAUAUAGAUAAUUUAGUAUUUAAGGUAAAGGAUAAAUUUGUCCAAAGAAAAAAAUUAUAAUUUCUUUCCUUAUCAAAUUUGAUGUCAAACCAAACAUUGAAAUUUAAUUUUAUUAAUCUCUUCCACUCAUUUCUCCUCCAUUCCACUUUUUUCUUCUCCUCUCCUUUUUUAAAACCAAACACCACCUGAAAGCCAACCUUGCACUUUGUUCAGCCGUCUCAGUUGUUGCUGCUCAGGAUUGGCGACCCUCAUCAUCACAUCGUUCUUUGGUUCAAUUAAUUUCUGCAAUUCGGUCUGGAUGGCAACCAGGUUAUCUUCAAGCUGGCUUAAAUAUCAUGCUUUUCUGCGGGUACAAUUUAUGAAGCCAGUGAAAAUUACGCAUACAAUAGGAGUGCAACACAGUGUGUAUUCGGUUGUGGUGUCUAUGAUUUUGCAGUCGCAGAAGCUUAUUCACCUUAUGAAGACUGAUCAGGUGGGCACCGUCGCUCUCCUUACAUUCUUAUGGAGAGCGAUAGUCCAUGUAGUCAGAUCUCACUGAGAGAACUAGCCGAGUGGGCAAUCGCUCCGCCUGAUCAAAAUUUGUCAUCUUAUAAUAAUAUCUUGAGUAGGUCUUGAAUUUUUUUUCCAAUUUUAAUCUUUAAAAGGUAGAAGAGGUGAAAAAAACCUAAAUAGUAUUUGUGUCCUCCUAAAUAACAUUUCUUGAACAUCAAUGGAUCUUAAAACUUAAUUAAGAAAAUAUUAUAGAUUUAUAAAUUAGUGGCCCUUAAAAUUUAUUUGCAAGUAACAAUUAGAGAAAAGUCGUCAGGCCCAAAAGACUUAGAGCAUCACCAAAAGACUCUUCAAAUAAGAUUUUAUUAAUUAUUUGAAGAGCCAUCUCAAUAUUUAAGACUCCAAAAGACACUCCAAUUAAGAUUCUUCAAAUAAGAAAUAAUUCUCUCUCUUCAAAUUUGGAGAGUUGAUUUCUCCCUCUUCAAUUUAUACUUUAUUACUUUCCAUUGGAGAAAAAGAGAGAAGUGCUUUAAUUGCUAUUGACUUUUUCUUUAAAAAAAUAAUUAUUUGAUUAAAAUAAUAUUAAGUUAUUUCUAUUUGAAGAGUCUUUUGGAGAAUAUUAUUUUUUUUUACUCUUCUAUUUGCCACAUAGAUAAGCAAAUAGAUAUUUGAAGAGUAAAAUUUAUAGAGUCUUUUGGAGAUGCUCUUACUAAAAGUCGGCAACUCGUCAUGACCAAAAUUCUUCCGAGUGUGAAAUACGGCAUGCGCAGAUGCAUUAAAAACAAAAGCCAGCUAAGAUAUUCUUUGUAUACUUGCAUUCCCUAUCAUCUUAUUAAUAAUUUCAGACACGUCGUUCGUUCCCUGUGACUUUUCAUAUGCAACAGCACAGUCAGUGUUACAAUUUACAUUUCGAAUUGGGUGUCAUCUAUAUACUCUACCUAGAUCUAACAUGAUAUUGCAGUAUUGCACUGAUUUUUUUGUCGCAGCGUUUCUCUAUGAAUUCCUUAAACUUUAAACACAUCAUGGAAUAAUUAUUUUCUUAAAGACCAAAUUAACAUAAUUCUUAAAUCAUUUAUAAAACAACAUUUAUCAUAUAACAGAUCGUACACGAAUCAAUUUUCCUUGAACAGUAGCAAACAAACAAGAAUCUCAACCACAUCACGAGAUCGCCCACGUCAAACCAAGUAUUCUUAAUGAGUGGACCAGCUAAUAUAUUCAAAAUUGGAAUUAAUUGAGGAUAAUGAUUAGUGCUAAUACAUUUGCAAAGAAAAAUCAUGCCUAUUGAAAAACUCAUCUUAUUAGCAGCAGCGUUAUAAGUAGCAUCCAAUCAUAGUUUCACGCAAGAUUUUGAGAUUAUUCAAAUGCUGAUCCCGGGAAUGGAGAUUAAUAGAUAAUGGAGACAGGUUGACUGCAAUGGCUAAUUGUAAGAGGGAUUUUUAGCCGUAAAAACAGAUCAACUAGCAAAGCAAAUUCCAAAUCUUGGAAUGCAGUAGCAAAAAAACGAAACAAACAAAUGGCAAGAGGAAGUGACUAUACAACAAUAACAUCGACUUGCAAUUCAACAUUUAUACAGUUUUACACACCAAGAAAAGAAAAAAUUACAAUAGAAAUUUGGCCACUAAAAGAUGCUCGUUCAUGCUUAUGCCUGUCAUAUGGAUUUGAAACAUGGAGUAAAAGCAUUUAGAGUGGCCUCAUCCUUCCACUGCAGCUCAUUCCACCAGUAUUGCUCUCCCCUAAUAACAAGUUUUCGUUCCUUGGCGCUGUUGUAAUCGAGUGGAAGCUUCUUGAGAUUCGGGCAGCCAGAUACAAACAAUUCCAAGAGAUUUGGAAAGGGCAAUGCAUUCAAACAGAUCUUCUUCAGAUUUCUUACAACUUGCAACCGAAGAUAUUGGAGUUUCGAAAAAGUUUUUUGCACUGGAACUUCUGGAACUUCUUCCAAUUUCCAAACACUGAUUAUUUCUUCCAUCUCAUAACAACGUUCUACAUGGACCAUCUUGAGAUUUGGGGCAAAAACAAGCCAUGUCAUCUCCCUCAAUUUACUGCAAUAGUCUAUGGUAACACUUUGAAGGCUGUUGAAACCAUAAAGUUCUCUUGUUGUUUGAAUUUCUGCAUAGUCAACCUUUAGCUCUUCCAAACUUGUACAAUACACAAAAUCUAGUUUGUCAAGAUACUUGAGAUCUGCUAUGGACAAAAUAUUCCAUGACCUUGAAUCCUCACAGCGGCGAAGCUCUAAAGCAUAUUUACAACUCUUGUACUGUUGGCAGCUCAAAAGUCUUCGUAGAGCAUAAAAACUUCUUAACGUGACGCUUAAUACAUUUAAAUGUUCCAAAGUAAUCAACUCCUCUACCAAAAUUUCACUACCACCAAAUAGAACGCUAUCUUCUGGUACUGUAUUAGCAGAGCCACAAUCUAGCAUCCUCAACACCUUUAACCCAGAAAAAUUACAAAGCAGUUGCCGUGGAAUCGUAUGGAGAUAACGCAUGUACUCCAAGUUCAAACACUUUAGAUUUUUCAAGGCUUUUAAUUCAUGUGGCAACUCUUUGAUGAAAGUUUCUGAAAGAUUAAGAUAUUGUAGUGAAACCAAUUUUGAAAUUCCUGAAGGCAAUUGACUCAAGGAGCGAUUCUUUGAUAGGUUUAAAACUUUAAGAGAAGGCAUAAAAUCGAAGAAAUCACUAGGGAUAGUAUCUAACAUAUUAAUGCCGAGGAACAAAGUUAUAAGAUGAGGGCAUAUUGGAGUUAUUGGUAAAAUCACAAUUUUAUUUCUCAUCAACGAUAUCCUUCUCUUAUCUUCCCAUUGUUUAACUUCGGGUGGUUCAGUUAAUUCAAUACCGGCAGAAACCAAAAAGUUUUCAUUCUCCACUUCACAGGCUAUCCACAAGGUCAUAUCACGAAUCACAUCAUGCAGUUUUACAUAAUCUGAUCCUGCUUCUUCCAAUAGGCAUGCAUGAACAAGAACACCAAUAAUGUAGUAUCCUUGGUUAUGUACUCCAUUAAUUCCUUCAUAUUCCUUCAGAAAACCCUCACCAAUCCAACACCCUAUCAAUUCAAUUUUGCUAAUUUGAUAAUCCUCAGGAAAUAAACUACAGUAUAACAGACAAGAUCUAAGGACGUCACUAGACAAACUAUCAUAACUGAAUUUUAAAAGACGAAACACCUCUUUCUCCAUACCUGGAAAUUCAUAAGCUGAUCUCCUUAACAUCUGAAUUGCAUAGCUCCAUUCUUCGGGUGUCUUCUUGCUGCUCAUGGCACGACCGGUGGUAAUAAGUGCAAGUGGCAAACCACUACACUCCUUUGCCACAGUUUGGGCUAACUCCGGAAUAUCGGGAUGACUUUCAAGAGUCUCUUCUCCGACCUUCUUUAGGAACAAUUCCCAAGCAUCUUGAUCUGCCAAACACUCCACCUUGAACUUUUUUUGAGCUUCCAUGAGGCCACAGACGUCCACAAGACGAGUUGUAAAGACUAUCUUUGAUGCAUUUCUUGAACUCGCAGGAAAAGGGACACCCACUUUGGCUAAAUCAAUUCUUUCCCAUAUAUCAUCUAACAAUAGCAGAAAUUUCAUUUUGCUCAAUAAAUUGAAUAUGCCUGAUGCUUUCUCUUCAAAGCUUCUAUUCUGAAGCCAUCCUAUUCUUUCUCCGAUUUUCUGUUGUAUUCUCUCAAGUUGCAUGUCUUUUGACACCACCACCCAAAUCACAAUAUCAAAAUAAUUUGGUGUAUUAAGGAACCUGUUGUUGAUUUGGGUUAAUAGUGUAGUCUUGCCGACUCCCCCCAUGCCAUAAAGUCCGAUGAUUCCAAAUUGUCCUUCUACAAGACAUCUCCAAACUUUAUCAAAUGUUGAUUCUAGGCCGAUUAUUGUUGGCUGAAGAGGCCUUUCAUCCACUGCUGGUUGUGGUACCUUUUCAGCUACCACUGCAAAAGCUCCAUCAUCUAUUAAAGUAGCCACAAGCUGCAGCUUUUUAGACACCUUUUUCCCAAACUUGUAGCUUGACUUGCAGUUCUUGGAGCAGUAGCCUCCAAGACAUAGUUUUUCAAUUUCUUGAGAGCUGUCCCUUGUCAAUUCACCUACUUCAGCUUCCACAGCCUCCACCCUUGAAAGCCAACCUUGCACUCUGUUCAGCCGUCUUAGUUGUUGUUGCUCAGCAUUAGCGACCCUCAUCAUCGCAUCGUUCUUUGUUUCGAUUAGUUUCUGCAAUUCGGUCUGGACGGCAACCAGGUUAUUUUCAAGCUGGCUUAGAUAUGCUGCUUUUCUGCGGGUACAAUUUAUGAAGCCAGCGGAAAGGGCAUCACAUAUAAGUUGGAUUCCCAAAAUAUUACCCAUAGUUUGUAUGAGAUUCAGAGUACAAUAGAAGGAAUGCAACACAGUAUGUAUUCGGUUGUGGUGUUUAUGAUUUUACAGUCGCAGAAGCUUAUUCACCUUGUGAGGGCUGGUCAGGUGGGCACCAUCACUCUCCUUACGCUUUAUAGAGAGCGAUAGUCCAUGUGGUCAGAUCUCAUUCAGAUAACUAGCCAAGUGGGCAAUCGCUCCACCUUAUCAAAAUUCUUCAUCUUAUAAUAAUAUCAUGAGUAGGCCUUGAAUUUUUCUUUUAAUUUUAACAUUUAAAAGGUGGUGGUGAAAAAGUCUAAAUAGUAUUUUUGUCCUCGUACUUUAAUAACAUUUCUUGAAAGUCACUCGAUCUCAAAAUUUAAUUAAGAAGAUAUUAUAGAUUUAUAAGCCCUUAAAAUUUAUUUGCAAGUAAGCCCAUAAGACUUACUAAAAGUCGUCAACUCGUCAUGACCAAAAUUGAAAAUUCUUCCGCGUGUGAAAUACGGCAUGCACAGACGUAUUAAAAGCAAAGGCCAGCUAUGAUAUUCUUCGUAUACUUGCAUUCCCUAUCAUCUUAUUAAUAAUUUCAGACACGUAGUUCGUUGCUUGUGAUUUUUCAUAUGCAAAAGCACAGUCAGUGUUACAAUUUACAAUUACAAUUGGGUGCCAUCUAUAUACUCCUUCCUUGUUUUCAAAAUAUGUUGUAGGAUGGGUAAUUGUAACAAAAGUGAUUUUUAAAAAGAUUUAUUAUAAUAUUAAAAUUAACUUUUAAUUUUUUUAAAUUAUUUUUGAGCUUUCUGAAAAAAAAAUCCUAAACCGGUCUCAGAAGUAUAAUUAGAACCACGAAUUUAUAAAAUGAUCAAAGGAAUCCAUCGCCUAAUAUUAUAGUACGCAAUGGAUUGCUAUAAACUAAAUUGCUAUGAUCUCACUUCAUAAUAAUUUAUUUUCAAUCUCCAUCAUGGUAGAAAAAUUUCAUCAAUCAACAUACCCUACCACCACCCAAUAGUCGACCAUUUAUCAUCUUCUAUCCGUAAAAAAACGAAAAAAAAAAAAGAGAAAAGGAAAAAUUUAGUCCACAAAAGAAAAUAUCGCAAGACCAAACAGAGAGAGAAAAUAGAAAAAGCAAAGAGCUGUACUGAAUACCGGCGGUGAUGGCUCGGUACUUGACCAUUUAGGUUUGAUUCUGCAUUAACAUAAUAUUUUUUCUGCACUGCAUUCACAUCACAACCAUUGAAUAGUCGUGAUCUAUUUUUCUAAAGCGAAUAAUAUUAUCUUCUCGUGUCGGUGGCUUGAUCAUAUAACAAAAUAGACUAAUAAUGUUUCAAUAGACAUUUUGGUAAAUGGAAGAAGUUAUGAUCUGUCCAUUUUUAUGUUACUUUAUUUUAAUUUGUUAAUUACUAUUAAUAUCUUUGAGUGGGGCAGAAUCUUGACCUAAGAUAUAGGGAUGGCAAUGGGGCAUAUAUGGGUUGGAUUUACUCUGCUCCAUAUCCAAAUCCAUAAUAAAAAUUAAGAUCCGUAUCUGCUCCAGAUCCGUCAUGAAUCCAUAUUUUUCGGUCCAUAUUCAGAUCCAAAAAAGAAAUAAAUAUCUAUAUCUACUCCAAAUCUGAAAAAAAUUAAAAUCCAAAUCUGCUCUAAAUCUGUCAUGAAUUCUAAAAUUCAGUAAUAAAAAAUUAAUAAUUUUUUAGAUUGAAAAUUGAAGGCUAAAAUGUAUUGAUAACAAAUAAAUUAUAUAAUUUUUCUCAAAAAUAUAAUAAAUAUUGUAUCUUAUACUUUUUCACCAAAACAACAAAUAAGAAAGAUAAUAAAAUAUCAUUUAGAAGUAAUUGCAGGAGUAAGAUCAAUCUAAUAUUAUAUUGUCUCCUUCAUCAUUCUAAUAUCCACGAUACACCUACCCUCAUUCCUACAACAUUAGAUAAUGACAUAUAAAUUAAAUAUGAUUUAUAUUCAGUCCUUUAUUAUUUUUAUUAUGACCAUAUUUGACUAAAUAUAUGAAUAACUAUAUUUCUUAAAAAUUAUUUGGCCAAUAUAAUAAAAUAAAUUGCCAAGUUAUAUUACUUGGCUUACAAUUUAAAUAUUGCAUGUACAUGCUUUGGGGUUGGCUGGCCUUUAAAUUUACAAAACUAACUUUUAAGUUUUAAGAGUUUAAAUGCAUGGUAAAUACUACUAAUAUGCUAUGAAUAAAAUUUAUUAUCAUUAUAAUUCCACAAUUGUUAAGAAACUUUUAAAAUAAAAUAAAAUUAAAAGAUGAGUGGAUAUGGAUAUGGAUUUAGAUAUUAAGAUAGAUCCAAAUCUGCUCCAGAUCCGUCUUAGAUCCGCACAUCGAUAUCCAAAUCCGAUCCAAAUCUAUUUUAAACCGAUCCAAAUCCGAUCCGAUUGGAUUUGGAUCACGUGGAUCUUGGAUCAGAUCCAAUCCAUUGCCAUCCCUACUAAGAUAUGACUAGGCUCCACAUGUUAUAUAUUAAUUUGAUUAAGCCCAGCUAAUUGUUAAUUAUUAAUUUGAUUGCGGCUUUUUAUUUUACCCACAUUUUUUACGCGUGAAAUCUUUCUUAGUGAAAAACUACACGUAUUUGCAAAUAUUCGGAAUGGACAUUUUCGAAAAAACAAGUAAAAGAAAAUGACUAAAAAGUAAAAGAAAAUAGACACCCAAUUGUAAUUACGAGUACAAUAGAAGGAAUGCAACACAAUACCGAUUUUGCAGUCGCUGAAGCUUAUUCACCCUAUGAGGGCUGAUCAGGUGGGGGCCGUCGCUCUCCUUACACUCUUAUAGAGAGUUAUAGUCCAUGAUCUCAUUGAGAGAACCAGCCAAGUGGGCAAUCGCUCCACCUGAUCAAAAUUCUUCAUCUUAUAAUAAUACCUUGAGUAGGCCUUCAAUUUUUUUUUUCAAUUUUAAUCUUUAAAAGGUAGAAGAGGUGAAAAAGUUAAAUAAUAUUUUUGUCCUCCUAUAUAACAUUUUUUGAAAAUCACUCGUUCUUAAAACUUAAUUAAGAAAAUAUUAUAGAUUUUUAAGUUAGUGGCCCUUAAAAUUUAUUUGCAAGUAACAAUUAGAGAAAAGUCGUCAUGCCCAAAUGACUUACUAAAAGUCUGCAACUCGUCAUGACCAAACAUCUUCCGAGUGUCAAAUACGGCAUGCGCAGAUGCACUAAAAACAAAGGCCAGCUAUGAUAAUCUUUGUAGUAUUAAUAAUUUCAGACGCGUCGUUCGUUGCCUGUGACUUUUCAUAUGCAAAAGCGGAGUCAGUGUUACUUGCAUUCACUGUCACCUUAUUAAUAAUUUCAGACACAUCGUUGGUUGCCUGUGAUUUUCAUAUUCAAAAGCACAGUCAGAAUUACAAUUUACAUUUGGAAUUGAGUGCCAUCUAUUUAUUCCAGCUAAAUCUAAAAUGAUGUUGCAGUAUUGCACUGAUUUUUUAGUCACAGCGUUUCUCUAUGAAUUCCUUAAACUUUAGACCCAUCAUAGAAUAAUUAUUUUCUUAAAGACCAAAUUAACAUAAUUCUUAAAUCAUUUAUAAAACAACAUUUAUCAGAUAACAGAUUGUACAUGAAUAAAUUUACCUUGAACCGUAGCAAACAAACAAGAAUCUCAACAACAUCAAUAUCAUAAUCCCUUCUGACCUUAACAGUAAUUUUAUUCGUCCUUAAUUCAUAGGUAUAAGUAUCCCAAUAUAUACUUGAUGUCAACCUUUACAAUUCUUUACAGAAUUGCAGCAGACCAAAUUUGUAUGCAAAACUGAAAUCAUACAGUAAUUGAAUACAGUGAAAAUAGACAUGAUGGGAAUUAGUAUAUAUAAAUAUCUUAAUAAUUUAAAAGUUUCUUAAACUGAUUUUACAUAUCUGAAAAAUUAUAGAAAUCGGAACUGCUGCAGAAAUCAUAAUUUUCCAGCGAAUGUGUUACAACUUCAGAAACUCAUAAGAAAUUAAAUUCUUGGGAUCACAAAAUAAUUCAUCAAUUUAAGAGAUUCAGCAGUACUUUUAUUACAUCAAUUCUUCAAACAAUCACCAAUCUAACAUUCAUCAAAAUUAAGUCAUAAAAGUCAUGUGGUUUAUAAAAAGAAUUACCUGAAAAAGAUUAGCCUUCCCCUUUCAAAAGCAACGAGAAACUCCAAAAACUCUUCUUCCAUUGCCUAUUCAAACAUGAAAAAAAAAAAUUAGUAUCUCUUCUUUAAACGCGCGAUGAGUGUGCUCUGUUUUCUCUGUUCUUUUUCUUUUUUAGAUUUCGAAAACGUAAAGAGUGUUGGAGUCUUUAUUUUCUAAAAACAAGACUUUUCCAUGUAUUCAGUUAAAUUAAAUUAUGUCCUAAUGCUAUGUCAGUUCCAUCAUUAGCAUUUUUUUUUUCCUUUUAACACCAACAUUAGCGUAUGUUAAGUAUCAUAAUCCAUAGUUGGACAAUUUGAAAUCUCUUCGUGUAGUUGACUGGCAACAACUAUAUUGGCAUUUAGACAUAAUGUACUGCAACCAUAUUGACAUGUUCAAAUGUUCUCACUAUUGUAUUGGUGUGUCGAUAUUAUCUCUAUCAGUCCUAUAGAUCCAAAAAUAAUCUAAAUUUACAAUUUAACUUAAAAUAAAAUAAUUGGUAGAAAACAAUUAUGGUUCAUUUACUUAUCAGUAAUUAAAAUAGACUGAAAUUAGAAUGAGUUGUAUUGACGUUGAUGUGUUUCUGUUGUCCUCGAAUCGGAAUGAAUUAUUUUAACUUACUAAAAUACCCUUUGUUUGUUAUUCUAAUUAUUAUUAUUUAAUAUUUAUUAUAAUAUUUGUCAUAUUAUUAAAAAGAAAUAAUAAUGAUGAUAAUAUUAUCAUUAUUGUUUGUUAUAUUAUUAUUAUUCAAAAAAAUUGUUGUUAAUAACUAUAAUAACUUUAUUUCAAUAAUAAAAAUGAUAAAAUUAAUAAUAACAAACAUGACAACAACAAUAAUUAUUUAUUAUGCCAAAAAAUAACAAUAAUGAUAAGAAUAAUAAUCAUCAUCAUUUUUUUCCCAAAGAAGCAUUAUCAUCAUCAUUUCAAAAAAAAAAAUCAUCAUCAUCAGCAUUUUUGUAGUGGCUGCCUAUCGGCUGCUGCUUUCAUGUGAGAUUGACUUGCGACGCUUCAACUACUAUUAUUUCUGGCAAUGUCAGGUGUUGUUGUUUCAAUCUGGGGAGAAGCUGUUUCGGUGAGCUAACAAUGGGAGGUGUUGCUGCUCGAUGCGAGGUCCAUGGCCAGCUGUCUUGUUUUACACCCAGCUCUUGUAGGAAAUUAUUCAUCCACAAUAUUUCUUUGUAACCUUCAAUAAUUGUAAUAUCAUUUGCUUCCGUGGUAGAAAAGACAACUCAUUACUAAAGUCUAGAUUGCGAUGAGACUGCCUUCCCUACAAAAGUGAGCAAAUAUCCUCAUAGGAAUCUUUCAGAAUCAACAUCUCUUGCCAUAUCUGUUAAGAAUAACAUAUGCUGAGUCAGCUACUGAGUCAUCAAGCCACGCUGGAAGUCAGUUUUGCAGUUAGUUAGAGAGCUUAUCAGCUUCUCUCCAAAAGUUUGUUAUGUGUAUUAGAAUAUGUGCUCACGAGUUUUGUGAGUUUGUAACCUUGAAAAGAUUCUCACACUACUAUAAAUUGUAUUGUGACUCAAUUAAUAAAAGUUGUUGAAGCUUUGCAUUUUCUCUCAGUCAAAAUUUUCUCUCUAUUUUUCUAAGUAACCAAACAAAAUCUACAGAGCAUUUUGUAUUUUAACUUGGUAUCAGAGCUUGAAUCCAAUGGCCUUAAUCGGUUCCAAUCAACAGUCGAGCAACACUUCCAUAACUUCUUUCACCUUCACAAAUCCAAUUAAGCUUGAUCGUGCAAACUAUACGAUCUGGAAACAGCAAGUACUUUCUUCAAUUCGUGGCAAUGGUCUUGAAGGCUAUAUUGAUGGAUCAAGGAUCUGUCCUAGUCAAUUUCUUUCUCCAGAGGCUAGAUCUGAAGGUUCUUCUUCUUCUAACAUCGAAGGUCAAGAGAAUCCAGAGUAUGCAGCCUGGAGACGUCAAGAUCAGCUCCUGCUCAGCUGGAUUCUGUCGUCCAUGAAUGUAGAUAUUCUCAGUCUUGUGGUAAGCUCUAAGACUUCUUUUGAGUUGUGGAAAAAUCUAGAAAAACAAUUUGGAUAUGAAUUUAUGGCUAAGAAGGUUCAUCUGAAAAUGCUUUUGAGUAACCUGCGAAAAGGAUCUCUAACCAUGUCUGAGUAUUUUACAAAGCUUAAGUCAGUUACAGAUGGUCUUGCUUUAGUUGGUAGCCCUGUGCAUGAUUUGGAUUUAAUCACUCAUCUUAUUACUGGUCUAGAUCAGUCAUAUUAUCCUGUAGUAGUCUAUAUUGAGGCAAACAUGUUGAAAAUGGAUCUUAGUGAGGCUUAUGCUAUGCUUCUCACACAUGAGGCUAGACUUGAGAAUAAUAAGCUUCAUGAUAGUAAAGAAACCAAGAACAAUUAUGCAACAAAUGUAGCUCAGGUUGGAAAUUUUUCAAAGAAAGGUAAUAACAAUAAUCAAAACAACUGGAAGGAUGGAGGAAACAAUUGGAAUAAUAACUCUGGUGGAAGAGGUGGUUACCAAGGGUUCAAUCCAGGAAGAGGAAACUGGAAUAAUAAUAAUUUCAGAGGUGUUGCUGGUGGAUUUAACAGUGGAUUUCCUGGUCUCGUGGCUUCAAUAACAAUUAUGGCAGAGGUGGUUUCAACUCAGGCCAAAAUUUGGUGGUUGUUGAAGCCAACAAAAAUAAAUUCCUACUCUAAAUAAAUUGUGUAUAGUGAUUGAGCAGGGUCGUGUCCACAGAGAUCGGUAAUUAUUUAAAUCCUUUUGAAACGUAAAACGCAAAAUGGGGGAAUUGUUGACAAUAAUAAAAAUCAAAUUAAAGUAACAAGAAUGCAAAUUAAAGUUGUAAUUCAAAUUGGAGAAAGCUCUGGUUGAAGGAAUUAACUCAGCUUGAUUCGACUACUGAUCAUUGAUUCAAAUAUAGAUUAUUAUUACUCAUGAAUAGACCGGUUAUAGCUACUGAGACCCUCUAAUAGCCAAUCUCUCCUUAACUAGUCGAUAACCAAGGUACGACCGUUGGUUAUUUCCCUAAUCAAUAGACAACCCUAGAUACGAUCAUAGAAUUUAAUCAAUUGACAGCCUGAAAAACCAGAGAGACCCAAAUCCUAAUCAACACAUAUGAUGAUUCAUUUAAAUUAGAUUGUUUAUUCUCACAACACAACUCUCUGCUAUGUUAUUUGUCACAAGCAUUAAAUUCUUCAUACGAUGAAUCCUUUAAUUGACAAUAGAUUAAGUUGAUAAUUAAAUAGUGGCCAAUUACCUAAUUAACAAACAUAAUCAUGAAACUAAUUCAGAGAAUAAACAAAUACCCAAAAAGCAAUAAAACAAUUAAAGCACAAGAAAGAUCUCAUAGUAGUGAUGAAUCAAAGCUUCAUUAACCUUCAACCAGAAAAAUAAGUUUAGUUCUUCAUAGAGAGAAGAGAAAAAUUAAAUCUAGGGUUUCUUUCUUUUUUUUUUUUCCAAUCCAAAAAAUCCCCCUUUUUCACAAUAGAUUCCUCCCUUAAAUACUCUCUCUCUCUUCUCCUCUAGAAUUUUAUUUAAAAUAAAAUACUAAUAUCUGAAAUAUUAAAUUCGUAAUUACAAAAAUAACCAAAAAUACAAAACACGUUAAACUAAAAACUGCAGGUCCGCAGUUGACAGCACGCGCCCACGCCUUAUCAAUAAAGUUCUUCUGACGCUCAUAAUUUCUCCAAGAGAACAAUCAUCCUUAAACAUCAUCUUAUAGCUCAAUUUUAUCACCAACCAAUAGAAUUGCACCUACAAAAGUAAAUCACUAUUAUUAAGUGCAAAACAUCGAUAUUAAAAGAAGUAAACAAUGCAAAACUAGUGCAUAAAUUGCACUCUAACAGAGGUGCUGGAAAGAAUUUUGCUCAGGGAACUGGUGCUGCUUGUCAGAUAUGCUUCAGGUUUAAUCACACAGCAGCUGAUUGCAGAAACAGGUUCAACAGAAAUUUUAUCCCAAAUUUUCCAGCUCCAGCUCCAAAUUACUUCUCUAAUCAGCACCAAGGACCAAGAGCAGCCUUCAUAACAACAUCUGAAGGAGCUGCUGAUCAGGGAUGGUUUCUGGAUAGUGGUGCAACUCACCACUUAACCAACACAGUUCAGAAUCUGAGUGAUGGUAAGAUCUAUUUUGACUCAAACUUACUUACUGUUGGUAAUGGCCAAGGUUUUAGAAUUACUCACAUAGGUUAUACACAACUUCACACUUCUUUUGGCACCUGCUUACAACUACAGAAUAUUUUGUGUGUUCCUCAAAUUACCAAGAACCUCAUUAGUAUUUCCAAACUCCUCACUGAUAAUGAUAUAAUCAUUGAAUUUUUCUCUGAUGUUUGCUUUCUAAAGGACAAGGUGAAGGGCACUCUGUUGGCUUAGGGGAUUGCUAGAGAUGGCCUAUACAAGCUACUGUCAAAAAAGGAAUCUCUCUCUUCUUCCACUUCUGUUCUGCCAGUGUCUCAUCCUAGUUCUAUGAUGUCAACUCUUUCCUGCAAUAAUGUAAUUACUUCUGUUCAAAGUUCAAAUAAUGACUUCUGUUUUAAGUUUACAUUUCCUGUAAGCUUUCAAACUUCAAUUUCUGUGUCAGCAAAUAUAUUGCACAAUAGACUUGGUCAUCCAAGUAAGCAUGUCAUACAAACUAUUCUCAGAAACAAUUGUUUAAUGUCAGCCAAUGUUAAUAAAUCAAAUUUUCUUUUCUGUGAUGCCUGUCAACUUGGAAAGUUACAUCAAUUACACUUUCCCGCUACUAAAAUCAAAACAAAAUAUCCCUUAGAAUUAAUACACACAUACUUAUGGGGACCAGCUCCAGUUUUAUCACUAGAUGGUUAUAGAUACUAUAUUUCCUUUGUUGAUGACUUCACCCGAUAUUGUUGGAUCUUUCCCUUAGUUUUAAAAUCUGAUGCCCUUACUACUUUCAAAAACUUCAAGAGCUUAGUUGAGAAACAAUUCAAUCUGCCCAUCAGAAUUUUACAGUCUGAUAUGGGAGGUGAAUUCAAAGCUUUUCAGUCAUUUCUUCAACAAUAAGGUAUCCAAGCUAGAUUUAGUUGUCCCUAUACUCACCAUCAAAAUGGUGUUGUUGAGAGAAAACAUAGACACUUAGUAGAAACUGGAUUAACACUCCUUGCUCAAGCAAAAAUGCCUAUUUCUUUCUGGUGGGAGGCUUUCCAUACAACCUCUUAUCUCAUUAAUAGAAUGCCUACCACUACACUGAACAACUUAUCUCCCUAUCAAAAGCUUCAUAAUCAGCCACCAAACUAUCAACUUCUCAGAGUUUUUGGUUGUGCUUGCUAUCCUUUUCCCAGGCCUUAUAAUGACCACAAGCUUGAUUUUCAUUCCCAAAAAUGCUUGUUUUUAGGUUACAGCCCUCUUCACAAAGGAUAUAAGUGUCUAACAAAGUCAAGCAAAGUAUAUGUUGCUGUUCAUAUUAUUUUUAAUGAGUCUGAUUUUCCCUAUUCAGAGUUGUUCGCUUCAUCUGAAUCUUCUUCCAAUUCUCUGUCAUCAUACUCUCCAUCUAUUUGUAUCCUCAAUGACAGUGGCUUGCAUCAGUCAUCAGCUAUAUCUCCUGCUUUAGCAGAGUUACCAACUCACAUUCACCUCAACAUCCUCACCAAGCCCCACACUCUCCUUGUCCCUCUCCAGUCUCAAAUUCCUACGGCUCAUCAUCACCACAUUCUUCAUCACAUAAUGCUUUAGCCAAUCCCUCUGAUGAAUUACAACCAUCAUCUCAACCUGUCAUUUCAACUCAUCAGAUGGUUACUCGAGCCAAAUCUAGUAUUUUUAAACCAAAGACCUACCUUACAGCUACCGAAGACCUUGAACCAGUGAGUGUUAAAGCAGCCCUGAUUGAUACAAAGUGGAAAAUGGCUAUGCAAGAAGAGUAUAAUGCUUUGCAGAAGAAUGACACCUGGACAUUAGUUCCAGCUGAAACCGCUACAAAACUCGUUGGAAAUAAGUGGGUUUUUAGAGUUAAAUAUAACCCAGAUGGUAGCAUUUCCAAGUAUAAGGCUCGGUUGGUUGCAAAAGGUUUUCAUCAAACUUAUGGAGUAGAUUUCUUUGAAACCUUUAGUCUAGUUGUUAAACCCUACACUGUUCGUAUUGUUCUCAGCUUAGCAGUCAUGCAUUGUUGGCCAGUUCGGCAAUUGGAUGUUAACAAUGCCUUUCUUAAUGGCAUGCUUACUGAAAAUGUGUUUAUGCCUCAGCCAGAAGGCUUUAUCAGCUCUCAGUUUCUCAAUCAUGUCUGCAAAUUACAAAAAGCCAUUUAUGGUCUUAAGCAGGCUCCAAGGGCUUUGUAUGAUAGAUUGAAAGGGUCUUUAGUUCGGUGGGGUUUCAGAUCUUCAAAGUCAGAUACUUCACUGUUUUUCAAGCAUAUUGGCAAUAAUGUUCUCAUCAUCCUUGUUUAUGUAGAUGAUAUCCUGAUAACAGGCUCUAGUGCUGUUUAUAUUUCAGAGGUUAUCAGUCUACUUAGCUCAGAAUUUGCACUUAAAGAUUUAGGAGAUUUUAACUACUUUCUUGGGGUAGAAGUGACUCCAUCUGCUGAAGGAUUACAUCUAUCUCAAACUAAGUAUGUUGGUGACAUCUUAAGAAAAGCUCAUAUGCUUGAGAGUAAAGGCUGCAAUACACCUAUCAGUAUUGUUGAUAAGUUGCAGAAGGACAAAGGUUGCUCAUUUACAAAUCCCUCACUUUACAAAAGCAUCAUUGGUUCUCUGCAGUAUCUGACACUGACCAGACCAGAUAUCGCAUUCACUGUAAACAAAUUGAGUCAGUUUUUAGCUGCUCCAACUAUCUUGCAUUGGCAGGCUUGCAAGAGGGUAUUACGAUAUCUACAAAGCACAACACAUUUUGGACUGCAGUUCUUCAAGUCAGGUCCUCCAAGUCUCAUAGCAUAUUCUGAUGCAGAUUGGGGGUCUGAUCCAGAUGAUAGAAGAUCUGUUGGAGGGUAUUGUGUUUAUCUUGGAUCCAAUCUUGUGUCUUGGUCAUCUAAGAAACAGAACAUUGUUUCCAGGUCAUCUGCUGAAUCUGAGUAUAGAGCUUUGGCCUUAGCUACAUCUGAGGUUUUGUGGAUUACAUAUCUGUUGAAAGAGCUCAAAGUAUCACUUCCCAAACCUCUUGUUCUUUACUGUGACAACAACAGUGCAGAAGCUUUGGCUAGCAAUCCUAAGUAUCAUUCCAGAACUAAACAUAUAGAACUGGAUUUACAUUUUGUCAGAGAACACAUUGCCAACAAGGAUCUCUUCAUUGAACAUGUGUCUAGUUCUGAUAAGUUAGCUGAUGUGCUUACCAAACCUCUGAGUUUUGAUAAUUUUGCCUAUAUGCGAACUAAGCUCAAUGUCUGCCCACGACCUUGAGCUUACGGGGGCAUGUUAAGAAUAACAUAUGCUGAGUCAGCUGCUGAGUCAUCAAGCCACGCUGGAAGUCAGUUUUGCAGUUAGUUAGAGAGCUUAUCAGCUUCUCUCCAAAAGUUUGUUAUGUGUAUUAGAAUCUGUGCUCAUGAGUUUUGUGAGUUUGUAACCUUGAAAAGAUUCUCACACUACUAUAAAUUGUAUUGUGACUCAAUUAAUAAAAGUUGUUGAAGCGUUGCAUUUUCUCUCAGUCAAAAUUUUCUCUCUGUUUUUCUAAGUAACCAAACAAAAUCUACAGAGCAUUUUGUAUUUUAACUAUAUCUACACACUUAUAACACAAGUUUGUCACCACUAAAAUAUAAACAUGUUCUGUAAAUGCCUCUAAGAUAUCUGAGAAUUCAUUUCACUACUGUCCAGUGCUCUUUGUCCAGAUUGGAGAGAAACCGACUGACUACACUAACUGCGUAAACAAUACCUGGUCUUGUACAAAUCACGGCGUACACCAAACUGCCAACUGCUGAAGCAUAAGGAACUCCUCUCACGGAGAAAUGGGUUUUGCUCUUGAGAUCUUUGGGAACAUGAAGAAUAAAGAUGUAAUUUCUUGGACUGACAUUGUUUCGGGGUAUAUAAAUAGAGGACAAGUGGAUAUAGCUCGACAGUAUUUUGCUCAGAUACCAGAACGAGAUUAUGUCUUAUAGACUGCCAUGAUUGAUGGGUACCUUCGAGUGAAUAGGUUCAGAGAGGCUUUGACACUUUUCCGGGAGAUGCAAACUUCAAAUAUAAGGCCAGACGAGUUUACCAUUGUUAGGAUUCUUACAGUUUGUGCGAAUCUGGGGGCACUAGAACCGGGAGAAUGGAUAAAGACUUACAUUGACAAAAACAAGGUCAAGAAUGAUAUAUUUGUGGGGAAUGCUUUGAUAGACAUGUACUGUAAAUGCGGAGAUGUUGAGAAAGCUCAAAGGGUACUCAGGAAGAUGCUUCGAAAGGACAAAUUCACAUGGACGGCCAUGAUUGUUGGCCUUGCCAUCAGUGACCCAUUUCCUACGAUCAGACCGGAUAAGGUAACUUAUGUUGGUGUUCUGUCUGCCUGUACUCACAAUGGUAACGAAACUUUUGUGAUAAAUAGUUGCGACUUAAGGUGAGAAUUGGAGGAAACGAAAUAGACUGAAGUUGUUCAAUCAUCGGUGGUUGCUAUUUGAUUUUAAGUUGUUCAAUCAUCGGUCAUCUCUAUUUGGUUUUCUCCAAUAUCUCAUCUCCAGUUUUGACUCAGAUUCUGUCUUACCACUAGUAAUUAAAAGUGAGGAGGCAGCAGUCAAUGCUAUUUCGGCUUGGCCCAAAAUUUCACCAGUUUGUUAGUGUUCUGCAGCUCUUGCUGCUUUCCUAGAGAUUCUGCAUCUUUUGCAAUUUGAUUGAUUAAAAAAAAAAAAAUUAGUGGCCAUUUAGAAUGAAGGAGAGAUUUGUGUGAAUGGUAUAGGUGAAAAAUUGGAUGAAAAUAAACAGGCAACCGUCCGUAUAAAACAACAAUAACAAUAUACAAAAAGAUAAGUAGACACUUCUGUAAUUCACGAAAGGAAAUUUAUGGUUGUUUCUGAAAAACAUACAUAUUAAUUUCACUUAUACUCUAAGGUGGGAUAGAUGUCAACUAGCUAUGCUAAUGAUACCUUGCCAUCAUGACUGGACUUGUGAGGAAUUUGGAAACAUGUAUGAUGAUUGUUACUUACACAAUUGUAGAAAGAAAUGCUGAGGUGGCUUGAACCAGAUGGUGAAAUCGUCUAACACACUUAAUUGUUAGAUGUGUUUUGGAUAUUCACAGUUAGGUUGAAAUUUGUAGUUUUCACUUGAAAGAAUUCAGUUAAAAAUUGAUUGGUAGAAUUGUAAAAUAGUCUAAAUUUUUAGUUCAAACCCAUUGCAUAUUUAAGAACAUCUUAAAUGAAUUGCUUAUUGCUAUCAUCAUCAUUAUUGUCCAUAUAAUAAUAAUAAUAAUAAUAAUAAUAAUAAUAAUAAUAAUAAUAAUCAAUAGAAAUGUUAUCUUAUCCACUAUUUUAUAUAUGUUUCCACUAAAAUCUAUUUAAUUAUUCUUUAUUUUUUUUCAACUGUUGCAUGUUAGAUUUAUUCGAUUUCCUAAGUUAUAUCAAUAGAAAUGUUAUCUUAUCCAUAAAAAGUUAGAUCUAACAAUUAUGAAAAUUACUAUAGUGCUGCUUUGAAUAAUUUUUUAAAAAUACCACAAGUAAAUAAUAAUUAGUUUAAAUAGUGGAGACUAAAAAGCAUUCACCCUUAUUUUUUAUCUGUUAUUAGUUUUUUUUAAUCUGUUAUACAUUUGAAACAUUCCAUUAAUUGCCAAUUAUGUAAGCGAGAUAGUAAUUAAUUUUUUUUAUUUAAAAAAAGUGAAAAUUAAUCCUAUGCAAUGUGAAUAAAUUUCUUUCCUUUUUCCUUCACUCUUUUUAUUUGAUAAUUAAGUUUCAAUCUAUGUACGCAAAAUUUCUGCAACAGCUGCAAAACAUAAAAAUAUAUGAUUGUUAAGGGAAACACGCAGAAGUUCAUCACUUCAAUGUUCAGUAUUUCCAAUUUUGGCAUUAAGCUCUUACGAAUAUAUUCCACUUAGAAAGCAAAAUAUUAGAAUUGUGAUUUUAAUUCAUUCAUCAUAUCUCAUUUCAAUCCCAAAAUAUUCAAGUGGAUCCAAGUUACCAUAAGGCUUCAGAGGCUCGAGCCUUAGCCAGAGAUGGUUAAUUGAUAGACUAGGUAAGAGAAACCAAGGUUGAAGUAUGUAGAAAUGUUAUUUCAUUUAUUUUUAUUUAUGAUUUUUUGUAAAAUGUAAGAAAUAUGUAGAAAUGUUGCCAGCAAUGAUUUUGGAACUUUGCAUAAAAUUUUUAUCAUUAUUGUUUUUGGUAUUAAGAAAUCCGAGGCGGUGAUUAGACGUAUGUUGCAACAAUUAAGAAAUUUCUUAUUGGAGAUAAUUUGGUAGGUUGCAACAAUUAGAGAAUCAUUUUCCUGUCAGUUAAUCAAUCAAUAAUAAAUUUCAAAUUGCAGAAAAUAAAAUAAUACUGUCGCACUUAGAAUCAUCUUUUCUAUCUCUUUCAAUUGUGACAAUCAUUUGUAACAAAUAAAUCAAUUUGAUGCACAUCAUUUCCCCAAUUCAAAGUUCAAGUCACUGCUCAAUUGCAGAGUAGUUAGUAGACAUGCAUGCAUGUUUAAUUAAGUACUGCAUUGUAGUAUCGAAAAUCAUAACAUCUCACCAAGCCCGGAAGCAUAGCUCUUUAUCUUGUAAAUGUUGAAAUCUUAUGCAAACUAUGGGAACCAUGAGCUCACUCUCAGUGUCACUUGAUUCCAUUUUCUGUUCUUGCCUUGAUUUCGAUGUUGGGAAUGUGACGUCUGAGUCUAAGGUUGAAGAUAAUCUCGAUGCCUUGCGGACUGCAAUGGAAAUAAAAUAUUUGUGUGUUGAGAAAUGAUGAAAUGAUGCAAUGGAAAUAAAAUCUCAAUCUCUUGAGAAAUGAUGUGAUAAGAAGAGUUACUGUUGCUGAAGGACAACAUCAAAUGCAACGAAUGGAUCGAGUGCAGGGCUGGCUUUCAAGGGUAAAAUCUGUGGAAAAUAAAGCUGAUGAUUUGAUGAGACACAGCUCUCAAGAGAUUGAGAAGUUAUGCCUUGGAGGCUUCUGUUCCAGGAACUGCAAAUGAAGCUACAGCCGUGGGAUAGAAUUUGCAACAAUGCUACGAUUGUGGAGAGUUUAAUGGGUGAAGGAUCAUUUGAAUAGGUGGCUGAGAGGGUGCCAGAAGAUGCAGCAGAGGAGAUAAAUUGUGAGCCAACAAUAGUGGGCAUGUUGUCGACUUUUGAGAAAGCCUGGAGAUGCCUUGAAGAAGAAUCAGUUGGAAUUAUUGGCCUAUAUGUCAAUGGGGGAGUUGGAAAAUAUUUACUCAAAUCAACAACAAGUUCCUUGAUAGUCCAAAUAAUUUUGAUGUUGCGAUCUGGGUAAUGGUCUGCCAAGAUUUGCAACCCCAGAAGUUUCGGGAAAAGAUUGGGAAAAAGAAAGUCUUGUUCGAUGAGUACCGGAUUGAACUAUAUUAGAUUAUAUUUAAAUAAUAUUAAAUAGUAUUUAAGUUGGUAUUCUAAUAUAAAUAUCAAUUAUCCAUGAAAUUUUAUAAUCAUAAUUAAAAUAAAUUUAAAAAGCAAUUACUAGGAAAAUUAAAUAUAUUGCAAAAAGUUAUUGGGUAGUCAUAAUAUAAUAGGCAAAUAAAAUUAAAUAAAACAAAUUACAUAUUUAAUUAUAUUUAUCAAAUAUUUAAAAAUAUUAUAUAAAAUAUUAUAUAAAAUCAAUUAAUUAAUGAUAUUAUUAAUUUUCAUGAUUAUUUUUAAUAUUAUAUUACUGAUUAUUAAAUUUAAUACAAUCAAAUAAUGCAAUAAAUAAUUAAACAUUCAAUUUUAUUGAUUAAUUAUUAAAUAUACAAGUAAUGAAAAUUUUAUCUCAAGAGUUGGUAGAAGCGAAAGUACUAAUUUAAUUAGAUCAUAGAUAAUAAAUAAAAAUAAAUUUUAAGUAAAUCAUAAUAAAAAAUUAAUUAAUUAAUUCAAUCAAUCAAUAUUAGGUGUAAAUAAAAAAAUGAUAUAAAUAAAAAUCUCAUAAAUGUACAACUUUUAUCUUUAAUCUUAUCCUAAAAGAACAAAAAGCAGAAUAUAUAUUGAAGUGUUUUUCACACCUUUUCAUUAACUGGAAUGCAUGUAUUUAUAUACAUCAUUUGUAACUAAUAAAGAGAAAAUAAAGGAAACUAUACAUGAGAGUAUCAAGGAGAAUAAUGGAAGAGAUUGUUGUCCGUAACUUGUGGAGAGUAUCAUGGAGCUUGAGAUUAUCUGAUAUGCCCCCGCAAGAGGGUGUUGCCAUUGGCGACACCCAUCUUGAACCUUAAUUCAGAAAAUGGUCGCUUAGAGAGGGGCUUGGUUAGGCUAUCAGCAAGUUGAUCUGCUGUAGAUACAUAAGAUACGCGCAAUAGCCCUUUGUUGACCCAAUCACGAACAAAAUGAUAAGCAAGAUCAAUGUGUUUUACCCUUGAAUGAAAGACUGGAUUGCGACACAAAUAGGUAGUUCCAAUAUUAUCACAAUAGAUGGUAGGAGUUUGACUCAAUUGAAGGCCAAGUUCUUGAAGUAGAUUCUGAACCCAUCGAACUUCAGAGGCUGCAUUUGCGACAGCCAAGUACUCAGCUUCUGUUGUGGAACGAGCUAUUGAUUUUUGUUUGUUCGAGCGCCAUGAGAUAGGAUUGCCGCCUAGAUAAAGCAUAUAGGCUGAUGUAGAAGUAAUGAAAAUUUAAUCUCAAGAGUUGGUAGAAGCGAAAGUACUAAUUUAAUUAGAUCAUAGAUAAUAAAUAAAAAUAAAUUUUAAGUAAAUCAUAAUAAAAAAAUUAAUUAAUUGAUUCAUCAAUCAAUAUUAGGUGUAAAUAAAAAAAAUGAUACAAAUAAAAAUCUCAUAAAUGGACAACUUUUAUUUUUAAUCUUAUCCCAACUAAACACAUGUGUAAAUUAGGAUUAUUAAUUCCAUAAUUUUCGGAUUAAAUUCAAAUUUAUUCCCCCUUAAUCCAAUUCAACUAAACUUGUCAAACAUGGGAUAAAAAUUUAAUUAUAAAAUUAGUCCAAUUCCAUACUUAAUCCUAGCAUCCAAAUAUAGCUCAAGUUCUUUGCUUAAAGAAGCUACCAAAUUUGAAGAGCGUUUACGGGAAGGCCUUGCGUUUCCCAGAUGUAUGCAGAAUUUUUGUAUCUAAAUGCCCAGAACUUAAGAAGCUGACGCUGGAUUUUGAAAGGGCGGGCCAAGGUAAAAUUCUUAUCAAAUGAAAGGAAAAUCGAUGGAAACAACUUCAAUGGGAGGAUCAAGCAACUCAGGAUGCAUUGCUUCUGUUUUUCAAAUCAACUGACAAGUGAUUGAAGGGGGCAUCAUCAGCCUGGAUGGGGAGAUCCUGGAGCAGAUCAGCAGGGUUUGAAUCUGCAUCAUCAACAUCAUCAGGAUCUCUAUUUCUAUUGCUGGUCGUAAUGCCUGCCGACUGUUGCUUGAAAAAGUGAUUAAGUGAGCCAGUUUUUUGUUUAUUAAAUUUUGUUUUGUAGAGACAGUCACAAAGUAUUUUUCUUAGUUGUUCUAUAUGAGAGUGAUGUGAACCAAUUUUUCAAUUAUAUAUUCUGUGGGAAAUUGCAAGUAUUUUUAAAAUAUGAUCGUUAUUAAAGGAAACAAAGGAAUCAACACAGCAUACUGAACCUCAGCAGUAUGAAGCUAAUGAUUAAACUCCUCACACAAUUCAUAACAUGCAAAACCAUUCACAAAAUCAUCCACAGCAACCAUAAUUGGCGUCCAAUAGAAAUUUACAAGAAUUACUUUUCUGUUCAUGCAAUCGGCGUCUGAACGCGGCUGAUCGGUCACCGGUGUUGGCGUUUACUGUGAUUAGACAAAUUGUAGCACUUCAAAAAUAACUUCUAUAGGGGUAAUUUCGAUUUCACAUAAUUAAUUUUAUUUACAAUAUUUUAUUCCUGCAAGGUCAACUGAGAUUCUUUCCACCGGGCACACCCUUCAUGUUCUUUUAUUUUCUGUCUUUUAUUAGCCGUUGGAUUUUACUACUCUUAUAUCCAACGGCUUGCCACAACAAGACAAAUGAGGUGGUACCUUUCAACCGCUGAAAGGUAGUUUUGGCCCCAAGUGAAAGAGGGAAAUAGGGAAUUGAUGCUAUAUUUUAUAUUUUCUAUUUUACUACUCUUGUAUCCACCGGCCUUUCUUAUAUUUUAUUGCAAAUUGAUGCUAACAAGAAAAAGCUAGAUCAUAUUCCACAGAAAAGUGAGAAAACAACCAGAUGGAUUCUUUUAUUAAACUACAAAUUAAAAUGGUAUCACAAAUUCUCAUCAAUUUAUUUAAAUAUAUUCUUUUAACCCUCUUUUUAAUUUCACAAAUUCUCAUCAAUUUAUUUAAAUAUAUUCUUUUAACCGGAAACAAUUGAUAUCACUUAUUAAGAAUAACAAAAUUUACUAUUUAAAAAUGAAGAUCAAUAAAUUUUUAUCAAUCAUGAAAGUUAAUGAGUGUCAAGAAAUUAAUUUUUGCUAAACAUACAAGCUAAUAACUAUUAAAAAAAUCUUAUAUUAUAGAGAUCAUAUAUAUUAAGAAAGACCAAAAAAAAAAUUAAAAAAAUAGUUAAAUUCAGUGUAUAGUUUAUAGGAUGUGAGAGUGGUAAAAGAAUAUAUAAUUGUAAAAUAGAGAAAAAGAAAAAGAGAUUAGUAGAGAAUAAUUUUGAGAUUUUUUAAUUUUUAAUUUUUAAUAAUAAAUUUAUUUUAAAAAAUAGGUGUGGAGAAAAAUUUGAUGGGUUCAAGCAAUUCCACCUAAUUUUAUAUUAUCAAUACGCAAAUGAAAGUACAAAAAUACCUCUAAUAGAGUGAAAUAAAGAGUUCUCUAAUCUCUAGGGUUUCUCAUUCCAAUUUUGAAAUUUCCCUACUUUAUUUUGAAUUAACCCUCUUUGUUACCAUUGAAUUGUAACAUUCAAAAUUUGAAUAUGUUUUUACAAAUAGAAGAUUAUUGGGACAAAAACAAUAAGAAAUAGAAAACCUAGUUGAAAAAGGAUAUUACAAAAAAAGAAAUUGCCAUUACCAUUCAAACAUUUACACAGUAAAGGCAUUAACAGCAUAAGGCGGCAAUAAAACUUACUCAUAAUUAGGGGUGGCAAAAAAGUCCGAGCCGGCUUAGGCCCGGCCAAGCCCAGUCUAGAUCCGUGGACUUAAAGUCCGACCCGUAAGGAUGUGGGCUUAGAUAUAGACCUAAAAAUUACAAAACCCACAUAUAUUAGACCUAAACAAGAACUUAGCAAAAAAACCCAAACUUUCUAAAUUUAUGAAUAAAAAAUAAAUUUAAUUUAAAUAAAAAAAAUUAAAAUAUUAAAUUAAUUGAAUUUUUUAUAUUAAUAUUUAUUAUUUUAUUAAAUUAUAUUGUUAAUAUUUAAUGUAUUUGACUAUUAUUCUAUUUAUAUAUUAUAUUAUUAUUUUUAAUUUAAAUAUUUUUCUUAAUUUAAAAAAUUUUUAUAAUUAAUUUAAAAAGUUCAGGCCCAGCCCGAGUUCGGUCCAUCCAAAUUUAACGGAUUUUUGAAGAACCUGAACUUCGUUUGAAUGAUAUGGGUCCGGCCCAAGCCCGCAAAUUGCCAUCCCGUGAUAAUAACAAACAGAUAUGGCCCAGCCCGAGUUCGGUCCAUCCAAAUUUAACGGAUUUUUGAAGAACCUGAACUUCGUUUGAAUGAUAUGGGUCCGGCCCAAGCCCGCAAAUUGCCAUCCCGUGAUAAUAACAAACAGAUAUAGAUAGAUCGAUGGAUGGCAUUUUUUAAAUGUACCUUAAAAACCAAAACAAAAGCAAAAAUAUUAAAAUAUUACACCAACUGCUAACUAAUUAAUCUAAUAAAACGCCUCGCUUAAUCAUUUCCAGUCCACUAAACACGCUGAACGGAUUCCAGCCUCUGAAGUCUCAUCUCAUUGUUAAAUUCAUUGAUGAAAGCUUCAACUCGCCGAUUCAACUCAUCUUGACUCAUCGAUUCCUCCCUCCUCAGCGACGUUCUGUCACUGAACGUCUCAGAUUUCCUCAGCUCACGUUUCGCCCAAGCCGUCGGAUCAUUCUCAUCAUUAUCACUACCACAGGCGAUGGUGAUGAUGUGGAAGGUGGAAGAAGCGGCGAUGGUGAUGAUGAUGAUGAUGAUGAUGAUGAUGAUGAAGUUGACUAUGAUGUAAUUGUACGGCGGCGACAGCCAGAACCUCAAAGAAAUGAAGAGGCUAGGGAUUGUCGAUACCGUGAAACAAAUGUACGGGAUUAUUGCUACCUUAAACAGCAUGAAAGUUGAAACAAACCCGGCUGACAAAAAUAACAACUUUGCUACCCGCGUUACUGUCUCUAAUCUGCUUGAUUUUGGGUCGAAAUUUUGAAAAAGAUCCCCCAUUUUUCAAUUUUCACACACAAUAAAGAAGGAAAAAGAAAGGUAGCUAGAUUUUUUUUUUGUUUUUCAACAAGGGAAGAAAUAAGAAAAGAACAUUAAAAGGAUUUUUCAGGCUUUGAUGGUCAUUAAAAUGAGACCCAGGAAACCAUUGAAGCUAAAAAAAAAACGAGAAGCCAUGUAUUUAUAUAUGCUGCUUUGCUUUACAAAAUCUGACUGGCAUCAGGGUGAAAAAAAAGUGCCAUUUGUUGGUACAGAGAGACAGAGGAGAGUAGAGAGGCAGAUGCAGGGGCAGGGGCGAAGUCAAGGGACCAUUGAAUGGGCAAGCGAGGUUUCAAUUUAUGUAACGAGGGACGAUUAAAGUUCUUGCAACUUUCCUGCCGUCUGAUGAAAUCUUGACCGUUCGAUGGUACAAUAAUGGUUAUAAUGAUCUUGAAAGUGUUGGAGAGAUAAGUUUGUACAGAUUAUGUACGCUAAAUAAAAUCACAUUUAAAAUGGUUUUUGAUUUUAUUCUAUUACAGAUUACUUUUAUUAAAUAAAUGAAGGUACAUUGAGUGAGUGAGUGAGUGACUUCACGAUUUUGCACUAACGCCGCUGUGUUAUCCUCCGCGGCACUUGUCCUCAUCAUUUGUAAUUGAAAAGCUGAUUUAAGAUUUUAGAAUAGUGCCUUUUGGAAAAAAAAUAUAUAUAUAUAUCAACGGCCGAUUGAGAUUUCUUUUUUGAAGAUUUAAAAUUAAUUUUUUAAAAAAUUAAAAAUUAAUUUUAAUAUUUUAUAAGUUUUAAAAAAAUUAUUUUUAAUAAAAUCACUUCAUAGUAGAUUCCGGAAAGUAGAUAUCUAUGCUUUUUAAAUUUUAAUUUUAAGAAUUAAUUUUUUACUUAAUAUAAUCCUUGCAUAUAUUAUAAAAUUUUAAAAUCAUCUUCAUUAAUUACAAAAUAAGAUCAUUAAUUUUAAGGAGAUUAUAAUCAUUAUCAAUUAUAGGGAGAUUAAAUGCUUAAAGUGACAAGUGCAAAACUAUUUAAAAAUAGUCAGUAAAAGUAUAGGUGGGCAAUUAGUUCAAUUCUAUUUGAAUCAACUAAAUUAAAUUAUAUCGUGUUUCAUAAAUUUUUAAAGCAACUGAUUUUUUGUUUGGUUUAGAUAAAAAUUAAACUAAACCGAAAAAUCAAACGGUUCAAAGAAAAAAAAGUUAAAAACAAAUUUUAUAAACUGAUCGGUUUCCGUUAGAUUCAAUUCCAAAUCUAAACAAACCAAUCCAAAGUGAAAAUAAACAUUUUUGUUGAAUGCACUUUUAAUUUGUUUGGAUACGUCUCGACCCUCCAGUCUCUUGAUUAAAGUUCAUUUAUUAGGGUCCGCUUGUAAUACAGCGUCUGUAUCUCAUACAGUCAAAUUUAAUAUUUUAUUAAGAAAAAGGGCAACCGUUAGAUAGAAGUAGAUACAUCCAAUGGUUAAUAUCUGUGAUUACUCAUUUUGGUGACCGGAUAUGCCAAUUAUUAUUUCAUCAAUUAACUUACCUAAAAAAUCAUAGCCGUUGGAUUGAGAUGCCUCUCUCUCCCUCAAAAUAACAGCCUUCGUAUUCUCUCUGCUAUUGUUUUGUCCUACAUCUAGAAUUUUGGAUGAAUGAACUUGGUAUUCAAGAACAUUCACCACCCAUCACAGCAAAGAGCAAAGAUAUAGUCGAAGGAGUGCCAUUUAUUCAGGCUUACUUGAUCUGUCAGUCUCGCUUCAAUUCGUCACUCAUUUUCUUGCGCUCAGCUUCAAUCUAUCACUCUCAGCUUCAGUUCGUCACUCAUAGCUUCAAUUUUUUCACUGUCGUGAAUCAUCUCUCUUGCUGUAUCUCUCUCUUAUGUCUUCCAAUAAUUUCGGUGAGCUCUCUCUCUAAUUUAAUAUAUGAUUAAAAAUCUUAUCAUCUUAUCAUGUCAUUUAAAUAUGCUUGAAGUUUCAAUUUAGUUUAUGAAUAUUACUUGAAAUUUUAGAUUCAAUAAUUUUAGUUUUUUUUUUCUCUAUCAUCAAUCAUAUAUUUUUUCUUGCUCUUUAACUUCUUAUCUUCAACUAAAUGUGACCUUACAUUUAUUUAGUGUAUGAUCAAUUUUUAAAUGCACAAUAAGCAUUGCAAAGUUGGCGUUAUGCAAAGGCUAUCACAAUGUGAGCGUUCAAUUGGACAGAGUGUCAUGAUCAUACAUCCUUGAACCCAAUAUUUAUUCCAAUAACAAAUGUAGAUACGUAAACUACUUUUUUUUUUUAAAUAAAAAUAAAAAACUUCAAUGAAUCAAUCAAUUAUUUUCUGAAAUGUUAUGCGAAUUGUGAUUGUGAGAUUAAAAAAAAAUAUCCAUGCAAAUCAAAUUGUAACCGCCCUCUCAAGAUAAACCAAGUAACACAAAGCAUCAUUAACUCUUUCUUGUUUCAGCCACAGUACUAUUUUUUGCUUGAUGAGAAUAUAUUUAAAUAGUAUUUAAGUUGGUAUUUUAAUAUAAAUAUCAAUUAUCCAUGAAAUUUUAUAAUCAUAAUUAAAAUAAAUUUAAAAAGCAAUUACUAGGAAAAUUAAAUAUAUUGCAAAAAGUCAUUGGGUAGUCAUAAUAUAAUAAGCAAAACAAAUUAAAUAUUUAAUUAUUUUUAUCAAAUAUUUAAAAAUAUUAUAUAAAAUCAAUUAAUUAAUGGUAUUAUUAAUUUUCAUGAUUAUUUUUAAUAUUAUAUUAGUGAUUAUUAAAUUUAAUACAAUCAAAUAAUGGAAUAAAUAAUUAAAUGUUUAAUUUUAUUGAUUAAUUAUUAAAUAUACAAGUAAUGAAAAUUUAAUCUCAAGAGUUGGUAGAAGCGAAAGUACUAAUUUAAUUAGAUUAUAGAUAAUAAAUAUAAAUAAAUUUUAGGUAAAUCAUAAUAAAAAAAUUAAUUAAUUGAUUCAAUCAAUCAAUAUUAGGUGUAAAUAAAAAAAUACAAAUAAAAAUCUCAUAAAUGUACAAUUUUUAUUUUUAAUUUUAUUCAAACUAAAUACAUGUGCAAAUUAAGAUUAUUACAUCCUUGAACCCAAUAUUUAUUCCAAUAACAAAUGUAGAUACGUAAACUACUGGGAAGCAGCACACGUGUCCUGAAGAGAGAAAAAAAUCGAGCAAAUGCAGACAAUGGGAGUUGGCUAAAAGUUGGAUCUGCAAUUUACAAAAUCUGUAACUUAUUAGCCAGCUCCCAAAUUGUGUAGUCUUUUUUCAAAUUGUACAGACAUUUAUAAAUUGGUGGCCCCUUGAAAAUUUAAUGCCAAGCAGAUAAAAGUCAUCAAGCACAGUCCUCAAUAGUUGUUUCGUGUAUAUUUAUAAAUUGGUGGCCCCUACAUCUUUAAUAAUUGGGAUUGAAUUACGGUAUAAUUGUAGAAUCAUGUCUCAAUUACAUUCAAUUGUUAGAUAUAUUUACGUUGGUAAAAUUUACUGAUAUCUAAUAAUUAAACGUAACUAUAACACAAUAUUAUAAUUACACCACAAAUUUUCUCUAAUAAUUAUUCCGAUACUUAUAAAUUGGUGGCCCCUUAGUAAUUUAACAGCAGCCUGCAAGUGUCAACUAAUGAAAAGUCAUCAUUCACAAUCUUCCAAGUGAAACAGGAAAUAUACAAAAAUUAAAACAUGUCAUUCUUUUUUUUUCAUUCCCUGUCAUGUAACUUACACCCAAAUACAUAAAUAAUAUAAAAUGAAUGGAGAGAUGCCAGGAGCAGAUCAGCAGGGUUUGAAUAUGACCUUUGGCGCUUGCUUUUUUUUUUUUUUGUGAUUUUUUUUUCAUUUUUUCCUUCCUGUCAUUUUAUCAUUUCUUUGGCUUUGUCUCUAUUGCGGGUGUUACUGCAUGCUUACUGUUUCUUGACAAAGUUUGCUAGCUUUUCCUUUUGUUUAUUAAAUAUUUUUAUCGUCACAAAGUAUUACUCGUUCUAUUUGACAGUGAUGUAAAUUAAUUUUUCAAUUUUAUAUUUUAUCGUCGAUGUGAAUUCAAUUUCAUUUGUCAUCAUGCACAAUCCUCAAUAAUUGUUUCGAUAUUUAUAAAUUGGUGGCCCCUACGUCCUCAAUAAUUGUUCCGAUACUUAUAAAUUGGUGGCCCCUUAAUAAUUGGUGUUUGAGGAAUUAAAUAGAGCGAUCAUGAUCUUUUCCAAAUGAAAGUGAGCAAAUGGUUGAGCAGGUCACCUUGAUCAGGUGGUAUGAGUUUGAUCAAAUCACCUCGACCAGGUACAAUGAGGUUGAGCAGAUCAUCUUGAUCAGGUGGUGUGAGCUUGAGCAGAUGACCAUGUGGUAUGAGCUUGAGCAAAUCACAUCGACUAGGUGCUAUGAGGUGGAGCAGAUCACCUCGACUAGGUACUAUGAGGUGGAGCAGAUCACCUCGACCAGGUGCUAUGAGCUCGAGCAGAUCACUUCGACCAUGUGCUAUGAGCUUGACCAGAUCACCUCGACCAGGUGGUCUAAACUUGAGCAGAUCACCUCGGCCAAGUGAUGACUAGGAAUAAAGACUCAGUUAAAAUAAACCACCACAAAGCUCCUCCGAAAAAUCAGGGCACGAAUCUGAUUAAUCAAUGGUUAUUGUCACGAUCUAAGGUCGUGGGUGUGGGGUGUUUUAUAAAAAUCCCGAGAAAAUCACACCAAGGGAAGGCUCUUUUUCUCUGGAUCUGACGGAGAAAUCCUUUCUGGAUACUCUAUUUUACUUUUCUGCAAAUUAUUCAAAAAGCUUUUGGUUUUAAAAUAAUGUUUAUUUAGCCAUAUGAAAAAUGACAUAUUUGGUUUUUCCUGUAAACCCCAUAACUGACUUGAGCGUUGGAGGGUUUACGCCAGAAAAACUUCCGGCACCUCUGACCAUUCUCUGUAAUUUCAGGUACUUAUUGAUCGUCAGCUUGAAGAUUAUAUGCUCAUGAAUGUUCUGCUCAUAGUCAGAGAAUAUUCUGACUAUAUUAGCCAUGACAUUUUAGUAAUUUCAGGUACUAAAAAAAAAUUAAAAUUGUUGGCGUGAAAAGCACAAAUCCUAUUUUUUGACAAUUUUAUCUUUGUCAAUUUCAAAGAUUUACAAUAUCAUAGGUAAAGAUUAUAACUAUUUCAUCUUCAAGUUUUUAAUUUUAUAUUUUUUGUAGGAACUUUAAGAAAAUAUCAAUAAUUUAAAGAGAAUUUUUGAAAUUUUUAAUUUUAUCUUUCUUGUAGGAAUUUUAAGAAAAUAUCAAUAAUUUAAAGAAGGUAAAAUAACCAAUAAUUUUAUUUUUUUUUUAGUUAUUUCCGUUUAAAAACUGUUCUUUUAUUAGCCGUUGGAUUUUACUACUCUUAUAUCCAACGGCUUGCCACAACAAGACAAAUGAGGUGGCACCUUCCAACAGCUGAAAGGUCGUUUUGGCCCCAAGUGAAACAGGGGAUGCACUUACUAUUAAGGACAGUUGGUGGCCAGCUAAUGCACUCAUUUUAUGUCCUUUUAUCUUUUUGAAUUCCUGAAGACAAGUGCAUUCAUUUUGUGUCCUUUCAUCUUUUUGAAUUACUGAAGACAAGUGGCCAGCUAAUGCAUUCAUUUUUUGUCCUUUCGUCUUUUUGAAUUAUUGAAGACAAGUGGCUCAUCGCUUUUACUGUAGGUAAGAUCUUGAUAAUCUCGAUUAUCAAAAUAAUAAUAUUCAAAAUAUUUCUUAAUUUUAUUUAAAAGAUAAAAGAAAAAUAAGUUAUGCUGGUAAAUUUUUUUAUUUUUUUAAUAAAAAUAAAAUAAAUUGAUGUUUAUAAUUGUUUCAAAUACUUUAAAGAUUGUAAUUUUAUGAGAGAGUAAUAUUUCACAUUUUUAAUGUGAAAAGUUGAAAAGGGACAAAGCAAGUUUCUCUGUUUUUCUUUUUCUUUUUUUAAAUUUGGUCAUCUCAAAUACUUCACCCUUCAACACUACAAUAUUUUGGUUAUAUAUAUAUAUAUAUAUAUAUAUAUAUAUAUUUUACACAUGCAUAUGAAUUACUUUUCUUUUAAGCUCCUGAAUAUUUAAGACAAAUCAUGAAAGAGAUGAGAAUAUAAUAAGAUGAUCAAAAUAUGUAACAAAAUUUUUUUAGAAGUGAAACAUCGUUAGAGUUGAAGUAAAACUCUGAAAAUAGAGAUACUGAUUAAUUUAGAAGAGAUGCAAGCAAAAGAUAUGCCAAAAAAAAAAAAAAGCAAUAUGUCACUUUGGAGGGCAAACUUGUCAGUUUCACAAAAAUACAUGCUUUGUAUUGAUAGUUGUCACUAUGUAUUAGGGUGCGUUUGAAAUUAUAGUGCUGUACCUUUUAAACUACAGUUGUUGUAGAAAAAAAUAAAAAAUAAAAACUACACCUAAGAUUAAGGAAAAGUACUUCAAAACUCUCUUUUGAUCAUAAAACCUUUUGUCUUAAUUAACUUAAAGAUUUUGAAUCUAAUAUUUUAUAACAAAUAAAAAUAUAUUACCAAAAUAAAUAUAAUAAUAUCUAUUUUAAAAUAAUAUCAAUAUUUAAAAUAUGUUUUAAUAUUUGACGAUCUAUUAGACACAUUUUAUUAUGUUAAAGUAAAUUUUAUAAUAAAUACAAACAUACUAAUAAAAUGAAUAUAUACAACAUUUAGAGUAUUUUGAAUAUUAUAUAAAAUAAAUUUAAUACAAUGCAUGAGAUAUAUUUUAUUAAUUUAAAAUGCUAUUUAACCUAAAGAUUUAUUUAUGAAAAAUUAAUGAUUAUAUUUUUGAAAUUAUUUAAAAUAUUAAAAAAAUUAAUAUUAUUAAUCUAUCAGGUAGAUUAAAUUAUUUAUAUUAUUUUGCAUUUAUUAAAAAAUUUUAAAAUCAAUCUUUUUAAUUACUAUUCUAAGGAUAUAAUAAUAGAGGCAACUCCGUUGCGUCAUGGUUUUGGUACCCCGUCGUUUGUCUUUUAGCACAGUCAUCGUUGGAUUUUAUCUCACGGCUGCAGAAGAGACACAGAGACGCUAGGGAGCAACCUGACAAAAAGGUCAUGGGCCGGUAAGCUGCAGGGAAAAUAUUUAAAAUACAAAAUCUUCCCUUAAAUUUUUUUUAAUAUUUAACAUGUUAUAGUUUCUAAUCUCAUGAAUAGUAGAGGAUAAAGUUUUAUCUUAAAAAAAGUAAUCCCAAGGGUCUCCUUGGGAUGAAAUUUUGCCUCUAUUAGAAUUAAGUGGUGGGCUCAUUAUUGUUACUUUUAUUUUUUUUAUACCAAACAUGAUAUAGGAUUAUUUUAUACUAAAAUUAUCCAAUCCUAUGAUAUAUAACUAAAACUAAACAGGCACUUAGGGUAUAUAUGAGCCACGGUGGAGAAGCUUUAUUUAAUAUUAUUGAUUUAAAUAAUAUCUCAUUAAAAAUGUACUGAGAAGAAAUUUCGGUGGGUAUUUUAGUCAAUCACAUGAUCAGCCUUUGGACUUGAAACGUCGGUCAGAAUGAUUUAUUCUAACAAGAAAAAACUAGGUAAUAUUCCACAAAAGUAAAAGUGACAAAACAACCAGCUGGAUUCUUUUAGGAAAUUACAAAGAGUAAUGAUACAGUCAUAAAUUUUUAUAUAAAUUUAUUUUAUAUAAAUUGAUGUGGUAUUAAUUCAUUAGUUGAAUGAAAAUAUAAAUUAAUAAAAAUAAAUUAUAUGGACCAAGUAAUAUUUAAUUCAAUCAAUCUUAUUAUGUCACAUCAAUUUAUAUAAAAUAAAUUUAUAUUUGUAUUAUUACUCAACUAUAAAUUAAAAUAAAUUUUUUCGAUAAACUACAAAUUAAAGUGGAUUCUUUUGAAUGCAAGUGGGACAGACGAUAAGGCUAAAAAUUAGUCAAGAAUCGAAUAGUCUUUUUCAAAUUCUUGUUUUAUUAUUUUUCAAAACCAGUUUUUGGUAAUUACAAUCGGGUCAUUAAUCAUUAUUCAGAGUUAUUGUUUCCUUCAGAAGUUAGUGGCUCAUGUUUGCAAGUGUGAAUAUGCGAUGCUCUUUUUCGAAAGCGCAAUGACAGUGGGUCCCGAAUCGGACGUCCCUAAAUCUUUUUAAAAUUUUUGCCGUAUAACGAACAGAGGUCAUUACUAAAAUUUCUCUUCCACAGCCUACAGCAGCUUCAGUUUAUCAAACUCAAUCAAUUUUCUUUCUUAACAAAAUUCCAAAGAUGUGUAGCAUUUUUCAGAUCACAUGCGAUGGUGCUCUUUUCAAUCGUUGCUUGGAUUGCUUUCUUGGAAAAGCAGCAUACAUACGUAACCUCCAAGAUAAUCUUGUAGCCUUGGAGACUGAACUGGGAAGACUAAUCGCAGCAAAGAACGAUGUGAUGAUGAGGGUUGUCAAUGCUGAACGGCAACAAAUGAGAAGGCUGGACGGAGUGCAAGUGUGGGUUUCGAGGGUGGACGCUGUUAAAACUGGAGCCGAUGAACUUAUCACAGACGGCUCUGAAGAAAUUGGCAAAUUAUGUGUUGGAGGCUACUGUUCCAAGAACUGCAGGUCAAGCUACAAAUUCGGAAAACAAGUGGGUAAAAAGCUACAAGAUGUGAAGACUUUAAUCGCCGAGGGAGUUUUUGAGGCGGUGGCCACUGAGGUGGUGCCCGAGAGAGCUCCGGAACCUGUAGCAGAUAAAAGACCCACUGAGCCAACAAUAGUAGGCCUGCAAUCACAGCUUGAACCAGUUUGGAGAUGUCUUGUAGAAGAAUCAGUGGGAAUCAUUGGCCUAUAUGGUAUGGGCGGUUUUGGUAAAACCACACUAUUGACCCAUAUCAACAAUAAAUUUCUUGAGAGUCCCACAAACUUUGAUUGUGUGAUUUGGGUCGUAGUUUCAAAAGACCUGCGACUUGAAAAAAUUCAAGAAGAUAUUGGGAAGAAGAUAGGUCUAUCUGAUGAUUCAUGGAAGAAUAAAAGUUUUGAAGAGAAAGCUGUGGACAUCCUGCUGAGAUUAGGAGAGAAGAGAUUUGUAUUGUUGUUAGAUGAUUUAUGGGAGCGGGUUGAUUUAACAAAAGUGGGCGUUCCACUUCCCAGCGCACAAAAUACUACCUCAAAAGUCGUAUUCACAACCCGUUCCAUUGGUGUUUGUGGCAGCAUGAGAGCUAGGCCGGUUAAAGUGGCAUGCCUAUCAGAAAAGCAAGCUUGGGAACUGUUCCGCGAAAAUGUUGGGGAAGAAACUCUUGAGAGUGAUCAUGAGAUCGUUGAGCUAGCCCAAACUGUGGCCAAAGAGUGUGGUGGUUUGCCACUCGCACUUAUUACUAUUGGUCGAGCUAUGGCCUACAGAAAGAAAGCGGAGCAGUGGAGACGUGCAAUUGAAGAGUUAAGAAGAUCAGCUUCAGAGUUUGCAGGUUUGGGAAAAGAGGUGUAUCCUCUUUUAAAGUUUAGCUAUGAUAGUUUGCAGAAUGAGACAAUUAGAUCUUGUUUCUUGUAUUGUUGUUUAUAUCCUGAAGAUUAUGGCAUUCUUAAAUGGGACUUGAUUGAUUGUUGGAUUGGUGAGGGAUUUUUUGGGGAAUCUGACAGGUUUGGUGCAGAAAACCAAGGAUAUGACAUUUUGGACACUCUUGUUCGUGCAUGUUUAUUAGAAGAGGUGGAAGAUGAUGAAGUAAAAAUGCAUGACGUUGUUCGUGAUAUGGCUAUAUGGAUAACUUGUGAAAUUGAGAAGGAGAAGAGAAACUUUUUGGUUUGUGCAGGUGCGGGACUAAAGGAGGCACCGGAGGUUAAAAGAUGGGAAAAUGUGAGAAGAUUGUCACUGAUGCAAAACCAAAUUAAAACUCUGUCAGAGGUUCCCACAUGCCCUCAUCUCCAUACUUUAUUUCUUGACUUCAAUGACAAUUUGAAUAUGAUCGCGGAUGGCUUCUUCCAACUUAUGCCUUCUCUCAAAGUUUUGAAGAUGUCAAACUGCGUGAAUUUAACUUUGAAAUUACCUUUGGGGAUGUCAAAGUUAGGUUCACUAGAACUUCUUGAUGUUUCGAAUACCGGCAUAAGAGAGUUACCAGAAGAGUUAAAGUUGUUGGUAAAUCUGAAAUGUUUGACUUUGAGGUGGACAUUUGAGUUAAAUAAAAUUCCACGGCAACUAAUAUCAAAUUCUUCAAGGUUACGUGUGUUGAGAAUGUUGGGUACUGGCCUUUUGAAUUUUCAUGAAGCGUCAGAAGAAAGCGUUUUAUUUGGUGGGGGUGAAGUUUUGAUACAGGAAUUGCUCGGUUUGAAAUAUUUAGAGGUAUUGGAGUUGACCUUGCGAAGUUAUCAUGCUCUCCAAAUUCUUUUGAGCUCAAAUAAGUUAAAAAGUUGUAUUCGAUCUCUUUUCCUCCAGUUGGCCGGAGAUGCAACGUCGAUUGUUGAUGCUACGGCUUUCGCAGAUCUAAACCACCUCAAUGAAUUAUAUAUUAAUAAAGGUUUUGAGUUGGAAGAAUUGAAGAUUGAUUAUACGGAGAUAGUACGAAAAAGGCGGGAACCUUUUGUUUUCCGCAGCCUUCACCAUGUUACUAUAUGGCGGUGCGCUAAAUUGAAAGAUUCGACAUUCCUCGUUUUUGCUCCAAACCUCAAGUCUCUUGUGCUAGGUAAUUGCCAUGCUAUGGAAGAAAUAAUCAGCGUUGGAAAAUUUUCCGAGGUUCCUGAGAUCAUGGGACAUAUGAGCCCUUUUGAAAAUCUCCAAAGGCUUCAUGUAGAAGAUUUGCCAGAUUUGAAGAGCAUCCACUGGAAGCCAUUGCCUUUCACUCAUCUGAAAGAAAUGGGGGUAAGAGCAUGUGAUCAGCUUGAAAAGCUUCCACUCGAUUCCAGCAGUGCAAAAGAGCGUAAAUUUGUUAUUCGUGGAGAAGAAGACUGGUGGAACCGACUUCAAUGGGAGGAUGAAGCCACUCAAAUUGCUUUUCGUUCCUGUUUCCAACCUUAUUCCUGAGCCGUGGUCGCAAAAUUUGAUUUCUGGUGAGUGCGUUUUUGUUAACGCUUAUGUUUUAUUCCAGUGUAUUUUUCUUCUGUCUUCUGCAAAUCACAAUUAAAUGUGUGAUACAUGUUACGGGUAAUAUACAUGCAGUAUUUUUGGUACACUGCAAAUCACAAUUAAAUGUGUGAUACAUGUUUACGGGAAAUUUAUAGACAUGCAGUAUUUUUGGUGGGGUCGAAUUGAUGCUCUGGUUUUUUUUUGUUGUCAAAAUUUUCUCUGUUUUUUCAAAUUGAUGCUUUAUUUAUAUCUUCUUCGUGAAAAGUGAUUUAAUUUCCUGCCAAAAGACGAACGAGAAGAACAUUAGAGUCAAACUAAUGCUCACAUAAAUUUCCCGUAAGAAUAUAUAUAUAAUUAGACUGGAAUAGUAGCCCUCUUUACAGAAAAUGACGCGAAAGUUAAUUUAGAAAGAUAUAUUCUUGAUUAAUCCAUUUUCUGAAGCUUUUAUUUUGUAUGGUCAAUUAUACCUUCAUACUAAAAAUUUCUGAAUUUAUAAAUUAGUGCAACUUGACAAUUUUUACUGAUGAUAUCUUCUAUUUUUCCUUUCUUUCUUUUUUUUUUUUACUCUCAUUGAAUGUUACUGUCAUUUUACUUACAAAUAGGUUUGAAUUUUAUUUAGUUUUCUCAUAGUAUUUGUGCAAGUACUAGAAGGUCAAACCCCGCAUACUUUGAUUGCCAAACCACCGUCCAAUUUAAAAAAAGAAAAAAAGAAAAAAAAUGUGUAAUCCAUGAAUCUGGUUAAUUUUGUUUGUUUGUUUUUUUUUUUUUAAAUAUCAUUCUUUUUCGGCCACCCAAAAUAUCAUUGAUGACUUUUCUGGUCUAAUGCUAUGUAAAUAGUAUGUUAAGUAAAACAUAAUCAAUUAUUUGUGUUUUAUCUCUAAUUAGAACAUCAAUCAGUUCAGUACCUCACAAAUAAUUCGCAAUAUCUACAAAAUACUAUAAUGGCUACAAAACAAAUCCUGCUUGCAAAUUGUCAAGGAUACCUAUCCGUUCGCUUGACAAGUCAUUUGAAUAAAUAUUGUUCACAUUCCUUACUCUGUCAAUUAUCCAAAGCACCAUCAACUUUAGUUUGAAUAGUAUACAUGCCAUCACCAUUACCAAGAAUCAAGCAUGAAAGAGUCAUUCUAUAGAGUGCAGAACAUGACUCUAUGCGGUAGUCAAUUUGACACACGACGAACAACAUAUGCUGCAUAACAUACAAAUUAAUUUCCCAUAUGUGAUGCAAUUUUCUCCUCAACAUAUGCGCAAUUCUUUCCAUUCCGGCCGUUGAUUGAACCCUUUGGCAACAAGACGAGCUUUAAGCCUGUCAGCAGAACCGUUGGAAUGUCUUUUAAUACAAAAAUCCAUUUGCAGCCAACAAUAUUGGAAGGGAUGGGAGGUGGAACAAGCUUCCAUGUCCCGUUACGAACAAGAGCAUCAUACUCUUCUGACAUAGCUUGACGCCAGUGAGGAUUUUUGAUAGCUUGCGUCACAGUUGUAGGUUCACAAUCAGAAGAAGGGCUAAAAUGAGCACGGAGGUUAAGUUUUUGUAACGGCUUGUGAAUCUUAUUUUUAGCUCGGGUAGUCAUAUCAUGAUGAUUUGUGGGGCAAUGAUGUAGUGGAGUUUGGGAAGAUGAUUGAAGAGGAAGUGAAGAAGUGCUUUGUGUAGAGGUAGAAGUAGGUUGGGAGGAUUGCUGCGGAGAUGUUACCGGUAGAGAAGAAGGAGCAGUACACGGUGGCAACUCCAGAGGGCCCAUAGUGAAACACUUGCGUAAUUAGGAGUGGUAGAAGAGCUUGUAAUGAUUUGUAUGGAAAAACAAACUCUACAAAUUUAACGAGACGUGAAAUGAAAAUUUGAAAGGUGGAUGGGUCAAAACAUAAAUAAGCACUUUGAGAUAAAGGAAUAUCCUAUAAAAACACAAGGCUUAGAGGGUGGUUCGAGUUUAUAUGAUGAAACACAAACAUUCAAAAAUUUUAAGUUUAUAUUAAUUAGGAGUGGUACCAAAAAUUAAUUAGGAGUGGUCCGCGGGACAUGUAGCUAUGGGGUUGUUGGAUGUGUUUUGGAUAUUUACAGACAUGCUGAGUUUGAGUUUAUAUCUCAACUUAAAAUUUGUAGUUUUCACUUGAAAAAAUUCAGUUAAAAAUUGAUUGGUAGAAUUGUGAAAAAAGUUUAAAUUUUUAGUUCAACCCGAUUGCAUAUUUAAGAACAUCUCAAAUGAAUUGCUUACUGCUAUCAUCAUCAUUAUUGUCCAUAUAAUAAUGGAUCUUUAUUAUAUAUAUAUGUUUCCACUAAAAUAUAUUUAAUUAUUCUUUAUUUUUCCAUUGUUGCGUGUAAGAUUUAUUUGAGUUCUAAGUUAUAUCAAUACAAAUGUUAUCUUAUCCAUUAAAAGUUAGAUCCAACAAUUAUGAAAAUUACCAUAGAGUUGCUUUCAACUAUUUUUUAAAAAUACCAGGAGUAAAAAAUAAUUAGUUCAAAUGGUGGAGACUAAAAAGCGUUCACCUUUAUUUUUUAUCUGUUAUUUAUUUUUUUCAUUAAUGCACAUGCUAUACAUUUGAGACAUUCCAUUAAUUGCCAAUUAUGUAUGUGAGAUAGUAAUUUAAAUUAAAAAAAUAAAAGUGAAAGUUAAUCCUAUGCAAUGUGAAUAAAUUUCUUUCCUUUUUCCUUUACUCUUUUUAUUUGACAAUAAAGUUUCCAUCUAUCAUCUAUCAUCUAUGUACGCAAAAUUUCUGCAACAGGUACAAAACAUAAAAAUAUAUGAUUGUUAAGGGAAACGCGCAGGAGUUCAUCAUUUCAAUGUUCAGCAUUACCAAUUUUGGCAUUAAGCUGAAUAUAUUCCACUUAGAAAGCAAAAUAUUAGACUCGUGAUUUUAAUUCAUUCAUUAUCUCUCAUUUUAAUCCCAAAAUAUUCAAGAGCAUCCAAGUUACCAUAAGACUUCAGAGGCUCAAGCCUUAGCCAGAGAUGGUUAAUUGAUAGACUAUGUGCCUGGGUCGAGCACUGGAAGCCUGCAAUGCAGACUGAUUGAUUUAUCAGUUUAACGUGUGCCAGGAAUGAAGAACUGGAAUAUCACCGUCAAGCAAGCACCCUGUGGAGCAAUACCGAAGAAUGCACAAUCCAGCUUUGCUAGGUGACACUGGAGGCUUUUUGAAAAGUGCUUCACGCUCACUUGCACAGAUUGAGCAUCCCCUCUGGAUAUUGCCCUCUCUGAUCGAGUCUGAGCACUCAAAUUUUGGUCCUCAGAGGGAGCUACAGUUUCUCUCCACUAACCAACAAUUUUCUAAACUCAGCACCUAGUGUGAUCAGAGUUGUUGAUAUUUGCAAAUGGAGAUCCCCAUAUUUGCAAAUGGAGACAUUUAACAAAUCACCAACAUGCUUCAUCCGGUCCACGAAAUUCUGCAACUGAUUCAAAUCUGGAACCUGAACCAGAGUCGGAGGUAUAUCUUGAGCCAUAUCUAAAGCAGUUUGAAGUUCAAGACCUUGAGCCCUUGACAAUGGUUUUGAAAUUGGAACAUCUUGGAUUACUGCAGACUUGUACCCCUUGGUUUCAAAGGUAAGGAAAGGCAUUGCUUGAGUACAAUUUGGAGGCAGCUUCUUCACCAAUUUUAUUUGGAGGCGAUUGGUAGCGGAUCCAGCUGCACCAAUUUCAGAGCAACUACUGACACUACUUCGAACAGCACACUGAAGAAGUGAUAUGUCUACGGCGAAGGCAAUGCAGUCCUCAUUUUGGCUUGAGACACAGUAAUCAUCGUAGAGAGUUUCCUUGUGAAACUGGGCAACACAUUGAAUCCCUUCGCCACUGAGAAGGUUGUGGAGGAAGUAAGCUUUCUCUCUAGUGAGGAAGAGGUGGCAUACCUUCCCCAUUUUGUCUAGGGCAGGUAGGAAUCUUUUUUCUAAGAGAUUUACUUCAUUCUCUGUGAGAAAUGCUUUGAACUUCAUCCCUCUGUCUCUAUCCUCACUUAUCAGGAAAUAAGUUGAAAGCACUACGAAGAGAGAGAGAGAGAGAGAGAGAGAGAGAAUUAAGAUAUAUAGACAAGAAAAAUAUUAGAUGUUGAUCUUACAAACUAAUACUUCAAGCAGUAUCCUAGAAAGCUAAAAACUGCAAGAUGGCUUGAAAUUUGAGAAGAGCACGUGCUUUUCCUCCUUAACUUGAGAAAAUGUUUUAUAUAGUGCACCUUACAGAAGCAUUUAAGCAAUUAGAACUUUGCACAAAAACAUCAAGAAGACUAAACAAAUCAGAUGCAGUGCAUUUGUCCAAGCACAAAUUGCAUUUUGUCCUCAACUUUAAUAUUUAUUGAUGAGAAUCAAUACAGGUCCCUCAUUUGUUAUAGAAAGCUUUCUUGUAGUCUCACCAGUUAAUAUGGAUAUUAGAUAAGGAAACUUUAUUAGGUUGCGAGGGUAAAAAAGGAAAGAGAUAUCAUUAUUUUAUUAUCGAUAAUUAUUAAAUUUUUUUCCAAAAAAAAGAACAAGCAAUGAUAUUUUAUUGUCAAUUGCAACCUUUAAUUUUUUUAAAUGCUAUUAGAAACACAAGAUAACAAAGAAAUACUUAUUUUUUCCUAAAACUAAAAUCAAUUGUUUAACUUCUUAUUUCAUAAUCCAACUCCAUUACUAAGUUAAAAAAAAUUGUUUCAAAAUUACUUGAGUCAUAUUCAAUGGACCAACAAAGUAACCGUUUUUAUUUUUAUUGAUUUUUGCAGGAAAUUAAUAAGUUAAAAAUAAUGAAAGCUAUUGUAAAAAAAUUUAUUAUCAACCUCAUAAUUUUUUUUUUUUUGGGGAAGAGAAUUCAAACAUUUUUUUUUUUUAAUUUCCAAGAAUUCUUGACACCCAUCUUAAUUAAAAGCUAUAUUUUUAUUCAAGAGUCAUGCUAUUCAUUCACUCACAGACCAAAGGCUUUCCGCAGCAAUAUUAUUAUUUAAAUUACAACAAAGGGGAAAUCAAACACGUCAUACAGAAGCUUAAAGGUGAAUCUACAAAAUCUAGAGCUCUCAACUACAAAAAUUACACUUGAUGAUCCUCUACAAGAUGAAGGUUGUUCAAUAUCUUGAGAUUGCCUGCCUUCCUCGACGACCUGCACGAUGUGUUUGUACAAAUCAUCAUACCUGUGCACCGGAUUUUUAAUAUCAACGCCACUGCAGCUGUGAUCAAGAACAUAAGAGCAUUUAACAUCUUUUCUCCAUCGAGAAAGAAUGUAGUGAGAUGGGAUCUCCUGCAUGCCACUCUGGUUUAGAACACAAAGAAUGUGUCUGCAUAAAUAUCCUCUGAAAUUGAACAACCCACAAACACAAAGCACCUCCAAGUCGGAGGCAUUGUACAAAACAUCGAAAGCCCUUGAAUCUUUCUCGUUGCUACCAACCUUAAAUUCUUCCUUCACUAUGUAUGUUACAGGUCCAUCAGCACUGACAUGUUUUGUGCUAUAGCAAUACAUAGCCUCCACCUCCGUCUGAAACUUCCUUAACAUUUCAUUUGUGUACAGUUUUGAGAGUUGAAAUUCAUAGUAUCAUCUUGGUUUCUGGAUACAACUUGAAUUUCUUGAAUCCAUAUCUGCCAAGGCUACCAGUUGAUAAUUCGCCUGCAGUGCUUGAUCAUACUUGUCUAAGAAUUCUUUCAAAGGAGUAUUCUUAUCAAGAUAUCCUUCAAAGUAUGAAGUAGAAACCUCAUUCUGCAGGAACGAAAACACUCCUGAUAAAAAAGCUUCCUUCAAAUAAAUAGGAGCCCACCUUUUAUGAUCUUCAUAUAAAGUUUGAAUCUAUCCGUGAUCCUUUAUUCCAUGACAUUGAAUCAUGUCUUCCCAAGCUGCUUCAAAUUUCUCAGGCCUGAGAGAGUGAUAAAUUGCUCUAUGUAAUGCAGCUUUAAUAGCUUCAUAUUCAAACAAUCCUUGGAGUUUCUCUGGAAUUUUUUUGCAUGAUGCAUGACAAUGAAAAGCAAUGAUAAGCUCUUGGGAAAACAUCACCAACAGCAAUUUGCAAGAUUCUACAUUGGUCAGUGAUGAUUGUUUGUGGAGAGCUCCCUAACAUACAUGUAAGCCACGCCGUAAACAACCAUGUAUAUGAUUCUAUGGUCUCACUGGCAAGUAAAUCACAAGUCCACAACCCAACAACACUGAUUGUCCAUGAUGAUUCACCCCAAUGAAUGAAACCAGUGGUACAUCAUAUCUUUCAGUCAGGCACGUAGUAUCAAUUAAGACCACAUCACCAAAGUACCUAUAUGCAACUCUUGACCUGGUAUCAGUCCAGAAUAGGUUUCUCAAGCAUCCCUUUUCAUUUAGAUCCACUACAUUAAAAAAGUUUGGAUCUGUCAACUGCAAAUGACAAAAGAAACUCUGGACAGCUUGUGCAUCUCCUGGUUUAAGCUUCAAUUGAUUUGAGCUAUUAACAUUAUUUCCAAAUACUCCAUUAACAUCUACCAUUUCCCUUGGUAUCAAUGAUAAGAGUUCGAAACAGUUUAAUUUUUUGAACUUCUUCAGCACUAUCUAAAUGCAAUGUUCUUUUGGUUCCAAUACCUAUGUGCUUAUGUGACUUGUAAAACUUUCCGCUUCUUGGGCUUAACAAGUGGUUAUGCUCAAGCUCGACUUCAAUGAUUCUCCACCUUUUGGUUUCCAUCAACCUAAACUUUAUCAUUGCUGGACAGCCAGUUCUUGUUUCUGGUCUUGGGCGGUUUGCCUCGCUUUUCUUCUUGAAGCCUGCACUACUACAGCUCAGCUUUCCUCUAUACUUUUCUCUACUCUUUCGGUACCAUGGAUUGCUAACUCUAACACCAAAACCCUGUUCCUUGGCAUAGCAAUUGUAAAAGUAAUAUACAUCAUCAUACAUCUCAAACUCCAUUCCAACAGUAGGAGGCAAGGGAUUUUGGAUUAUCCCAGUUUGUCCAACAUAUUCAGUCAUCGCACAAUCUCCUACGACCUCAAAAUCAUCAGUGUCAUCAUCACCUACUGGUUCGGUGUUGAGAGAAACUUCAUCCAUCUACAAUGGAUGUUCAAUGAAGUGAGCUUUAAGGAGAAAAAGCAAAAUCAGUUCAAGGAAUGAUAAUAUAAUCAUACAGUUACUUUCACAAAGCUUCAUAUUUCAUCACUGCUUUACCAACAUGCAACUGCCAGAGAACAAACAGACAUGUCAUAGACGCUUGAAUUAAGUAUUGGUACAAAUGAGCACACAUCAUGUGGGACAAAAUUUCAGUCACUAAACCCAAUACCACUUUUUACAUCAUACCAAGGAACAGAUUAAACCCGACACCUUCUUUUAAACCAUACCAAGGAGCAGAUUAAAUCAUCAAUGAAAAAUUAAUCACAUAAUAACUUAACCAGACAAAUGAAGAGCCUGAAACAGCACAAAACUUGAAUCUGAUUAUGAUAAUUGUUGAGUCCUUGUAUCUACAGCUUUCCUUCAAUGAUAAGACAAUGAACAUAAACGAGACACAAAAAAAUUAUUUUAAACUGACAGCCCAUGAUAUAAAUCAAACAAAAUCAACUCCUUUUUUUACACAUUACAUCUCAUAUUCAUUUACAUUGAAACACAAAAAGGAAGCAGGAGUGGGAAAAAAACAACAGCAGAGGAACUUAUUUCCAUAAGGUUUACGAAAUAAGGAAUCUAUUAAAACCCAAAACUUGAGGUCACCACUAAGAAUUUGGUUCUCAUUAUUUUUUUCUUCAUUUUUCACCAAUUGAUGAACUUAAAAUACAAUCAUAAAUGAUAAAACCCCAUCUCCAUCUUUUUGAACUAGAGCUAAAGCAAAGCAUUUUAAGAUGUUUCAUCAUUUUUUAAAAAAAAAAAAAACUCAAUAGUACAAUGUUUUUCAAUGUUAAAUGCACAAUUCAAUCUUCUCCUAAUUUACUCUAAUAAUCUCUUAAUUAAGGAAGAUUAAGCUUCAGUUGUAAGCUAAAACAAAUUUCUUAAAUCAAGCCCCAAUGCUUUAUGCUAUUCAACAAGGGCUCAUAAAUGAUAAAACUACUUCUAUAAAGAUACCCAUUUUCUAAAUUAAUUUCACAAACUGAAAUCAAACUCCUGAAACGUAACGAGCAUUAAUAUAAUCAAGCCCGAACAAGAAUUGAUAAAUGAUACAUAAACUCGUUUACACAUUUCGACAGACACUUUGCAAUCAAUGAGCAAAAAAUUAAUGGAGAAGAUAAAAUUCAAACGAAACAUGCCUUACAUUGAUAAAUUAGAAGGGCAAAAGAAAUUUUAGUACGAUAUGGGAUCAGGGUCUUGCCACGGUGAUGUUAUUUGUGAAGUUCGAGCGACUCAGCAGCCUUCGAGGUUGAAAAUUUGAUUGACCAAAAGCUUCCCGUUCGUUGAUUCUCUAAUAGUAGAAACGAGACUGGCAGUAUACACAACAAGUUCGCCGAUUUUAAAUUCCGUUGUUUGAGAUGGAAAAUUUUUUGAAAAAAUUAAUGUGUUCGAUGAAAAUCAAAAUCUCAAAAACCUUUUGUUUUUCAUUUUUUUGGAAAAAACCAUUGAGAUCCUUACUAUUUUUUCUUAUAUCAUCUUGCUUAAUAAUUUGCAAAGUCUAUCGCAUAGCACCCAUGCAUGAUGUAUGCUGCGUUGUAAUUUACAAUAUUGUACAUGAAUAAAUCCAGCUAAUAUUUGUUAAAAGAAAAUAAUAAUAACAUGUUAAAACUUUAAAAUUUGAUUAUUAGAAGAAAUUUUAAUUUAGCUAAGUAGGUGACAUGAUAAUAAAUAGAUACGUAUAAUGUCCGAGAUUUUUUAUAAGAUUAAUAAAUAUGAUAAAUUUGGAUUAGUUCAAUUUUGACAUAAUUGCAAACAAUUUAAUUUGUGUUGUUUCUCUAAAAGUUUGAGACACAAAUGUUAUUUCAAAUUGAUAAAAGUACAAUUUAAUCCCACUUGCUCUUCAACUAAAAAUUAAACAUGCAAAUACACACACUAAUUUAAAGUCAUCUGUAUAAUUGAAACGCCAUGCACUAGUAGUAGGUCAGAGAAACCAAGGUUGAAAUGUGUAGAAAUGUUGAAACGCCAAUAAUAAUUGAAACGCCAUGCACUGUUCGUUUAUUUUUAUUCAUGAUUUUUUGUAAAACGUAAGAAAUGUGUAGAAAUGUUGCCAGCAAUGAUUUUGGAACUUUGCAUAAAAUUUUUAUCGUUAUUGUUUUUGGUAUUAAGAAAUCCGAGGCGGUGAUUAGACGUAUGUUGCAACAAUUAAGAAAUUUCUUAUUGGAGAUAAUUCGGUAGGUUGCAACAAUUAGAGAAUCAUUUUCCUGUCAGUUAAACGGUUCAUUUUCAGCCAUAACAUGCUAAAAAUGCUACACUUAACGGUUCAUUUUCAUGGAUUUUCUCGGGAAACAAACAGAAAAUUACGGUUUAGAGAGUUGACUGACGUUUUGGCUUUUGAAAUUGAGAAGAUCGCGCGCCAAAUUGGAAGAGGGAAAGUGAAAGUGCGAGUUUUAAUAUGGGCAUUAGAUAAGGAAAUUUUAUUAGGUUGCGAGGGUAAAAAAGGAAAGAGAUAUCAUUAUUUUAUUAUCGAUAAUUAUUAAAUUUUUUUCCAAAAAAAGAACAAGCAUGGAUAUUUUAUUGUCAUUUGCAACCUUUAAUUUUUUAAAUGCUAUUAGAAACACAAGACAACAAAGAAAUACUUAUUUUUUUCCUAAAACUAAAAUCAAUUGUUUAACUUCUUAUUUCAUAAUCCAACUCCAUUACUUCGUGCUGGUUUUUUCAGGUGAAUAACAGCUAAAAAUAAUUUUAAAAGCUGUUACCAAUUCUCAUGAACUGUUACAAUUAAAAAAAUCAAGCAUGCAUGGAUGGUUAAGUGUGUAGAGAGAACCUCCAUCCUUAUAAUUCUUACUUAUGCAUGGUUAAGUGUUUAUAUUUAAACACUAAUUUCUAGGCUUCUUUUUCCCAUGUGGGAUAAGCCUCAUUUCCUUUCAAAUUUCCAACUUCAAGGGUGAACUUUGAGAGACAAUUUCUCAUUCACCCAAGCACCAUUUUGAGAAAAUAAAAUUAUACUUUUGAAGUAUGAACGGAAUAGAAUCCGAAUCUCACAAUAUUUCCCACUUUAGUUAAAUAGGACCCACUCAAAAUGUGCUCUCAAAAUAACAUGUUAUGCUAUUUUUUCAACAAAAUUGUGGGCCAACAAUAGUGGGCAUGGUGUCGACUUUUGAGAAAGCCUGGAGAUGCGUUGAAGAAGAAUCAAUUGGAAUUAUUGGCCUAUAUGUCAAUGGGGGAGUUAGAAAAUAUUUACUCAAAUCAACAACAAGUUCCUUGAUAGUCCAAAUAAUUUUGAUGUUGCGAUCUGGGUAGUGGUCUGCCAAGAUUUGCAACCCCAGAAGUUUCGGGAAAAGAUUGGGAAAAAGAAAGGCUUCUUCGAUGAGUCAUGGAAGAUAUGAAGUUUUGAAGAGAAAGCACUCGACAUAUUCAAGAAUUUAAGCAAGAUGAAGUUUGUAUUACUGUUGGAUGAUAGAUGGGAGCAUGUUGAUUUAAUUAAAAUUGGUGUCCCUCUUCCAAGCAGAAAAAUUACAUUCAAGAUAGUCUUCACAACUCGUUCUAUUGACAUUUGUGGCCUCAUGGAAGCUCACAACAAGAUUAAAGUGGAGUGUUUAAAUGACAAAGAAGCAUGGGAAUUAUUCUGCAAGAAGGUUGGAGAAGAUGUGGCGACUCUGUCCAAGUGCUAAGGAGAUCAGCCUCUAGGUAUGUAAAAACAAGUAUAUCCUCUUUUGAAAUUCAGUUAUGAUAAUUUACCAAGCGAUAAAAUUAGAUCGAGUCUGUUAUACUGUAGUUUGUUUCCAGAAGACUUUCCAAUUAGCAAAAUGGAAUUGAUACUGAGAUACGAAAUCAAGGAUACUACAUUAUUGGUGUUCUUGUUCCUUUAUGUUUAUUGGAAGAAGAGGCUCCACUGUUUGUAAAAGUGCAUGAGGUGAUACGCGAUAUGCUUCUGUGGAUAGCUGUGAAGGUUUUUUUUUUUUUUUUUUUUUUUUUUUAUAGGGAUAGCAUGUGAAGUUGAGAAGGAGAGAGAGAAUUUUGCAAGGAUUAACUGAAGUACCAGACAUUUGGAAAUGGGAAGGGUUGAGAAGGGUGUCUUUGAUGAUCAACAAAACUGAGAAGGUAUCAGAAAUUCCUUCAUCUCACGAUCCACUAACUUUGUUGCUUCAACAUAAUUAUUUAGAGGUGAUCAAUAAUGACUUCUUCCAAUCUAUGCAUUCCCUUAGAGUUUUGAACUUAUCAUGUAAUCAUUCUCUAACUGAUAAUUUCAAAGUUAGUUUCCCUACAUACGAGAGUUGCCGAAUGAGUUAACGUUCGUAGUGAAUCUUAAGUUUUUGAAUGUGGAGUAUGCACGGUUUCUUCAUUCAAUUCCAGGGCAAGUGAUAUCCAGUUUUACGAUGUUACAAGUUUUGAAGAUGUUUGGUUGUGGCAGGUCAUCUUCUGAUCGUGAGCCACACCAGAAGAUAGCGUUUUAUUUGGAGGCAGUAAAUUUUUGAUUGCGGAGUUGUUUGGUUUGAGAGACAUUUAGAUGUGUUGACCAUCAUCCUAAGAAGCUCCCAUGCUCUGAAAAGAUUUUUGAGCUCCAACAAACUUCAAAGUUGUUGAUGCCGAAAUCCGGAUGAGUUGAUCGAAUCUCAGAUCCCUGCAUCAGCAUUGAAUUUGUUUGGUGGGAAGCUGAUGAUUAGUUAGCACCAUGAGCAGAUUUUCUAUGAGCAGAUGUUCUGUGAGCAGAUCAGAUGUUCUCCUCGUUCUACGACCAGGGUCUCUGCUCGAUCAACUUCACCACGACCAGGAUCUCUCCUCGUAAAGCUUCUUCUCCAGAGGUUCCUGCGCACACAGACAAGUCAGAGUACGCCGGUUGUUUUCCCGGCGCAAACCCUCCGACGCUCAAGUCAGAUAUGAAGGUUCGGGGAACGCUUGCCACAGAUCUUAUGGCUUUUGUGUAGUUUUCUUUAGAAUUGCUUUUAUCUCUCUUCUAAUCUCAAAAUUGCUAACCCUUUUACCUUCGUUGGCUACCUUUUUAUAGGCUUCCUCUCAAUCCCAGUUUUCCGCAGUCUAUGCCGUUAUCCCACGUUCUCCUUCAAUUUUCAUCCCUCCUUUUUCGGGUAGUGGCCUUUAAAUGCUUUUAAAUGCUACAUCAUGGGAAACGUGGGGUAUCGCAUCUCUCGUAACGGUUCUGGGAAGAAUGUAAACGCCAUAAUUCUGUGGGAUCGUGUUCCUGCUUUUCCAGGAGAUGGGUAUCAGCUCGGGAUACACCUUUUGUCAGUAUCCGUCUCUGAUCGGUUCAUGUUGCCCUCUGCUCUGCUCGUACAGUUACACUUGGCUGAGGUGAUUCAUGCCGGGGGUGAUUCAUGCCGAGGUGAAAACAGUACUAUGGCCGACCUGGUAUCAUUAUUGGCUCAACACCAGUCCCCCAGUUUCUGGUCUUGUGAGUGAAAUGAGUCAAGAGUAGAAACUGAUAUUCAAAUCUUACCAAUCCGGGGGCUUCUCCUCUGGUCUUUCAUCUAUCGGGAUGGUCCUGAGGUAUCAUUUUUCUUCAAGGGAGAUUUUGACCUGAGUAUGGAAUAGGAAGUCAUCUGCUCAAGUUUAGACCACGUGGUCGAGGUGAUCUGGUCAAGCUCAUAGCACAUGGUCGAGGUGAUCUGCUCCACCUCAUAGCACCUGGUCGAGGUGAUCUGCUCCACCUCAUAGCACAUGGUCGAGAUGAUCUGAUCCACCUCAUAGCACCUGGUCGAGGCGAUCUGCUGAAGCUCAUACCAUCUGGCCAAGGUGACCUGCUCAACCAUUUGCUCACUUUCACUUGGAGGAGAUCAUGGUCGCUCUAUUUAAUUCCUCAAACACCAGUCCCCCAGUUUCUAGUGUUGAGAGUGAAACAAAUCAAGACUGGAAACUUUAGUGGUCUGCUCGUCUUCGCUUGGUUGAGCAGAUCCUGGCACGCUUGGCUUCUGUCUCGCCAUAAAACAGGCUUUGAGACUUUGUCGAGCCUUUGCAUGCCUUCGAUUCUUCAAGGAUUGGGAUUCUGCUCGCCUUCUCGUGGCCGAGCAGAUCCUAGCACGCUUGGCUUCUGUCUCGCCAUAAAACAGGCUUUGAGACUUUGGUGAGCCUUUGCGUGCCUUUGAUUCUUCAAGGAUUGGGAUUCUACUCGCCUUCUCGUGGCCGAGCAGAUCCUGGCACGCUUGGCUUCUGUCUCGCCAUAAAACAGGCUUUGAGACUUUGGUGAGCCUUUGCGUGCCUUUGAUUCUUCAAGGAUUGGGAUUCUGCUCGCCUUCUCGUGGCCGGUGGCCGAGCAGAUCCUGGCACGCUUGGCUUCUGUCUCGCCAUAAAACAGGCUUUAAGACUUUGGUGAGCCUUUGCGUGCCUUUGAUUCUUCAAGGAUUGGGAUUCUGCUCGCCUUCUCGUGGCCGAGCAGAUCCUGGCACGCUUGGCUUCUGUCUCGCCAUAAAACAGGCUUUGAGACUUUGGUGAGCCUUUGCGUGCCUUUGAUUCUUCAAGGAUUGGGAUUCUGCUCGCCUUCUCGUGGCCGAGCAGAUCCUGGCACGCUUGGCUUCUGUCUCGCCAUAAAACAGGCUUUGAGACUUUGGUGAGCCUUUGCGUGCCUUUGAUUACUUCAAAGAUUGGGAUUCUGCUCGCCUUCUCGUGGUCGAGCAGAUCCUGGCACGCUUGGCUUCUGUCUCGCCAUAAAACAGGCUUUGAGACUUUGGUGAGCCUUUGCGUGCCUUUGAUUCUUCAAGAUUGGGAUUCUGCUCGCCUUCUCGUGGCCGAGCAGAUCCUGGCACGCUUGGCUUCUGUCUCGCCAUAAAACAGGCUUUGAGACUUUGGUGAGCCUUUGCGUGCCUUUGAUUCUUCAAGGAUUGGGAUUCUGCUCGCCUUCUCGUGGCGAGCAGAUCCUGGCACGCUUGGCUUCUGUCUCGCCAUAAAACAGGCUUUGAGACUUUGGUGAGCCUUUGCGUGCCUUUGAUUCUUCAAGGAUUGGGAUUCUGCUCGCCUUCUCGUGGCCGAGCAGAUCCUGGCACGCUUGGCUUCUGUCUCGCCAUAAAACAGGCUUUGAGACUUUGGUGAGCCUUUGCGUGCCUUUGAUUCUUCAAGGAUUGGGAUUCUGCUCGCCUUCUCGUGGCCGAGCAGAUCCUGGCACGCUUGGCUUCUGUCUCGCCAUAAAACAGGCUUUGAGACUUUGGUGAGCCUUUGCGUGCCUUUGAUUCUUCAAGGAUUGGGAUUCUGCUCGCCUUCUCGUGGCCGAGCAGAUCCUGGCACGCUUGGCUUCUGUCUCGCCAUAAAACAGGCUUUGAGACUUUGGUGAGCCUUUGCGUGCCUUUGAUUCUUCAAGGAUUGGGAUUCUGCUCGCCUUCUCGUGGCCGAGCAGAUCCUGGCACGCUUGGCUUCUGUCUCGCCAUAAAACAGGCUUUGAGACUUUGGUGAGCCUUUGCGUGCCUUUGAUUCUUCAAGGAUUGGGAUUCUGCUCGCCUUCUCGUGGCCGAGCAGAUCCUGGCACGCUUGGCUUCUGUCUCGCCAUAAAACAGGCUUUGAGACUUUGGUGAGCCUUUGCAUGCCUUUGGUAAUUUCUUCGAAACUUGGGAUUCUGCUCGCCUUCUCGUGGUCGAGCAGAUCCUGGCACGCGUGGCUUCUGUCUCGCCAUAAAACAGGCUUUGAGACUUUGGUGAGCCUUUGCGUGCCUUUGAUUCUUCAAGGAUUGGGAUUCUGCUCGCCUUCUCGUGGCCGAGCAGAUCCUGGCACGCUUGGCUUCUGUCUCGCCAUAAAACAGGCUUUGAGACUUUGGUGAGCCUUUGCAUGCCUUUGAUUCUUCAAGGAUUGGGAUUCUGCUCGCCUUCUCGUGGCCGAGCAGAUCCUGGCACGCUUGGCUUCUGUCUCGCCAUAAAACAGGCUUUGAGACUUUGGGGAGCCUUUGCGUGCCUUUGAUUCUUCAAGAAUUGGGAUUCUGCUCGCCUUCUCGUGGCCGAGCAGAUCCUGGCACGCUUGGCUUCUGUCUCGCCAUAAAACAGGCUUUGAGACUUUGGUGAGCCUUUGCGUGCCUUUGAUUCUUCAAGGAUUGGGAUUCUGCUCGCUUUCUCGUGGCCGAGCAGAUCCUGGCACGCUUGGCUUCUGUCUCGCCAUAAAACAGGCUUUGAGACUUUGGUGAGCCUUUGCGUGCCUUUGAUUCUUCAAGGAUUGGGAUUCUGCUCGCCUUCUCGUGGCCGAGCAGAUCCUGGCACGCUUGGCUUCUGUCUCGCCAUAAAACAGGCUUUGAGACUUUGGUGAGCCUUUGCGUGCCUUUGAUUCUUCAAGGAUUGGGAUUCUGCUCGCCUUCUCGUGGCCGAGCAGAUCCUGGCACGCUUGGCUUCUGUCUCGACAUAAAACAGGCUUUGAGACUUUGGUGAAUCUUUGCGUGCCUUUGAUUCUUCAAGGAUUGGGAUUCUGCUCGCCUUCUCGUGGCCGAGCAGAUCCUGGCACGCUUGGCUUCUGUCUCGCCAUAAAACAGGCUUUGAGACUUUGGUGAGCCUUUGCAUGCCUUUGGUAAUUUCUUCAAAACUUGGGAUUCUGCUCGCCUUCUCGUGGUCGAGCAGAUCCUGGCACGCGUGGCUUCUGUCUCGCCAUAAAACAGGCUUUGAGACUUUGGUGAGCCUUUGCGUGCCUUUGAUUCUUCAAGGAUUGGGAUUCUGCUCGCCUUCUCGUGGCCGAGCAGAUCCUGGCACGCUUGGCUUCUGUCUCGCCAUAAAACAGGCUUUGAGACUUUGGUGAGCCUUUGCAUGCCUUUGAUUCUUCAAGGAUUGGGAUUCUGCUCGCCUUCUCGUGGCCGAGCAGAUCCUGGCACGCUUGGCUUCUGUCUCGCCAUAAAACAGGCUUUGAGACUUUGAUGAGCCUUUGCGUGCCUUUGUAGUAAACUUUGACUGGUUUCUUAACUCUAGCCUAGCUCUCUUUUCUUAAAUCAUUCUCAUAUUGAGUAACUUUCAAGAAAUCAAGUUAACUAAGUUAAACAGUCAGCCCUAAUAUAAGCACAAUUAGUUGAAUGAAUAUAAGGCAUCCUCAUAUCACAUAGUAGGAUUUAGAGAAAUAAUUAAAUUUUCAUGAGAAAAUUGUUUGUAAAUAAAAAUUUAACUUCUGACCUGUUCUGAUUUCUGCAAACGUCUGCCUUCAUUGUGCUCUCAUUUAAGGGUUUUGCUACCUUGUUUAAGCACGCUCAUCCAUUUAUGUACUGUAACAUUCUGAUUUGCUUCGACUAGAUGAAAAUUGAUAGAAACAAAAAUUUGGCUUCUCGUACCGGUCCCCACAGACGGCGCCAAAUGUUGAUGCCGAAAUUCGGAUGAGUUGAUCGAAUCUCAGAUCCCUGCAUCAGCAUUGAAUUUGUUUGGUGGGAAGCUGAUGAUUAGUUAGCACCAUGAGCAGAUUUUCUAUGAGCAGAUGUUCUGUGAGCAGAUCAGAUGUUCACCUCGUUCUACGACCAGGGUCUCUGCUCGAUCAACUUCACCACGACCAGGAUCUCUCCUCGUAAAGCUUCUUCUCCAGAGGUUCCUGCGCACACAGACAAGUCAGAGUACGCCGGUUGUUUUCCCGGCGCAAACCCUCCGACGCUCAAGUCAGAUAUGAAGGUUCGGGGAACGCUUGCCACAGAUCUUAUGGCUUUUGUGUAGUUUUCUUUAGAAUUGCUUUUAUCUCUCUUCUAAUCUCAAAAUUGCUAACCCUUUUACCUUCGUUGGCUACCUUUUUAUAGGCUUCCUCUCAAUCCCAGUUUUCCGCAGUCUAUGCCGUUAUCCCACGUUCUCCUUCAAUUUUCAUCCCUCCUUUUUCGGGUAGUGGCCUUUAAAUGCUUUUAAAUGCUACAUCAUGGGAAACGUGGGGUAUCGCAUCUCUCGUAACGGUUCUGGGAAGAAUGUAAACGCCAUAAUUCUGUGGGAUCGUGUUCCCGCUUUUCCAGGAGAUGGGUAUCAGCUCGGGAUACACCUUUUGUCAGUAUCCGUCUCUGAUCGGUUCAUGUUGCCCUCUGCUCUGCUCGUACAGUUACACUUGGCUGAGGUGAUUCAUGCCGGGGGUGAUUCAUGCCGAGGUGAAAACAGUACUAUGGCCGACCUGGUAUCAUUAUUGGCUCAACAAAAGUUGUACCUGAUCUCUCUAUCCUAAAUGCUUUGAUUCGAAGUCAGUUGAUGUUUUUGGCUAGGCUGAUCUGAAGCAUCUCAAUAGGCUAUAGAUAUUGCGAGUUGUAAGCUUUUGGAAGAAGUGAAGAUUGACUUUGUUGGGAAAGCACAAUGAACCCAUGGUUUUCACAGCCUUAUGUCACGGAAGUUGUCUAAAUACUGCACGGGUUGCUGCGCAAAGUAACCAUCCUAUGACAUUGAGCCAUGUUGAAAUAUCAUUUUGCUGUAAACUGAGGGAUUUGACAUAGCUUGCUUUUGCUCCAGACCUUCUUGUUGUUUCCAGAAAAUGUUGCCAUGAUAUAGAGGAAAUACUCGGUGUUGGAAAAUUAGGUGAAGAGAUGACGUCAAAUCUGGAACCCCCUGCAAAACUCCAAGGUUACGUUUGGCAUAUAGGAUUGGAUUAAAUUGGGUUCUAUUUAUAUUUUUAUGUUUGGUACAGUUCCGGAUUGAACCAUAUUAGAUUAUAUUUAAAUAAUAUUGAAUAGUAUUUAAGUUGGUAUUUUAAUAUAAAUAUCAAUUAUCCAUGAAAUUUUAUAAUCAUAAUUAAAAUAAAUUUAAAAAGCAAUUACUAGGAAAAUUAAAUAUAUUGCAAAAAGUUAUUGGGUAGUCAUAAUAUAAUAAGCAAAUAAAAUUAAAUAAAACAAAUUAAAUAUUUAAUUAUUUUUAUCAAAUAUUUAAAAAUAUUAUAUAAAAUCAAUUCAUUAAUGGUAUUAUUAAUUUUCAUGAUUAUUUUUAAUAUUAUAUUAGUGAUUAUUAAAUUUAAUACAAUCAAAUAAUGUAAUAAAUAAUUACACGUUUAAUUUUAUCGAUUAAUUAUUAAAUAUACAAGUAAUGAAAAUUUAAUCUCAGGAGUUGGUAGACGCAAAAGUACUAAUUUAAUUAGAUCAUAGAUAAUAAAUAAAAUAAAUUUUAAGUAAAUCAUAAUAAAAAAAUUAAUUAAUUGAUUCAAUCAAUCAAUAUUAGGUGUAAAUAAAAAAAGAGUAACGAUAUAUCCACAAACUCUUACACAAACUCAUGUGUCAUGAUAAGAUUGAUUGAAUUAAAUAUCACUUGGCCCACAUAAUUUAUUUUUAUUAUUUUAUAUUUUCAUUCAACCAAUGAAUUAACGCCACAUCAGUUUGUACAAGAUAUGUUUGUACAGGAAUUUGUGGCUGUAUCAUCACUCAUAAAAAAAAGAUACAAAUAAACCUCUCAUAAAUGGACAACUUUUAUCUUUAAUCUUAUCCCAACUAAACACAUGUGUAAAUUAGGAUUAUUAAUCCCAUGAUUUUAGGAUUAAAUUCAAAUUUAUUCCCCCUUAAUCCAAUCCAACUAAACUUGUCAAACAUGGGAUAAAAGUUUAAUUCUAAAAGCAUCACUAAAAGGCUCUUCAAAUAAGAUUUUAUUACUUAUUUGAAGAGCCAUAUCAAUAUUUAACGCUCCAAAAGACACUUCAGUUAAGAUUCUUCAAACAAUAGAUGAUUCUCUCUUUUCAAAUUUCGAGAGUUGAUUUCUCCCUCUUCAAUUUGUAUUUUAUUAUUUUUCAUUGGAGAAAGAGAGAGAAGUGCUUUAAUUGCUAUUGACUUUUUCCUUAAAAAAAUAAUUAUUUGAUUAAAAUAAUAUUAAUUUAUUUCUAUUUAAAGAGUCUUUUAAAGAAUAAUAUAUUUUUUUAUUUUUUUUAUUUAUCACAUAGGUAAAUAAAUAAAUAUUUAAAAAAUAAAAUUAAUAGAGACUUUUGGAGAUACUCUAAAAUUAGUCCAAUCCCAUACUUAAUCCUAGCAUCCAAAUAUAGCCCAAGUUGUUUGCUUAAAGAAGCUACCAAAUUUGAAGAGCGUUUACGGGAAGGCCCUGCGUUUCCCAGAUGUAUGCAGAAUUUUUGUAUCUAAAUGGCCAGAACUUAAGAAGCUGACGCUGGAUUUUGAAAGGGCGGGCCAAGGUAAAAUUCUUAUCAAGGGAAAGGAAAAUCGGUGGAAACAACUUCAAUGGGAGGAUCAAGCAACUCAGGAUGCAUUGCUUCUGUUUUUCAAAUCAACUGACAAGUGAUUGAAGGGGGCAUCAUCAGCCUGGAUGGGGAGAUCCUGGAGCAGAUCAGCAGGGUUUGAAUCUGCAUCAUCAACAUCAUCAGGAUCUCUAUUUCUAUUGCUGGUCGUAAUGCCUGCCGACUGUUGCUUGAAAAAGUGAUUAAGUGAGCCAGUUUUUUGUUUAUUAAAUUUUGUCUUAAUUGGCGUCCAAUAGAAAUUUACAAGAAUUACUUUUCUGUUCAUGCAAUCGGCGUCUGAACGCGGCUGAUCGGUCACCGGUGUUGGCGUUUACUGUGAUUAGACAAAUUGUAGGACUUCAAAAAUAACUUCUAUAGGGGUAAUUUCGAUUUCACAUAAUUAAUUUUAUUUACAAUAUUUUAUUCCUGCAAGGUCAACUGAGAUUCUUUCCACCGGGCACACCCUUCAUGUUCUUUUAUUUUCUGUCUUUUAUUAGCCGUUGGGUUUUACUACUCUUAUAUCCAACGGCUUGCCACAACAAGACAAAUGAGGUGGUACCUUCCAACUGCUGAAAGGUGGUUUUGGCCCCGAGUGAAACAGGGGAUGCACUUACUAUUAAGGACAGUUGGUGGCCAGCUAAUGCAUUCAUUUUAUGUCCUUUCGUCUUUUUGAAUUAUUGAAGACAAGGGGCUCCUCGCUUUUACUGUAGGUAAGAUCCAGAUAAUCUCGAUUAUCAAAAUAAUUAUUUUAAAAUACCUUAAUUAUUUUUUUUUUUAUGUUGCGUUUAUUAAACUAGAAUAAAAAUGAGUUGAAAUCGGAAUGAGUAGGAACAAGAAUGAAAAUGAAAAUAAUGAAUGGGAAUCAAAAUAAGUUGUUUACUUGAACUAUAGAAAUCAAAAUCGUAAUGAGUUGAGUUACCAUUAAUGUGUUUAUUUUGUCUUGGAAUCAGAAUCGAAACAAAUUAGAUUGUAACAAAUUACUAAAAAGUACUUAAUGGAUUAUUGUUAUAAUUAUUAUUAUUAUUAAUUAAUUAAUUGUACAAAAUUUUAAUUAAUUAUAAUAACUAUAAUAAAAUUAUUAUAAAAAUAUAUUAACUAAUAAUAUUAAUAUAAAUUACUUAAUUAAAAUAAUAUAUUAAUUGUGAUUAUUUAUUCAAAAAAUAUAAUUAUUAAUAAUUAUUUUUAAUAAUAUAUUAAUUCAUAGUAAUAAUUAUAUAUAUAUAUAUAUAUUUAUUUAAUUGUAUUAAUUUUAUUUAUUUAUUAUUAAUAAUAAAUGAAUUAAUUAUUAUAAUUAUUGUUAAUAAUUAUUAUAAUAGUAUAUUAAUUAAUUAAUUACAAUAAUAAUAUAUUAAUUAAUGUGAUAUUUAUUUAGGAACAAUAAUUAUUAAUAUAUUAUUGUUAAUAAUAUAUUAAUUAUUGUGAUUAUUUAUUCAAGAACUAUAAUUUUUAAUAAUUAUAGUUAAUAAUUUAUUUAUUUAUUUAUUUAUUUAUUAAUCAUAAUAUAUUAAUUAAUUAAUUAUAAUAUUAUAUUAAUUAAUUAUAAAAGAGGAUAAAGUGGAUAUUUUUAAUUUUGGGAAGGGCAAAAUAGUUAAUCCUAGGAAUGAGAGACUCUUUCUCACCUCUGCAUGGGAAUCAAUCUCUCAUUCUCUAUUCUCAAAUAGUAGUAGACCCCAUCAUUUCGAUUCUAAUUCUUACUCCAUAUUUGUGAAGUAAACAUCAUCAAUCAUUCUGAUUCUGAAUUUUUGUGAAUGGAGAGAUGCCGGAGCAGAUCAGCAGGGUUUGAAUAUGACCUUUGGCGCUUGCUUUUUUUUGUGAUUUUUUUUUUUCAUUUUUUCCUUCUUGUCAUUUUAUCAUUUCUUUGGCUUUGUCUCUAUUGCGGGUGUUAUUGCAUGCUUACUGUUGCUUGACAAAGUUUGCUAGCUUUUCCUUUUGUUUAUUAAAUUUUUUAUGGUCACAAAGAAUUACUUGUUCUAUUUGAGAGUGAUAUGAAUCAAUUUUUCAAUUAUAUAUUUUGUGGUCAAUGUGAAUUCAAUUUCAUUUGUCUCCCGCAAUUAUGAAAAAAUUACAGUCAUAAUAUGGAAAAGUACACCGGCAAAAACUUUGUAAAAGCUUCGGAGUGAUACGGGGAAUUCACUUACUACUAAGGACAAUUGGUGGCAAGCUAUUCCAUUCAUUUUAUGUCCAUCCAUCUAUUUAGUUAUUGAAGAUAAGUGGUCCAUUUGUAAAUUUCAGAUUGUCUCUCUCUCCCUCUUGAAAUAACAAUAUUUAAUAUAUCUCUUAAAUUAUUAUAAAUUUUAAUUUACUCUCGAUUUAAAAUGGAGCAUGUCGAUAAAUUUUUUUUCUUCUUAAUAAAAUUGACGUAAGUUGUGUUUACAGUAGUUUGAAGUUUGAAAUAUUUUAAAGAUUAUUAUUCUAUAAGGGAGUAAUAUGAAAUGAAAUUUACUUUUCAUGUGUGAACUGAAAAAGGACGAAGCAAGUGUCCCUACUUUUAUUUUAUUUCAAGGAGGAGUCAUCUCACAUACUUAAGCUCUUAACAUUACAUUUUUUUUUGUUACAUUUUUUUUUUAAUUUUUUUUUUUACACAUGCGUGUGGGUUGCUUAUCUGUAAGCUCCUUAAUAUAUAUUUAACACAAAUCAUGAAAAAGAUGGGAUUAUAUCAAGAUGAUCAAAGCAUGUAAAAAAAGAAAAAAGAAAAAAAAAUUAAGAAGUAAGACACUGAAAAUGGAGAAGAGACGGAAGCAAAAGAUAUUCCAAAACAAAGCAAUAACAAAGCAAUCUAUCCCCUUUCGAGGGCAGACUCAACAGGUUUAAAAAAGUACAUGCUUUGGAUUGGUAGUUGCAAUCAAGGGAAAAUAAAUAGGAUCCAAUGAAAUUUAAAUCUUGGAGAAAAUAAAUAAUCAUGCAGAUUUUCAAGAUUUUAAUAAGGGAUACUAAUAUCUUAUUUUGAUUAAUAACAUUCUUUCACUGUGUUAACUCAAAAAAAAUAUUAUAAUGCUUUACAAUAAAUACAAAUGUCCUAUUAAAUGAAUAUAUAAAAAAUUUAGAAUAUUUAGAAUAUUAUAUAAAAUAAUUUUAAUAUAAUGCGUGAGAUAUAUUUUAUUAAUUUAAAAUGUCAUUUUACCUAAAAAAUAUGAUAAAUUAAUAAUUACAUGUUUGAAGUUAUUUCAAAUAUUAAAAAAAUUUAAUAUUAUUAGUCUUUUAGAUAGAUUAAAUUAUUUUUUAAAGAGAUAGAUUAAAUUAUUUUAAAAUACCUUAAUUGUUUUUACUUUAAACAUUACCGGCCUUUCUUUUAUUUUAUUGCAAAUUAAUGCUAACAAGAAAAAGCUAGAUCAUAUUCCGCAAAAGCAAAAGUGACAAACACAACCAGCUGGAAUCUUUUAUAAAACUACAAAUUAAAAUGGAUUUUUUUUUUGAUAAAUUACACAUGAAAGUGGAUUCUUUUGAAUAUAAGUGGGGUAGGCUCUUUUAUUUUAUUUUUGAAUAUUGUAUAACGGGACUGUAGACUCUUUUAUUAAACUACAAAUUGUAUAGUCUUUUUAAAAUUGUUAUGAAUUAGUGGCCCCUACAAUCCUCAACAAUUGUACCAAUAUUCACAAGUUGGUGGCCCCUACAAUUCUGUUCCGAUAAUUUAACUGUGCAAGUCCUCAUUCACAAUCUUCCAGGUCAUGCUCUCAAUAAUUGUUUUUUUUUUUUUUUUUUUUUUUUUUUUUCUGCAUUCCCUUUCAUGCUCUUAAUAAUUGAAGAGCAUACUUUUCAUUUUCAAAUGUGGAGCCGCAUCUAAUGUCGCUAAUUUAAUUUGGGAUUAAAUUAGGGGACCAUUAUAUUGCAGUGUGCACUAAUUUUUGUGUUUAUCUAAACUCUUUAAGUUUAAGACAUAUUAUGGCAUAAAUAAGAAUAUAACAAUAACAAAAGAGUUAGAAAGUGUAGAGAAGAUCUUGCAGAAAUAUAAAUAAUAUCUAUUUUAAAAUAAUUUUUAAUAUUUUAUGAUCCAUUAGAUAUAUUUUAUUAUAUUAAAAUAAAUUUUAUAAUAAAUAAAAACAUCCUAUUAAAAUGAAUAUAUAGAAAAUUUAGAGUAUUUUAAGUAUUAUAUAAAAUAAUUUUAAUAAAAUAUGUGAGAUAUUCAUAGUUUAUUAAUUUAAAAUACCAUUUUAAAAUUAAAGAUUUAUUUAUGAUAAAUUAAUAAUUAUAUUUUUGAAAUUACUUCAAAUAUUAAAAAAUUAAUAUUACUAAUCUAUUAGAUAGAUUAAAUUAUAUAUAUUAUUUUCUAUUUAUUAAAAAAUUAAAAUUAUUUUUAAUUACUAUUCAAAAAAUAUAAUGAUAAAAAAAAAUCUUAACAUCUUUAUUAAAAAUUUAAAAAUUUACAUGAUCAAUUCUCUAAAUAUUUAGGGUAUAUGUGAACAUCGGUGGAGAAGCUUUAUUUAAUAUUAUUGAUUUAAAUAAUAUGUCAAUUAAAAAUGCGCGGAGAAGAAAUUUCGGUGGGUAUUUUAGUCUUUUCAGCAAUUAUCAUGAUCAGAUCAGCCUUUAGCUUGAAACGUCGGUCAGAAAAGUUUUAAAAUUAAUGCUAACAAGAAAAAGCUAGGUCAUAUUCCACAAAAGCAAAAGUGACAAAACAACCAGCUGGUUUUUUUUACUAAACUACAAAUUAAAAGUGGAUUCUUUUGAAUACAAGUGGGACAGACGAUUAGGCUCUUUUUAUUAAACGCAAGUAAAAAGUAGUCGAAUAGUCUUUUUUCAAAUUAUUGUUUUAUUAUUUUUCCUUCAAAAGUUAGUGUGGCUCAUGUUUGCAGGUGCGAAUGUCAGAUCACAUGCGAUGGUGCUUUUUUCAAUCGUUGCUUGGAUUGCUUUCUUGGAAAAGCAGCAUACAUACGUAACCUCCAAGAUAAUCUUGAUGCCUUGGAGACUGAAUUGGGAAAUCUGAUCGCUAGAAAGAACGAUGUGAUGAGGAGGGUUGUCGAUGCUGAACGGCAACAAAUGAGAAGGCUGGACGGAGUGCAAGUGUGGGUUUCGAGGGUGGAUUCUGUUAAAACUGAAGCUGAUCAAUUUAUAAGAGACGGCUCUCGAGAAAUUGAAAAAUUAUGUGUUGGAGGCUACUGUUCCAAGAAUUGCAUGUCAAGCUACAAGUUCGGGAAAAAAGUGGCUAAAAAGCUACGGGAUGUGCGGACUUUAAUCAGUGAAGGAGUUUUUGAGGUGGUGGCUGACAGAGCUCCAGAGUCUGUAGCAGAUGAAAGACCUACUGAGCGAACAGUAGUAGGCUUGCAAUCACAACUUGAACAAGUCUGGAGAUGUCUUGUAGAAGAAUCAGCGGGAAUCAUUGGCCUAUAUGGCAUGGGCGGUGUUGGUAAAACUACACUACUGACCCAUAUCAACAAUAAAUUUCUCGAGAGUCCAACCAACUUUGAUUGUGUGAUUUGGGUUGUAGUUUCAAAAGACCUGCGACUCGAAAAAAUUCAAGAAGAUAUUGGGAAAAAGAUAGGUUUGGUUGGUGAUUCAUGGAAGAGUAAAAGUGUAGAGGAGAAAGCUGUCGACAUCUUCCGGAGUUUAAGAGAGAAGAGAUUUGUAUUGUUGUUAGAUGAUAUAUGGGAGCGGGUUGAUUUAACAAAGGUGGGCGUUCCACUUCCCGGACCAAAAAAUACUACCUCAAAAGUCGUAUUCACAACCCGUUUCAUCAAUGUUUGUGGUACCAUGGAAGUUGACAGGAAGUUUCAAUUAGCAUGCUUAUCAAAAAAGGAUGCUUGGGAACUGUUUCGAGAAAAAGUUGGGGAAGAAACUCUUCAGAGUCAUCAUGAUAUCGAUGAGCUAGCCCAAAUUGUGGUCAAAGAGUGUGGUGGUUUGCCGCUCGCACUUAUUACUAUUGGUCGAGCUAUGGCCUACAGAAAGAAAGCGGAGCAGUGGAGUCGUCCAAUUGAAGAGUUAAGGAGAUCAGCUUCAGAGUUUGCAGGUUUGGGAAAAAAAGUGUAUCCUCUUUUAAAAUUCAGCUAUGAUAGUUUACAGAAUGAUAGGGUUAGAUCUUGUUUCUUGUACUGUUGUUUAUAUCCUGAAGAUUAUGGCAUUCUUAAAUGGGACUUGAUUGAUUGUUGGUUUGGCGAGGGAUUUUUUGGGGAAUCUGACAGGUUUGGUGCAGAAAACCAAGGAUAUGACAUUUUGGACACUCUUGUUCGUGCAUGUUUAUUAGAAGAGGUGGAAGAUGAUGAAGUUAAAAUGCAUGACGUUAUUCGUGAUAUGGCUCUAUGGAUAACUUGUGAAAUUGAGAAGGAGAAGAGAAACUUUUUGGUUCGUGCAGGUGCUGGAUUAAAAGAGGUACCGGGUGUUAAAGGAUGGGAAAAUGUGAGAAGAUUGUCAUUGAUGCAAAACCAAAUUGAAACUCUGUCAGAGGUUCCCACAUGCCCUCAUCUCCUCACUUUAUUUCUUGACUUUAAUCAGGAGUUGGAGAUGAUCGCGGAUGGCUUCUUCCAACUUAUGCCUUCUCUCAAAGUUUUGAAGAUGUCAAACUGUUCGAAUUUGAAAUUACCUGUUGGGAUGUCAGAGUUGGGUUCAUCACUAGAACUUCUCGAUAUUUCAGAAAACAGCAUAACAGAGUUACCGGAAGAGUUAAAGAAGUUGGCAAAUCUGAAAUGUUUGAAUUUGGGGUGGACAAGGGAGUUAAAUAAAAUUCCACGGCAACUAAUAUCAAAUUCUUCAAGGUUACGUGUGUUGAGAAUGUUCGCUACUGGCCGGUUCAAUUUUCAUGAAGCACCAGAAAACAGCGUUUUAUUUGGUGGGGGUGAAGUUUUGAUACAGGAAUUGCUCGGUUUGAAAUAUUUAGAGGUAUUGGAGUUGACCUUGGGAAGUUAUCAUGCUCUCCAAAUUCUUUUGAGCUCAAAUAAGUUAAAAAGUUGUAUUCGAUCUCUUUUCCUCGAGUUGACCGGAGAUACAGCGUCAAUUAUUGACGCUACGGCUUUCGCAGAUCUAAACCACCUCAAUGAAUUAUGGAUUGAUAAUGGUAUUGAGUUGGAAGAGUUGAAGAUUGAUUAUACGGAGAUAGUACGAAAAAGGCGGGAACCUUUUGUUUUCCGCAGCCUUCACUGUGUUACUAUGAUUUCGUGCCGUAAAUUGAAAGAUUUGACAUUCCUCGUUUUUGCUUCAAACCUCAAGUCUCUUCGGCUACGCAAUUGCUAUGCUAUGGAAGAAAUAAUCAGCGUCGGAAAAUUUGCUGAGACUCCUGAGAUGAUGGGACGUAUAAGCCCUUUUGAAAAUCUCCAAAUGCUUGAUUUACAAGGUUUGCCACAUUUGAAGAGCAUCUUCUGGAAGCCAUUGCCUUUCACUCAUCUGAAAGAAAUGGAGGUACUUAGGUGCGAUCGGCUUGAAAAGCUUCCACUCGAUUCCAACAGUGCAAAGGAGCGCAAAUUUGUUAUUCGUGGAGAAGAAGACUGGUGGAACCGACUUCAAUGGGAGGAUGAAGCCACUCAAAUUGCUUUUCGUUCCUGUUUUAAAAGUGAUGCUUUAUUUAUAUCUUAUUCGUGAAAAGUGAUUUAAUUUCCUGCCAAAAGACGAACGAGAAGAACAUUAGAGUCAAACUAAUGCUCACAUAAAUUUCCCAUAAGAAUAUAUAAUUAGACUGGAAUGCACACCUCUAGAUUGAACAGAAUUAAAGCUGAGAAGAUAUUGAGUAUAGUAGCCCUCUUUACAGAAAAUGACACGAAAGUUAAUUUAGAAAGAUAUAUUCUUGAUUAAUCCAUUUUCUGAAGUUUUUAUUUUGUAUGGUCAAUUAUACCUUCAUACUAAAAAUUUCUGAAGUUAUAAAUUAGUGCAACUUGACAAUUUUUACUGAUGAUAUCUUCUAUUUUUCCUUUUUUUUUUUUUUUUCACUUUCAUAGACUGGCAGCGGAUCCUGCGGCACCAAUUUGAGAGAAUAUACUGACACUACUUCGAACAGCAAGCAGAAUAUGUCUACGGCAAAGGCAAUGCAGUCCUCAUUUUGGCUUGAGAUGCAGUAAUCAUCGAAGAGAGUUUCCUUGUGAAACUGGGCAACACAUUGAAUCCCUUCGCCACUGAGAAGGUUGUGGAGGAAGUAAGCUUUCUCUCCAGUGAGGAAGAGGUGGCAUAUACCUUCCCCAUUUUGUCGAGGGCAGGUAGGAAUCUUUUUUCUAAGAGAUUUACUUCGUUCUCUGUAAGAAAUGCUUUGAACUUCAUCCCUCUGUCUCUAUCCUCACUUAUCAGGAAAUAAGUUGAAAGCACUAUGAAGAGAGAGAGAGAGAGAGAGAGAGAGAGAGAGAGAGAGAAUUAAGAUAUAGAGACAAGAAAAAUAUUAGACGUUGAUCUUACAAACUAAUACUUCAAGCAGUAUCCUAGAAAGCUAAAAACUGCAAGAUGGCUUGAAAUUUGAAAAGAGCACGUGCUUUUCCUCCUUAACUUGAGAAAAUGUUUAAUAUAGUGCACCUUACAGAAGCAUUUAAGCAAUUAGAACUUUGCACAAAAACAUCAAGAAGACUAAACAAGUCAGAUGCAGUGCAUUUGUCCAAGCACAAAUUGCAUUUUGUCCUCAACUUUAAUAUUUAUUGAUGAGAAUCAAUACAGGUCCCUCAUUUGUUAUAGAAAGCUUUCUUUCUUGUAGUCUCACCAGUUAAUUCACAGGUCUAUAAUCAUCUUGCAAAGUUAAGGGCAUUUCUUUCGAUCUAAAGUCUUUGCAUCACCACCUCAUCACACGCCAAGCCAAUAUUCCAUUUACCUCUACAACAAAAAGUUUUAAUUAAACAAUCCUAAUGCACGCAGCCAAAUAAAAUGCAGUAAGAAUAUUCAACUUAAAAAUCUGAAAGCCAACUUGGUGAAUUGCCUCCUUAGGUGAAGUUCCAUGCUUUACUAUAGUUGACAGAACUCAGCAAAAGCUUCCAUACAACAGAUUUUGAAAAUGAUGAUGCCAACAGAUACUUAUUCAAUCCAUUGAAACUCCAAAGGUUCAUUGUUCAUAGAAGUUUACAGAGUUUUGGUCAUCAAAUAGCUCAGACCUAAUCCCAAACAAAAAACGAGUGAAAAUUAGAUCACGAGCAGCUAAUUGUAAAUUCUAACUUAACUCUUCAUCUCCUUUGUAAACAAGAAACAAAAUGGAGACACGCAAAAUGAAUAUGGAGAAAAUUUGAACUCAAAUGAAAUGAGGGCACAAAAGCAAACAAAUGGCAUGCACCAAAAAACCAAGCCUCAAUCAAAAACUAAUUAACCAUUAAGAAAAAAAUUGCCCAGAGAAUGAACUCCAAAUUCAGGAGUCAAGCAAGAACCUUUCAUUAUUUCAGAAGCUCCUGUACAAAUUAAUAAGUUAUGCUCUUUGGAAGCAAACCUAAAUUCCAAGAGAAACAGAACCCAAAAAAAUUUGCAAUUAUACGCAAAGGAAGUGAAGCACAGGAUUCUAUCACACAUAGGAAUUGUAUAACAAGAGAUCGAUAUAUCGAAUUAGAAAACUCAAUUCGAAUUUGUGUCAAAAAUCAAAAUUAGAAGAUUUCACAUUUCGAGAGGAACAAGCAACAGAUGAAGUUCAAAAUUUCAGCCAUAACAUGCUAAAAAUGCUGCACUUAACGGUUCAUUUUCAUGGAUUUUCUCGGGAAACAAACAGAAAAUUACGGUUUAGAGAGUUGACUGACCUUUUGGCUUUUGAAAUUGAGAAGAUCGCACGCCAAAUUGGAAGAGGGAAAGUGAAAGUGCGAGUUUUAAUAUGGGUAUUAGAUAAGGAAAUUUUAUUAGGUUGCGAGGGUAAAAAAGGAAAGAGAUAUCAUUGUUUUAUUAUCGAUAAUUAUUAAAUUUUUUUCCAAAAAAAAAACAGGCAAGGAUAUUUUAUUGUCAUUUGCAACCUUUAAUUUUUUUAAAUGCUAUUAGAAACACAAGACAACAAAGAAAUACUUAUUUUUUUCUAAAACUAAAAUCAACUGUUUAGGGCCCGUUUGGUAUUGUUUCUAAAUUUAUAUUUUCUGACAAUAAAAAUGAAAAUGAAAAUGAUGUUUUGCAGUUGCUGUAUUUUAAAUUUAAGUAUACGUUUGGUAUCAUUUUCUAUAUCCUAUAUUUUAAAAUUAAAAAUAAUAAUAUGUGUUUGGUAAACACAUUUGAAAAUAAUAAAAACAGAGAAUAUGCGUUUGGUAAUACUUUUUUUAAAAAGAGUUUUUACUAGUAUUUACGUCAUAUUUAUAGUUAUAAAAUAAUUAUUUAGCUAAUACAUACACAAAUACAACAUAAUAAUUUAAACAAAAUUAUUAUAAAAAAAUUACAUGAUAAUAAAGUUUUAGAAUUAGCAUUAAUUAAAAAAAAGUUUUACAUUGUCAUUAUUUUUACACCAUAAUUAAGAUAUAUAUUACAACACAUGAUUUAAACAAAAUAAUUAUAAAAAAAUUACAUGAUAGGCAUUAUGCAUUACGCAUGUAAUCAUGCCACAUAAAAGCUGCAAUUCUAUCUCUUAUAGCAUUCAUCUUUGCGACACUUGAAGGAGAUAAAUCAAUAUUAGUAAGUGACCUACUAGUGUCUCCUUCUUCGUUGGUAACCAAAUCUUGCACAUCAAAGUCUCCAAAUAACCUAUCACAGGCAAUAAAUUCAAAUUGUGAAUCCCAUCUAAAGCAAUAAAUUGAAAUUACAGAUUGUUUGAUUGGAUUGAAUCCUAUCCUGGGCAAAGCUUGAAAAAACUUUAUUUCUCUCUAGUAACAAAAGUCCUAUUUGCCUAAUGCAUUUUCUCUGUAAAAAAAAAAAAAAUUGGAGUGACAUGCAAUAAAUUCAACUUGUGCAUCAUCAACAAAAUGGAAUUUGGAGUAAAAUCAACAUCAUGGCAAUGACAAUCGUGAACAAUAUCAUCUUUACAUGCUAUUAAAAACAAUUAAAAUCACUCAAAUAAUUUCUGAAAUUUUUAUUAAAUUCUCAGGUUUUUUUUUUUCAUUCUAAAUGUCAUAUAUACAAAUUCAUUACUGUCCAAAAACAUCCUACUUUAAGAAAUAUUUAAAAGUUAAUUAAGUAAAAAAUCUUGUAAAUUAUAAUGUCUUUUUUUUUUUUCGUUUUAAAUUGGUUUCCAAAGAAUGAUGUCUAUGCUUACAGAAGCAAAACAUGCCAAACAGCAGCAGCGACAUUUUGUGAAUUGUUUUUAACUUAAACAAAACAAAUACCGGCAAGUGACAGAUCCGAGAGAGCAACAGCAGCUGGCGUGAAGACGAGCAGCAACGGCUGAGCAGAGCAACAGCGGAAACAGAGCAGCAGCGAAGACGAGCAGCAGCGGAGCAGAGCAGCAGCAGAAACAGAGUAGCGGCGGCUAUGGCGGAAACACAGCAACGACAGUGGUUGAGAGUGCAGAUUUGCUGAGGAAAGGGAGAGAGUGCAGAUUUAUUGCAACUGAAUCAAGAAGGCUGCGGGGGAAAGGGGAAGAGAGAGAGGCAAUGAAGAGAUAAGGAGGAGAGAGUGGAUCGGGAGAAAUAAAGAGAGAGAAAGAUGUUGGAUGAAGAUAAGGGGAGGGAGAGAGUGCAGAUUUGCUGCAACUGGAUGAAGAAAGUUGGGGGGAAGAGAGAGCGGCAGUGAAGAGAUAAGGAGGAGGUCACGAUUUUUCUUUUGUUUUUUAAUUCAUUUUUAGGUUUAGGUGGCGUUUGUUUUUUUGUCUGAAAUCUGAAUAGACUUGAAUUAGUCUGAAUUCUGAAUAGGUCUGAAUGUCUGAAUCUGAAUAAUAUGUUUGUUUUUUCGUCUGAAUCUUGAAAAAUAAGUAUUAAGUUGUUUGUUUUUUUCAACUUAAAAAGCUGAAAAUAUAUACUUUUACAUUUGUAUCCUUAUUAAAUUUGAAUGUCAAAUAAAUAAUAUAUUAAAUACCACAAUAUUUUAACAUUUAUAAGUAAAACUAUAUUCAAGUGAAUACAUAAUUAUUUUAGAAUUUUAAUAUAUAAAAUACCAUAAAUUUCAAAUUUUAUCGUAUAUAAUAUAAGAAAGAAAAAACAGGGAUAUUUUUAUGUGGGGUAGAUAUCUAUGGGUGAGUUUUGGGAUAGACAUGAAAAAUAAAUUAUAAAACAUGGAUAUUUUUGACAUUAGCAAGUAAUUGACUUAAUUUAGAUUUCUCCAUUAAGUAAAAAGCCAAAAAAAUUAGCUUAUUUUAUUAAGUCAAAAUUAUUUAAAAAUUCUCAUUAAGUUAUAAAAACAAACAACUCUAAUUAACUUAAUUAAUUAAGUUAAGUCACUUUAAGUCAUUAAGUUAAAAAACAAACGCAACCUUAGUCUGUAAAAUUUGGAGAACAUGUUUAACUUGUUUUCAGUUGUAUAGUUAUAAUAAUGAAUCCGAAUUUUGUGUUUUGUAAUUUGUUUUGUGAAAAAAAUCCACCAAACAUGUUUUAUGUGUGUAUUAUAAAAAUGAAAACGCAAAUAUGGCUUGAAAAACGGUACCAAACGGGCCCUUAACUUCUUAUUUCAUAAUCCAACUCCAUUACUAAGUUAAAAAAAAUUGUUUUAAAAUUACUUGAGUCAUAUCCAAUAGACCAACAAAGUAAUCGUUUUUAUUUUUAUUGAUUUUUGCAGGAAAUUAGUGGCUUAAAAAUACUGAAAGCUAUUGUAAAAAUCUUUAUUAUCAACCUCAUUGUUUUUUUUUUUUUUUGGGGAAGAGAAUUCAAUUUUUUUUUUUAAUGAAUAUCGCUGUUUCGUUUGAGUUGGAUGUGAAUUCAAAUUCAUUUGAGUUGGAUGUGAAUUCAAAUUCAAAUAUUCUUUGUUUUUCAAUUCUGAACUCGAUUUCUUUUUCUCAAGAAUGUUAUGUAGAAAUGAUUUUUACUAAAUCAUUUUUGAUGAAUUGUUUAAAUUAAACAAUUGGAAUAAGAAUUGUAACGAUUUAUCAUAAGCGCGCUAAUAUGAUAACUUGUUUUACGAAAGAUUAAUUAAUCAAUUAAUAUUAAAUUAUAUAUUAGUCAAUUAUAUAUGUGUUACAUUUGUCAUGGUUUGUGCGUGAUACUACAUAAUUUCUAAAAGAAUAUAGUAAAAACACGUUAAAAUGUUAUUUUAAUGAAUAAAAUUUUAUAAUUUUAUUAAUUAGGUGACACAAUAAUAAAUGGAUUUCUGUAAGAAUUGAGUUUCUUGAGAUAAUUAUUACAUAAGGAGAAGUUUAGUUGGUUCAAUUUUGACAUGUUAAGAAGAGCAUCACAGCACAGAAAACACAAAUUGCCACUUCCACUAAUAAAAGAUACCUGUUUGAAAAGUAAUUAUAAACUAUCUUCUUUGUGUUAUUUCUCAAAACUUUUGUGGCACAAAUGUUAUUUCCAUUGACAACAGUACGAAAUACCACCCCUUUCACUUGAGCAGGAGCAAAGCAAAGGUAUGAUGAGCUAUCUCUGUAUAAUUGAAACGCCAUUACUAAACGAUUCUUGAUGAUGGGAGCCACCGUGCCAGCUUUGUCGCUGAUUUGGUAUUAUUCUUAACUUGCAGAUAGUUGUGGAUAUGAUAUGCAAAAGGUAAGGACUAUAUCUUCUUGAUGGAGGCCUCUGAUUUUUUCCCUUCUAUGUAAUUUAGUAAAUCGCAUUUUCCUUUGUGAUUGAUAUAUCAUACCAAAGUCAAGUCUUAAAUACUGCUGUCAUAUGUUAAGGUUCAACUUCCAUUUUGAUUAACGUCCAUCUGCUGCUGCUUCCAAAAGUGAGAAUGAGAUACUUUGGUUAAUUUCAGUAGUUGAACCCAAUAGAGUACUUUAUUUAGAUCUUCAUGGUUCAAAGGCCUGAAAAAACUUGCCGGUAUUUGGAAAAUGACAUUCUGUGCUUUUAUUUAGACUUAUUAUUUAAGUGAUAAAAACUCCCGUAACCUGCUGUCAAGAAAAUUUCAGAUUGUUAAAAGACAACAUUUUGUUUCGGCCAAAAAUGUUUGUUUCGAUUAAAGACUUGAACCAUUUUCAUUUAACCUUGAUUGUGAUGCUUUACAUUAUGCAUGUUCCUCUCAAUCAAUAAAAGUUGAGGUCAUGAUUUUAUAUUUCUAUUUUGUAACUUGAAAUAAUUGGUCUGCCUGUUUCUGUAGCUUGAUAACAUGAAUUUUUCCUUCUGAAGUUAAUUUGAUCAAUAAAGUAAUUCUUCGGAGAUGAUAUGCCCAUUCUAUAGUCAUUUUCUUAGCUAACAUGUUUUUUCUUCACUCUUCAGAGCAUGUCUAAACUAAUUGAUCGCUCAGCGGAGACUUUGGGUGAGAAGACAAAAUUUCUUAGUAAAUCCUCUGAAAAGGUAUGCAUAAUUCUCGAGUAUUAAAUAACCAUUGGUCAUAAUUUUUGUUCUUUUUUUGGAGAUCGUUAAAAGUGGUUGAUGACCUAUUUUUUACUAUCAUAGAGGGAUCAUGAAUUCCUUUUCUUUUCUGUGGCUCGGCAACACUUUCGGGCCAAACUAAGGAAAUCUAUUUUAGGUAAUGUAAAAACCAGUUGUAGGAUGUAAUAGUUUAUUAUGCCCUGACAAUAACUUUUUGUAUAAUUGUCAGUUUAAUGAAUACAAGAGGAACUCUGUUGGCAAAUUCAUCCAUGAUAGAAUAUAGAUGCUAAAAUUAUUUAUGCAUACCAGUUGCCUUAACUAAUUUUUCUCAACACUGGUAUUGAACAGGAAAAUGAAUAUGCAAUUUGUAUAUUGUGCCAUUGUGGAGAAUUUGGAUAUUCUUAUUUAAGUAUCAAGGAGAGUAUUUGCCUCAUCUUUAAACAAUGAAUCUUUGAGAAAUGAGGAGUGGGUGAUUGGCAGUGUCUUCAUGUAAAUGUUCAUUUAUUUGUAUUUUGAACUAUUACGAGAAUCUUUGUGUGCCAAAUUAGUAAUACAAAUGUUCAGAUGAUUUUUCCUGUUGAUCAUGCGCGUGUAUCUGCACACAACCAUUGUGUACCACUUUAUUCUGAUGCGCAAAUAUCUGUAGUUUAGAAGAAAAGAAAUAAUAAUCAUAUAUUAUUGCUUGGUUCAUGAUUAUUAAACGAUUAUGGCUUUAGAAAAUCCACAAAUCCUUUGUGUUCAUAUAUGAAUGUGCAAAGUUUGCUAUAUCUUAGAUUACCUUCUUCCAAGAUAACAAGUUCAUAUAUUUUUUUUAAUCCUUUUUCAUCACAGUUGAAUUUCAAGUGUAAGUUUUGUUAUUAAUAGCUGGUGUCCUGUUAUUAUGAUUUCAUAAACAGUGAGCGGAUAUGUGCUCUACUUUUGGAGGGCCUCCACAUGAAAGAAAAUUGCAACAAUUGAAUUCUUCUGGAGGUUAUGGUAUUUAAUUUAUUUUCUCAGCUUGUUGAAAGACUAAUAUAUUUCCUUCAGUACGCACGGCGUGGUGGGAAGGGUUUUUAUUGAAAGAAUUAUGAUAUUUCUUAGACUUUGUUUUGGAAGGGGGUGGAGGGAUUUCUCAUCCAUAUAUGGUUACUUGAUUAGCUUUUGACUGUAUUGUCUCCGUCGUGCAAAGGAAAAUCCAAAUACUAACGAAGGGGAAUUGCUUAGGCACCCAAAAGACAGAAAUGAAUUACAGAAGGAAGUUUUUGCUGCUUUAUUUAGUGCUGCUGAGAAAUCUGAUGGAUUUCCUGAAAUUACGGUGAAGACGGAGUGGAGGUCCAACGCAUUAGGAAAGGUGGUGAGUGAACCGCCGGAGGAAUUAGUACCAGAAUACAAGGCUAAUGUGGUGCACUUGCAGCAAGAUGACCAGACCUGUAUGUGCUCUUAUAUUAACUAUAUUGUUGGAUUUGUGAGUGUGUACAUUUUUGUGUGUAUACUCACUUUUGUAUUUAUGCAUAUUAACGUGUGUAGGAUUCUUGAUUUCUGCCACUUACUGGAGAACUAGUGGAAAGCUUUAUACUGAUAUAUGUGCUAUAACUAAUGGAAACUACGAUAUGAAUAUUUUCUCUCACCUGGAGAACUGUAUAACAGAUAUAAUUUGUGGCUCUGGAAUACUGAAGAUUCUGCAAUAACUAAUGGAAAAUAUGAUAUGAAUAUUUUUUCUCACCUGGAGAACUUUGUAACAGAUACAUUUUGUGGCUCUGGAAUGUCUAAAGAAUGCUUCAGUUUAGAUCAAAUAUCUUUUAGUUAGAAAAGAUAAAAUUCUCUGAAUCUGAAAGACUGAAACAUUUUGCAUAUUUUGUGAAAGGGUAGUAUCUGUAGAUACUAGCUCAUGCAUUGAGGUAAUAUCAGUGUUAAAGAAAAACAACAAUAAUUUAUUAUACAAAAUUAGGUUCACUUGCUUUAAAUGCUGGUCUGAUCAACCAUAUCAACCUGUAAUGGUUCUGCAGAAAUAUAUAUACGGGGAGAAACUAGCUAAAUUUUCCUUUCACUUAUGGGUUUGGUCUUUUUUUCCCCUAUUUUUCAGCUUUCCUUCUCCUGAAGUAUGUUAACAAUUGCAGAUAAUGACGAAGAGGACCGCUUCCAGGCUCUUUGUAGAGCUGUGAUGGAAUAUAGGGGCACAAUGAAGGAAUAUUGUAAGGCUGUAGGUACUUUCUCUCUUGUCAUUUAUGUUUUCUCACACAUUUUGUAUAUGCCCUGAACAUGCAGCUUUGUAUGUGUCAAUUGCCUUUUACAUUUUAAAAGCCAUAAAGUAAGAAUACAGUUCCUUGUCAGGCUAUUGAUGCGUUCGCUCAGAAGGGUCAUGUUCAAGCAGGAAAACUUCUAGAACAUGUAAGGUUUCCAUCUACAGCCAUCCAUUGACAGUGUCAAAGUAUUUGGCUGCAGCUUCUAGAAGCUACAUCUAGAAGCUUUGAUGCAGCAAAUGUUGAAGGCACCGCCAAGGAGAAAAAGAAGGAAGAAUGAAGAAGAUGUUGCAGAAGUUGAUCUUGACAAAUGAUGGUUGGAACGCCAAAAUGGAAGAAAGAAAAAAGGUUGGAACACGGCUUUGAAGAAGCCACGAGAAGAAUAAAGAAAAUAUUAAAAUAAUAGCUAAUUUUGGCUAUAUAAAGGAAGCUCCCCUUUUUUUGGUUUGUGUAUCCAAUCCUCAGUUUCUCUUCUUCAUUCAGAGAGUGUUUCUUUGGGGUGUAUUUGGGGAUUAGGUGAGAGAAAAUUAUUUCUGAAAGAGUGGUUGUAAUAAUUUUCCACAUAGUGAAUAUUUUUUCUCUGGUUGUCUUUUUGACAACGGCCGUGGUUUUUCUCCAUAUUUGGAGUUUUCCACGUAAAUCUUGUGUUGUGGGAUUGAUAUUAUUUUUCAUUUAAUUUUUCUUGUUAAUUUGUUAAUUGAAAAAUUGCUUGGAGAGAUCCUGGGAGGAAGCUCAAUUUCCUAACAGUGGUAUCAGAGCCAUUGAUUGAAGUUUUUUGGUGUCGGGGCACUGCUCACGUAUACGGUACUGUUUACGUAUACGGUACUAUUCACGUGAAGCAGUGGGAGCCAAUCCAAACAGUUCGUGGUGAAGAGUAAAAGCUUAUCUGCAAAGCAAAUAUGUCAGGAUUGAAAUUUUCAAGUCCGGUGAAAUUUGAAAUAGAAAAAUUCGAUGGGAGAAUUAACUUUGGCUCGUGGCAAGUUCAAGUCAAAGAUGUGUUGAUUCAAUCUGGGUUACACAAGGCAUUGAAAGGGAAGCCAUCCCCUGCUUCCAGUAGUGGCUCUGGAAAAGCUAGUAUAAGUGAUGAAGAUUGGGAAGAAUUAGAUGAUCGAGCUGCAAGUGCCAUACGACUAUGUCUAGCAAAGAAUGUUCUUGCAAAUGUAGGAAAAAUUCCUACAGCGAAAGAACUUUGGGAGAAGCUAGAAAAGUUGUAUCAGACAAAGAGCAUCUCAAAUCGAUUGUACCUGAAGGAGCGAUUUCACACACUGCGAAUGGCUGAAGGUACAAAAAUUUCUGAUCACCUCAGUGUUCUCAAUGGUAUUGUGUCAGAACUAGAAGCCAUUGGAGUUAAAAUUGAAGAUGAGGACAAGGCGCUUAGGUUACUAUGGUCACUUCCAACUUCCUACAAACACUUGUUACCUACUUUGAUGUACGGGAAGGAGACAGUAGAUCUUGAAGAAGUUACUAGUACUUUACUCUCAGAAGAAAGAAGACUGAAUGGUGAAAGUACUAAAACUACAGAUGUCUCGGCUUUGGCAGUUGUAGGGAAUUGGCAGAAAGAUAAAUCUAAGAAGAAAGGAGUCUGCUGGGGGUGUGGACAAUCGGGGCACUUAAAAAGAGAUUGUCAUAGUAGAAAUAGAGUAGGAUCGGCAAGUGGCUCCAGAUUAGAUAUUGAUAGUAUUGCUAGUGGUAAGUCUCUCAUCAUCGUGGGAGACGAUGAUCCCUUAUAAAAUGGAUGAUGAUGACAUCCUCAUGGUAUACCGCUAGUACCAUGAAAGGGGAUAUGUUACUACUAGCGGGUCCACAAGAUUUACACACAAGGCAUGGUUGGCAUUGAUGCAGGGUGUGUGGUGGAAUUUAUGUCGAUGGCUGACAAACUUCCAGGAAGACCAACAUGGAAGUUGCACCAUAAAUUUCAGCAAGAUAUUUCGACAUGUGCCGAUGUAAAAUUCUUAGAAUUGUUAAUUAAUUCUAAGUGGUAUACUCUUUAUGGUGGAGUAUGAUAAUUCUCUAUGGUGAGGAUUAUGACUAAGGUGAAAAUAGUAAGGUUAGUGUGGAGAUUGAUUGAUUCUCAAUCAAAACUCCAAGUGGGAGAAUGUCAAAGUAUUUGGCUGCAGCUUCUAGAAGCUACAUCUAGAAGCUUUGAUGCAGCAAAUGUUGAAGGCACCGCCAAGGAGAAAAAGAAGGAAGAAUGAAGAAGAUGUUGCAGAAGUUGAUCUUGACAAAUGAUGGUUGGAACGCCAAAAUGGAAGAAAGAAAAAGGUUGGAACACGGCUUUGAAGAAGCCACGAGAAGAAUAAAGAAAAUAUUAAAAUAAUAGCCAAUUUUGGCUAUAUAAAGGAAGCUCCCCUUUUUUUGGUUUGUGUAUCCAAUCCUCAGUUUCUCUUCUUCAUUCAGAGAGUGUUUCUUUGGGGUGUAUUUGAGGAUUAGGUGAGAGAAAAUUAUUUCUGAAAGAGUGGUUAUAAUAAUUUUCCACAUAGUGAAUAUUUUUUCUCUGGUUGUCUUUUUGACAACGGCCGUGGUUUUUCUCCAGAUUUAGAGUUUUCCACGUAAAUUUUGUGUUGUGGGAUUGAUAUUAUUUUUCAUUUAAUUUUUCUUGUUAAUUUGUUAAUUGACAAAUUGCUUGGAGAGAUCCUGGGAGGAAGCUCAAUUUCCUAACAGACAGCAGAUACAUUUUCAUUGAGCAGACACUGUUAGCAUUCAAGAUGCUGGCAGAUUCACUUGAUUCUUAUUAGUUUGUUUAGUGGCAAAGCAUAUAACCUGUAUUUCAAAGCCAAGUUGUGCUAUUGAUUAUGUUAACUUUAUUGUUAACCUAAAGUGAUAUGGAGGACAUAAUCAAUGUAGGAAAAUUAGGUGAAGAGACGAUGUCAACUCUUGAACCUCUUACAAAGCUCCAAGUUCUUUACUUGAAGAAGCUGCCAAAUUUGAAGAGCGUCUACUGGAAGGCAUUUCCAUUCCCAGAUGUAUGCAGAAUUUUUGUAUUAAUGCCCAGUUCUUAAGAACCUGCCACUGGAUUUUCAAGGGACGGGCCAAGGUAAAAUUCUUAUCAAGGGAAAGGAAGAUUGGUGGAAAGAACUUCAAUGGGAGGAUCAAGCAACUCAGAAUGCAUUGCUUCCAUUUUUCAAAUCAACUGACAAGUGAUUGAAGGGGGCAUCAUCAACAUCAUCAACAGAGAUGGAGAGAUUCUGGAGCAGAUCAGCAGGGUUUGUAUAUGAUCUUUGGUGGUUGCUUUCUUUUGUGAUUUUUUUUUUCUUCCUGUCAUUUUAUCAUUUCUUUGUCUCUUUUUCUAUUGCUGAUGUUAGUGUAUGCUUACUGUUGCUUGACAAAGUUUGCUUGCUUCUUGUUUAUUAAAUUUUUUAUGGUCACAAAAUAUUACUUGUUCUAUUUGAGAGUGAUGUGAAUCAAUUUUCAAUUAUAUAUUUUGUGGUCAAUGUGAAUUCAAUUUCAUUUGUCUCCUGCAAUUAUGAGAAAAUUGCAGAGUCAUAAUAUGGAAAAGAACACCAGCAAAAACUUUGUAAAAGCUUCGGAGUGAAACAGGGAAUUCACUUACUACUAAGAACAAUUGAUGGCGAGCUAUUCCAUUCAUUUUAUGUCCAUCCAUCUAUUUAAUUAUUAAAGAUAAGUGGUCCAUUUAUAAAUUUUAGAUUUUCUCUCUUUGAAAAUAACAAUAUGUAAAAUAUCUCUUAAAUUAUUAUAAAUUUUAAUUUACUCUCGAUUUAAAACGGAACAUGCUGAUGAAAUUUUUUUCUUCUUACUAAAAUUGAAAUAAAUUGUGUUUGCAGUAGUUUGAAAUAUUUUAAAGAUUAUUAUUUUAUAAGGGAGUAAUAUGAAAUGAAAUUUACUUUUCAUGCGUGAAAUGUUGAAAAAGGACAAAGGAAGUGUCCCUGCUUUUAUUUUAUUUCAAAGUGGAGUCAUCUCACAUACUUUAGCUCUAACAUUACAAUUUUUCAGGUUACAUUUUUAUUUAUUUAUUUUCUUUUUUACACAUGCAUGUGGGUUACUUUUCCGUAAGCUCCUUUAUAUAUAUUGAACCCUACGAAGAAUGUUAUGGAAGAGCAAAUGAUAUUUCUGAUAGACUCUAUUUGAUUAUGUAGCCUGAAUGGAUGUCUUGUUGAAAGAUAUUUCAGUGCAUUAGUUCAUCCUUGUCUCUCAAUGUGUUUUUAAUGGUUUUUCCAAUUGUUUAUUAUUAUAGAUUGAUUGUAAAUUGAUAUGAAUUUAAUGUUGAAAUGUUUUCUCUUUAGUGGAAUGAAUUUAAAAGUGCAAAAGAUUAUUGCACACGGAGAAAUAAACAUAUAUGCUUUAUAACUUUAGCAAUCGAUUCUUUUACAGCUGGAAACAGAGAUGAUGAUUAUCAUAAGGAUGAAGAAAAGGACAAAAAUUGUCAAUGAUUAACGAAAUCUCUAUGCAAAUUGAUUUUAGCAGGAAAAAAGUGAGCUAAAUGAUGGAGACGAUUAGUGGUAAUAUUUCAUAGAGUUCCUUCCAAUCUUCUCAUGAAUCCCCUUUUUGAGUUAUAUUUAUUUUAUUUUUAAAAUAUCUUUUUUCUCUUUUACUACACUUCUAAUUUUUCAUUUUUUUUUAUUGUUAAACUCAAAGUAGUAUUGUGAUAUUUUUUAUUUAUUUUGCAAUCUUAUUAUUACUCUACACUUAAGUUAAAAAGUUUUAUAGGUGAUGAAUUUUUGAAUGUUAAUCAUUAGCUUAAAUUUCACAUAUUUUACAUUAUAAUUUGAAAUUUAGUACCAAAAUAUUUAAUCAAUAAGAAUUAUGAAAAGAUUAAUAGAUUAUUCUAAAUUUAUACAACUUAUUUUAGUUAGAUCAGAAGUAGCAGGUUAAAAAAAGAAAAGAUUGGUUAUGAAAUUUGUUGGAAAAAAAUCUAUGUGUGUUUAAUUUUUAUUCGUUGUUAACUCUAAUUAAAUAGGUUAAAUAAUUUUGUUAUUUUUUACUUAUCAAAAAAUUUAAGAUCAAUAUUUUUAGUUACCAUUUGAAGGAUAUUAUGACAAAAACAAAAUUUUCAUGUCUUUGUUAAAAAUUUGGGGGUUUGUAUAACUAUUUUUUCAAAUGUUAGGGGCAUAACUGUCUUUUUACUCUUAUAUAUAUGAACCAUGGUGGUGAAAAAGCGUGAUUUAAUGUUAUUUAUUUAAAUAAUAUCUCAAUUAAAAAUGUAAGCAGAAGAAAUUUUGGUGGGUAUUUUAGUCUUCUAACGAUUAUCAUGAUUAGGCCCUGGUCUUGAAACGUUGGUCAGAAAAAUUUUAAAAUGCGUUCAUUGUCUUUACUUUAAAAACGUUAUUUUAUUUUAUUUUAUUACAAAUUAAUGCCAACAAGAAAAAGCAAGAUCUAAUAUUCCACAAAAGGAAAUCGUAAUAUUCCAUAAAAGCAAAUAACCAGCUGGAUUCUUUUAUUGAACUACAAAUUAAAGUGGAAUCUUUUAUUAAACAACAAAUUAAAGUUCAAAUAUUUAAAUAGUAGUGCGUUAGACGAUUAGGCUCUCUUAUUAAAGGCAAGUAUAAAGUAGUCAAGAAUCGAACAUCUCUAUUGUCUAGUCUUUUUUUUUUAAUUCUUCUUUUAUUAUUUUUCAGAAUAGGUUUUGGUGAUUACUAUUGGGUUAUUAUUCAGAGUUAUUGUUAUCUUCCGGGGCAGUUUCUGUUAAUCGAAAUCGUUAAUUAAAAUUUUAGAACUCUUAUGGGAAGAAUGUUUUUCUGUUAUCUUUUUUAUAUUCUAAUUUCAACUGUAAGGAGUCGUUUUAGAAUUUGGGUCUGGAAUCGAAUUUCAAUGCAUGAAUUAAUAUUUUUAAAAAAAAUUACUACACGCAGUUUAGGUUACAAACUAUUUUUUGCAAAGUUGACUAUGAAAUUGGAGAAAUUAAGUAAUUUAUAAUGUUUGCAAAGGAAGAGACUAACAUACUUCCAAUUACACUAUCUCUCUAUUAUCAUAAUAUUAAGACUAAAGUAACUUUAAAUAAAUUUUAUUUGAAAAGUUAUAUCAAAUGCAGUCUAAUUUUAUUAACUUGAAGAGUUAAUAAUUAUAGAAAUUAUUGUUCUAACUUAAUUAGUACAAGUGGUAUAAAGGUUAAGUGUGCACUAAAUCUGUUUAAAUUUUUUCCAGAAUAACUAACAGAGGUCAUUACUAGAAUUAUAAUUACUAGUCUAUUAGAUAGAAAAAAUUAUUUAUAUUGUUUUAUAUUUAUUAAAAAAUUUUAAAGUCAAUCUUUUUAAUUACUAUUUAAAAAAUAUUAUAAUUAAAAAAAUUUAAUGUCUUUAUUAAAAAUUUAAAAAUUUACAUGACCGUUCUAUAAAUAUUUAAAGUGUAACUGUCAUUUUCUCAUAUAUAUAUAUAUAAAUCACGGUGGUGAAGCUUUAUUUAAUAUUAAUGAUUUAAAUAAUAAUAUCUCAAUUAAAAAUGUACAGAGAAUAAAUUUCGGUGGGUAUAUUAGUCUUUUACAAUUAUCAUGAUUAGCCCUUCCUCUUGUAACGUAGGUCAGAAAAGUUUUAAAAUGCCUUGAUUUCAAUUUCUGCUUUAUAUUUUUCCCCGUAUAAUGGGGAGAGGUCAUUACUAAAAUUUCUCUUCCACAGCAAUUACAGCAGCUUCAGUUAAUCAAACUCAAAUCAAUUUUCUUUCUUAACAAAAUUCCAAAGAUGUGUAGCAUUUUUCAGAUCACAUGCGAUGGUGCUCUUUUCAAUCGUUGCUUGGAUUGCUUUCUCGGAAAAGCAGCAUACAUAAGCAACCUCCAAGAUAAUCUUGAUGCCUUGGACACUGAACUGGGAAGACUAAUCGCAGCAAAGAACGAUGUGAUGAUGAGGGUUGUCAAUGCUGAACGGCAACAAAUGAGAAGGCUGGACGGAGUGCAAGUGUGGGUUUCGAGGGUGGAUGCUGUUAAAACUGGAGCCGAUGAAUUGAUGAGGCACAGCUCUCAAGAAAUUGACAAAUUAUGUGUUGGAGGCUACUGUUCCAAGAACUGCAGGUCAAGCUACAAGUUCGGAAAACAAGUGGCUAAAAAGCUACAAGAUGUGAAGACUUUAAUCGCCGAGGGAGUUUUUGAGGCGGUGGCCACUGAGGUGGUGCCCGAGAGAGCUCCGGAACCUGUAGCAGAUAAAAGACCCAUUGAGCCAACAAUAGUAGGCUUGCAAUCACAGCUUGAAGAAGUUUGGAGAUGUCUUGUAGAAGAAUCAGUGGGAAUCAUUGGCCUAUAUGGUAUGGGCGGUGUUGGUAAAACCACACUAUUGACCCAUAUCAACAAUAAAUUUCUUGAGAGUCCCACAAACUUUGAUUGUGUGAUUUGGGUCGUAGUUUCAAAAGACCUGCGACUUGAAAAAAUUCAAGAAGAUAUUGGGAAGAAGAUAGGUCUAUCUGAUGAUUCAUGGAAGAAUAAAAGUUUUGAAGAGAAAGCUGUGGACAUCCUGCUGAGAUUAGGAGAGAAGAGAUUUGUAUUGUUGUUAGAUGAUUUAUGGGAGCGGGUUGAUUUAACAAAAGUGGGCGUUCCACUUCCCAGCGCACAAAAUACUACCUCAAAAGUCGUAUUCACAACCCGUUCCAUUGGUGUUUGUGGCAGCAUGAGAGCUAGGCCGGUUAAAGUGGCAUGCCUAUCAGAAAAGCAAGCUUGGGAACUGUUCCGCGAAAAUGUUGGGGAAGAAACUCUUGAGAGUGAUCAUGAGAUCGUUGAGCUAGCCCAAACUGUGGCCAAAGAGUGUGGUGGUUUGCCACUCGCACUUAUUACUAUUGGUCGAGCUAUGGCCUACAGAAAGAAAGCGGAGCAGUGGAGACGUGCAAUUGAAGAGUUAAGAAGAUCAGCUUCAGAGUUUGCAGGUUUGGGAAAAGAGGUGUAUCCUCUUUUAAAGUUUAGCUAUGAUAGUUUGCAGAAUGAUACAAUUAGAUCUUGUUUCUUGUAUUGUUGUUUAUAUCCUGAAGAUUAUGGCAUUCUUAAAUGGGACUUAAUUGAUUGUUGGAUUGGUGAGGGAUUUUUGGGGGAAUCUGACAGGUUUGGUGCAGAAAACCAAGGAUAUGACAUUUUGGACACUCUUGUUCGUGCAUGUUUAUUAGAAGAGGUGGAAGAUGAUAAAGUAAAAAUGCAUGAUGUUAUUCGUGAUAUGGCUCUAUGGAUAGCUUGUGAAAUUGAGAAGGAGAAGAGAAACUUUUUGGUUUGUGCAGGUGCUGGAUUAAAAGAGGCACCGGAUGUUAAAGGAUGGGAAAAUGUGAGAAGAUUGUCAUUGAUGCAAAACCAAAUUAAAACUCUGUCAGAGGUUCCUACAUGCCCUCAUCUCCAUACUCUAUUUCUUGACUUUAAUAAGGAGUUGGAGAUGAUCGCGGAUGGCUUCUUCCAAUUUAUGCCUUCUCUCAAAGUUUUGAAGAUGUCAAACUGCUGGAAUUUUCAAUUACCUGUUGGGAUGUCAGAGUUGGGUUCAUCACUAGAACUUCUUGAUAUUUCACAUACCCGAAUACAAGAGUUACCAGAAGAGUUAAAGUUGUUGGUAAAUCUGAAAUGUUUGAAUUUGAGGGGUACAGGCCAGUUAAAUAAAAUUCCACGGCAACUAAUAUCAAAAUUUUCAAGGUUACUUGUGUUGAGAAUGUUGGGUACUGGCCAGUUCAAUUUUCAUGAAGCACCAGAAGACAGCAUUUUAUUUGGUGGGGGCGAAGUUUUGAUACAGGAAUUGCUCGGUUUGAAAUAUUUAGAGGUAUUGGAGUUGACCUUGGGAAGUUAUCAUGCUCUCCAAAUUCUUUUGAACUCAAAUAAGUUAAAAAGUUGUAUUCGAUCCCUUUACCUCGAGUUGUUCACAGAUACAACGUCGAUUAUUGAUGCUACGGCUUUCGCAGAUCUAAACCACCUCAAUAAAUUAUAUAUUUAUAAAGGUUUUGAGUUGGAAGAAAUGAAGAUUGAUUAUAUGGAGAUAGUACGAAAAAGGCGGGAACCUUUUGUUUUCCACGGCCUUCACCGUGUUACUAUGGUUUUAUGCCAUAAAUUGAAAGAUGUGACAUUCCUCGUUUUUGCUCCAAACCUCAAGUCUCUUUUGCUAGUCGAUUGCUAUGCUAUGGAAGAAAUAAUCAGCGUCGGAAAAAUUUCUGAGACUCCUGAGAUGAUGGGACAUAUAAGCCCUUUUGAAAAUCUCCAAAUGCUUGAUUUGUCACGUUUGCCACAUUUGAAGAGCAUCUUCUGGAACCCAUUGCCUUUCACUCAUCUGAAAGAAAUGGCGGUACUUAUGUGCGAUCAGCUUAGAAAGCUUCCACUCGAUUCCAACAGUGCAAAGGAGCGUAAAUUUGUUAUUCGUGGAUACACAGAGUGGUGGAACCGACUUCAAUGGGAGGAUGAAGCCACUCAAAUUGCUUUUCGUUCCUGUUUCCAACCUCGUCCCUGAGCGGUGGUCGCAAAUUUUGAUUUCUGGUGAGUGCGUUCGUCUUUUAAAAGAAGAAUUUAAAAGAAAUUUAUUCUUGUCGUUUUCUUCUCUGUUUUUAUUUCAGUUUGUUUCUCUCUCUCUCUCUCUCUCUGUUUGUCUUCCGUAAAUCACAAUUAAAUGUUGAAUUAAUGGAAUUAAUGCUUCAUAAAUUUGCCGGCACUGCCGUUACUUUACUUUUUGCUGUCAAAUUUUGCCCUUUUUAUUUUUUAACAAGUUGAUACUUUAUUUAUAUCUUCUUAGCGAUUUAAUUUCCUGUCAAAAGACGAACGAGAAGAACAUAUGACUUAAACCAAUGCUCGAAUAAACUUGCUGUAAAAAGAUAUAAUCUCACUGAAAUGCACACGCCUAGAAUGAAUAGAAUUAAAAUAGGGAAAAUAUUAAGUAUAUUAGCCCUCUUUACCGAAAAUCAAAUGACAAUAAAUUUUUUGAAGUUUUGAUUUUCUAUGGUCAAUUCCACCUUUUGCAAUUUCUUCUGUUCUAACAAAAACCAAUUUCUAUGUUCAAGCAUUUUCGUUUGGAUAUUAAUAAUUCUCCACCGAAAGAGUGAACUCUUGGAUGCUGCUGCUCAAGGGAUCUCUAAUCAAUAGCCCGAAGGGCGCCGAGACCUGACCGGACCUACGCCCAAGUUUGGUCUUAAAGCCUGGGCUUGAGCCUGGCAAUUAAAUUAAAACAUUAAUUGAUUUCUUGAUUGAAUUGUCGUGUAAUUGAUUUAUGGGGGAUGACACAUCAACAUACUUGAAAAUACACUAAUCUCAGCAUCAUCGGUUAGUAACUUUUAGAUUUAUGGGUAAUCAAUAGUUAAGAUUAGUUGUCAUUAAUACUAAAUAAUUUUUACUUUUUUUGUCUCUUCUAGAGGAUCUUCUAGAAAAAUGCAUCCACAAGUAAAUUUAAUACUUUACAUAAUAAACAAAGCCUAAAUGUUAAAUUUAAGAAACUGCAUUGCAUUUCAGUUGAAGCUGACUUUAAUAUUUAGGGUAGAAAAAUAAUUAAUUUUAUUUUUUGAAAUGUCCAUAUUCAGAGCAAAUUUCAAAAAGACUCAAUAAUUUCUCAUAAAUUUCAAUUAAAAAUAUUCAAUUUGUUGUUUCAGUUCUUUUAUUUUUUAUUUUUUCCAACAUGAAAGCGACUUAAUGUUACUAAAUUGGUUUUAUGGUCUUUGGAUUUUCAUGACCCAAUAAUUGGAACAAAACAAUUUUCUCAAGCGCUCUCCCGCAACAUUUUAUAAUUGAAGCCGCGGCCCCGCCCGUGGUUCCAAACUUUAUCUUUCUCCCGCUCUUUAAAUUAAUGCGAGCAGCCUCCGUCCUUGACUAGUUGACUGCUUUUGUUCUUUUUUAUUAAUUAAUUAAUUAAUUAAUUAAUUCAGCCGCCCCCCUUUCUUGUCCCAAUGUCUUCUACUUUCGGUUUCCUUUUAUUAUCUCUUUAUUUUUAAAAUAUGCUUAUAGUAAUAAUAAAAUAUAAAAAUUAAAAUUAAAAUUAACAUAUUAAAAUAUAAUUUAUCAGAAAAUUAAGAUAGAGAAAUAUUAUAAGCACAUCAAUCAAAAAGUGAAAAAAAAAAUUUUAAUUUGCAUUAAAUAUAAACUUUCAGUGUUAAUCAAUUUUCUAAAUAACUGAAAUUAUUUUAAAAUAAAAAUAAAUUAUUCUUCCAAGAAAAAAAAUUACACCCACUCACUGGACUGGCUGUCAAGAGUCGCUUUAGGACUGAAGUUGGUAACUUUUGCAAGCAGUCUGAACUUGAAUGGCAGCAACCCACGCUUUCAGAUUUAUGGUUAAUCAAUAGCUGAGAGUUGUUAUCGCUAAGUGCAUCCGUUGCUAAUGUUUUUAAUGUUUUUUUCUCUCUCCUACAGCAUCUUCUAGGAAAGUGCAUCCGUUGCUAAAAUUUAGUAUUGUAAAUAAUAAACCAAGAAUAAAUAUUAAAUCUAAGAAACUGUAUUGCAUUUAAUAUUUAAGGGAGAAAAAGAAUUAUAGUGUCUUUAUUAAUCAGUAAUGAGAAAAGACUAGAGUAAUAAUAAAUUGUAUUGCUAUUAAUGUGUUUAUUUUAUUUUGUACUCAAAAUGAAUUAUUUUAAAUUAUUGAAAUACCUUUAUUGUUAUUCUAAUUAUUAUUAUUAUUAUUAUUAUUCAAUAUUUAUUAUAAUAUUUUAUUAUUAUUAUUAUUAUUAUUCAAUAUUUAUUAUAAUAUUUUUCAUAUUACUAAAAAGUAAUAAUAAUAAUGAUAAUAUUGGAAUUGUUGUUUUUUUAUAUUAUUAUUAUUAUUAUUCAAAACACUUCUUGUCAGCUCAUUCAUACGUGAAGACCAAAACCAAAUCUCUUCUUCUCCUUCUUUUCUUAUAGUGCAGGAUGUGUGUGCUCGGACUUCUCUCUCAUUCUUUUUUCUUUUUAGAUUUUGAAAACCUAAAAAAAAGAGUGUAGGAGUUUUUAUUUUCUUAAAACAAGACUUUUUGAAUUAUCCAAUUGAGUUAAAUUCUGUGGCAACUGGUAUUUACAUUUCUUGUUUAUUUCGCAAGUUAUUAUUGCCUAAUGCUAUGUCAACUCUAACAUUCGCAAUUUUUUUUUUGGUCCUCUUUUAACACCAAACAUUAGUGUAGGUUAAGUAACAUAAUCAGUACUGGGACAAUUUGAAAUCCCUUUGUGGCAGUGACAAUGAGAUCUCAUUUUAACCGAUAAAGUCUUUUGACUCUGUCAACUCAAAAAAAUAGAUUCAAAUGUUUUGUAAUAAAUAAAAAUAUAAUAUUAAAAUAAAUGUGACAAUAUAUAUUUUAAAUAAUUUCAAUACAAAAAACAUUUGAAUGUUUUAUAAUUUAUUAGACAUAUUUUAUUAUAUUAAUAUAAAUUUUCUAAGAAAUAUGGACAUAAUAUUAAAAUAAAUUUAUGAAAAAUUUAAAUUAUUUUGAAUGUAAAAACAUUUUAAUGUUUUAUAAUUUAUUAGACAUAUUUUAUUAUAUUAAUAUAAAUUUUCUAAGAAAUAUGGACAUAAUAUUAAAAUAAAUUUAUGAAAAUUUAAAUCAUUUUGAAUGUAAAAUAAUUUUAAUGUUUUAUAAUUUAUUAGACAUAUUUUAUUAUAUUAAUAUAAAUUUUCUAAGAAAUAUGGACAUAAUAUUAAAAUAAAUUUAUGAAAAUUUAAAUUAUUUUGAAUGUAAAAUAAUAUUAAUAUUAUUAAUCCAUUAGGUAUUAAUUAUAAAAAUUAUUUAACCCAAAGAUUUUUUAUAUCCUUACAAUAAAUAUAAAUAUAUUAUUUACAUUUAAAAAUUUAAAAAUUUAAAAAUAUUUAAAUAAUAUUAAUCUACAAUUAUAUUUUCAUUUAUUAUAAAUAUUUAAAGUCAAAUCUUUUGCACUUCUAUUUUAUUACAAUUAUGGCGCACAAAGAAAGAGCCAUAUAUGAUUUAUAGCGUUAGAAAUUGGUUUAUUUUAAAGCUGGAAACAGAGAGGAUGAUUAGUAUAAGGAUAAAAGAAAAAGGGAUAAAGAAUAUUAAUGAUUAACAAAAUCUCUCUGCAAAUUGAUUGCAGUAGAAAAAAAGUGAGCUGAACAAUCUAGACAUUUAGUGGUAGAGUGAUAUUUCAUUUGUAGCAAAGUACAUCUCAAGGUUAAGGGAAAAGACUUAAGAUCUCGCUUUUGAUUAUAAUACUUUUUUUUAAAGAAAAAAAUUAAUUUUAAUAUUUUAUAAUAAAUAAAAAUAUAAUCUUAAAAUAAAUAUAAUAGUACAUAUUUUAAAAUAAUCUCAUUAUUUAAAAUUGUUUUAAUAUUUUGUAAUUUGCCAGAAAAAUUUUAUUAUUUUCAAGUAAAUUUUAUAAUAAAUACAAACACACUAUUAAGAUAAAUAUAUGAAAAAAUUAAAGUAUUUUGAAUAUUAUACAAAAUAAUUUUAAUAUUGUUAAUAGUGAGAUAAUUCUAUUAAUUUAAAAUGCUACUUAACCUUAAGAUUUAUUUAUGAUAAAUUAAUAAUUACAUUUUUAAAUUAUUUCAAAUAUUAAAAAUAUUUUAAUAUUACUUAUCUAUUAGAUAGACUAAAUUAUUUAAAUUAUUUUGUAUAAAUUAAUUACUAUUUAAAGGAUAUUAUGAUAAAAAGAUCUUAGUGUUUUUAUUAAAAAUUUAAAAUUUACAUGACUAUUUCUUUAAAUAUUUAGGGCAUAUAUGAACCACGGAGGAGAAAAGCUUUAUUUAAUAUUUUAGAAUAGUUUUUGAUCAGUACAAUUGGGUCCUUAUUCAGAAUUAUUGUUCUCUUCCGCAACAGUUUUUGUUUAUCAAAGUCAUCAAUUAAAAUUUUAGAAUUCUUAUCAUCAGAAGUAGUCGUUUUAGAAGUUGGGUCUUGGAUCAAAUUUCUACGAGUGCAUGAAUUAACAAUAAAAAAAUUUCAUUACACACGGUUUAAGCUACAAAACUACUAUUUGCACAGUUGACUAUAAAACUUACCUCCAAUUACACUAAACCUCUCUAUUUGGUAACGUUGAGACUAAAUUAAUUUUAUUAGCAUGAAAAGAUAAUAGAAAUAUAAUUAUAAAUACUAUUGUUGUUAAUCAAUUAGUACAUGUGAUAUAAAGGUUAAAUGUGCACUAUAUUUAAUAAUUAAUUAGUGGAGCAUGUUAAACAAAAUGUUAAUGUAUAUUUAUAUAGUGUUAGGAAUAUGCAAAGUCAAGUCCUCAAUUUGCAUUAUCCUGUAUAGAAUAUUACUCUAAAAAUGUUUUACUAUAAUUGGCUUAGAACAUUUGUAAAGAAAAUAAUAAUAAAAUAAUAAAUAACAUACACCGUCACAUAGCAUCUAGACAAUGAUAGAAAAUUAUUAAAGAGAGUGCAAACAAUUAAUUAGAGAUUUUUAUGAUGACUUUUAAUAUUCAUGAUAAUAACAAAUAAAUACAUGUAUCACUUUUUUAAAAUAUUAAAUUUGACGUGCUCCAUUAAUAAAUUAUUAUUGUAAUUCAGACUCUAUCUAUAUAUCCUUGCACUAAGAAUAAUUAAGGUGGCGUUUGUUUUUUUAACUUAAUGACUUAAAGUGACUUAACUUAAUUAAUUAAGUUAAUUAGAGGUGUUUGUUUUAUAACUUAAUGAGACUUUUUAGAUAAUUUUGACUUAAUAAAAUAAGCUAAUUUUUUUGACUUUUUACUUAAUGGAGAAAUCUGAAUUAAGUCAAUUACUUGCUAAUGUCAAAAAUAUCCUUGUUUUAUAAUUUAUUUUUCAUGUCUAUCCCAAAACUCACCCAUAGAUAUUUACCCCACAUAAAAAUAUCCCUGUUUUUUUCUUUCUUAUAUUAUAUACGAUAAAAUUUGAAAUUUAUAGUAUUUUAUAUAUUAAAAUUCUAAAAUAAUUAUGUAUUCACUUGAAUAUAGUUUUACUUAUAAAUGUUAAAAUAUGAUGGUAUUUAAUAUAUUAUUUAUUUGACAUUCAAAUUUAAUAAGGAUACAAAUGUAAAAGUACAUAUUUUCAGCUUUUUAAGUUGAAAAAAAACAACUUAAUACUUAUUUUCUGAGAUUCAGACGAAAAAAUAAACAUAUUAUUCAGAUUCAGACAUUCAGACCUAUUCAGAAUUCAAACUAAUUCAAAUCUAUUUAAAUUUUAGACAAAAAAAUAAACGCCACCUAAAUCAUAAUAAAAAUUUUCAUAACUACAUCUCGUUUCUUCCUCAUAAUAAUAAUUAGAUUGGUUCGAAUAUUAUAACAGAUUUAGUGUAUAGCCACAUCCAAUUUAAAUAUUGACCCAAUUGGGAUGGUCCCCAAAAAAAAAGAUUCGUUAAAGGAUAAUUCUAAUUAUUUUCACUUCUCAAACGUUAGUGGGACGUUUCUAUUAGCGCACUCGUAAGCCAAGUUGUCAAAUAUUUAUAUUAAACUACAAUUGCUGACAAGAAAAAUCAAGAUCGUGUUGCGCAAGUGGGUCCCGAAUAGGACGUGCCUAAAUCUCUCGUAAGCCAAGUUGUCAAAUGUUUAUAUUAAACUAACAAUUGCUGACUAGAAAAAUCAAGAUCGUAUUAAAAGUGGGUCCCGAAUAGAACGAGACUAAAUCUUUUUAAGAAUAUUAUCAUUUUAUUGAUAUACCAUGUCAGUAUUAAAAUUUAUUAAAAAAUAUAUUUUAUUAUUAAAAUUUUAUAUUGUUAUCAAUUCACUAUCAUAUUAUUUCGUUAAGAAAAAAUUAAUAUUUAACGAAAAUUGAGAUAAAAAUUAAUUUUUGUUCUCUGUCUUUAUUUAUUUAUUUAUUUAUUUGGAUCUUCUGCAAAUCACAAUCAAAUGUUGAAUUAUAAAUUUGCCGGCAUUCCUUUUUUUGUUUUUUUUGGGCCGGGGGUGGUGUUGAAUUGAUGCUCUGAUUUUUGACUUUUUGUUGUCAAAUUUUACUCUGUUUUUUCAAAUUGAUGCUAGAAUAUUUGAAUCAAAUUAAUGCUCUAGUAAAUUUGUCCAGUUGCCGUAAAAAGAUAUAAUUACACUGAAAUGCACACCUAUGGAAUGAAUAGAAUUAAACAGAGAAAACAUUAAGUAUAAUAGCUGUCUUCACAGAAAAUCAUAUGAAAAUAAAUUUUUGAAGUUUUUGUUUUUCCGUGGUCAAUCAUACCCUUUAUAAUUUCUUCUGUUCUAACUACAAUAAAAUUUUUGGUCCAAGGAUUUUUAUUAGGGGUAUUAAUAAGAGUCCACCAAAAGAGUGAACACUUGGAUGCUGCUUGAAGGGUCUCUAAUCAAUAGCUGGAAGCAAUUGAGAAGGCGGUUGCUACUGUGAAUUCAAAUGUAAAAUAUUUGCUAUUCUUCGAUUUGGUUCAUGAUUUCGUAUGAAUAUCGUUGUUCCGUUGAGUUGCAUGCGAAUUCAAAUGCAAAAUAUUCUUCGAUUUUCAAUUUUGAAAUCAAAUUUUUUUUCCUUCUCAAGCAUGUUAUGCAGAAACGAUUUUUACUAAAUCAUUUUUGACAAACUAUUUAAAUUAAACCACUGGAAUAAGAAUUGUAAGGAUUUAUCGUAAGCUUACUAAUACGAUAAUUCUGAAACUAUCACCUUUUUUUUUUUUUUUGAUUUGUUGCAGGGAAACCCAAAUUUUGUAUUUUGUCAGUUUCAUCUGAUAUGGAAUUUAUUUCCUCCCUAAAGAUUUAUCAAACUGCUUCUCUUCCGUGCUUCAAAUAUCUUUAUGCAAUUACGAUCUCAUAGGAAAAGAGAGUUUGGGUUGUAUUUAUUAUAGUAUUUAUUUUUUAUUUUUUGUUAAAAGAAAUUUAUUUUAAAAUAGUUUAUAGCAACAGUUUUUAUUGAACAAUAAUGAGGAAGGAUUAUUAUAGGUUCAAAUAGUUGUUAGAACAUUAUAAAAAAGUCCAUUUACUAUCAAAUGUUUUAAAUUGGUGCAACCUGAUAGUUGUCUCAUAUAAUUUUUUUAGGGUAAAAACUCGUUUAAUUCCUAUAUUUUAAGAUUAGUACUCAUUUAGUCCUUAUAUUUUUAAAAAUGUCUCAAAACAUUCAUACCCUUAAAUUAUUAACAUCUCUGCUGUUACUUUUUAUUUCUUUUGACUUAUUUUUACAAUAUUGCUCUCUUACAAUAAUGUUUCUUUUUAUAAAAUUAAUAAAAAAAAAUUAAAUUAUCAAUUUAACCCCAAAAAUAAAAUAAAAAUAAAAAGAAUAAAUAUUAAUUUUUGUGAAAGCUUACAUGUGUCCAAAAUAAAUUUUAUUGUAAAAAUAAUUAAAUUGCCUUUUUUUUGGACAUUAGUAAUAAAAAAAUUAAUAUAUUAAUUCCUCAGCAGUGUGUUACAAAAAGUAAAAUAUAUUAAUUUUGUUUUUAUUUUAGACAAUGAGAUAGAGAAAAGUACAAGAUAAAGGAAAGGACUUCAAAACUCACUGUUCAUCAUAAUGCCCUUUGUCUUUAAAAAAAAAAUCAUUCUAAUAUUUUAUAACACAUAAAAUAUAAUCCUAAGAUAAAUAUAAUAAUACAUAUUUUUAACUAAUCUCGAUAUUUAAAAUAUGUUUUAAUAUUUUAUAAUCUAUCAGACAUAUUUUAUUAUAUUAAAGUAAAAUUUAUAAUAAAUACAAACAUAUUAUUAAAAUAAAUAUAUAAAAAAUAUUUAUUUUUUAUAUGUUUACACUGAGGACUCUCUUUAAUUCAUUUAUUUUCUCUCUCUCCAAACAGGUACUGUCUUCAGAUAGCAAUGCUAUGAUAGUAAUCCAAUUCUCUUCUCCCCCACCUGAGCGAGAUUUGAAUUUGAAUCCCUUGUUUUUCACCCACUCUGUUUUUUUUCACGCAAGAUUUGACAAUUUGAGUUAAAAAAUAUGGUCCAAAACUUGAACACGUAUCUUUUAAUUGUAAUAAAAGUUCUUUAAGCUUUGGAGAUGGCAUAUAUAUGGCUGGAAGUGUCCUUUUCUUUGACCUAGAGGCAGCACCAAGCUAUCCAGCAUCAUCAUUUUUCAAGUGGGUCUUAAAUGCCUAGAAACGUUGGUGUUUCUUGAUUUAAAGAUGACACAUGCUAUAAGUGUGAAUGGUUUGGCUAAGCCUAAAUUUAAAGUCUACUCAAGUCGCAUUCAGGAUCAUGGAAAUUGGAAAGGGAGAGAUGAUAGCAAGAUUUAUAAUAAACAAUUAACUUGGGUCCUCAGUGUACAAAGCAAAUGCCACGCAAGCGAUAGCCGGCCCGGCCCAGAAAACCCAGUGGCCAUCCCAGAGAUGGCCUCCUCUAACGAGUGCUGGGCCCAAACAUCUUGCCGGGUUGAACCCAGCUCCGGCAUAGCCCUUUUGAGCAGUAACAGUUGUCGAGACAAAAACCAGAAGACCCAACACUGUUCCAAUGACAAUGCAUACGGUAACUCUGCCAAGAGCCUUGGCUUGUCUGGAGUCAAAAGCCAUCCACACAGAAGCAAAAAGGAACACAAACGAGCAAAUUAUCUCAAGCCAAAGGGCCUGCCUAGUCCCCAAGCCGAUCUCAAUAGGCCCAUCUGGCCCAGGUACCACAACAUUCAGGCUGCAGCCUCCAAGUUGUCAAAUAUUUAUAUUAAACUACAAUUGCUGACUAGAAAAAUCAAGAUCGUAUUACAAGUGGGUCCCGAAUUGGACGUGCCUAAAUCUUUUUAUAAUUUUCCCAGUGUAGCGGACACAGGUCAUUACUAAAUUUCUCUUCCACACGCCACAGCAGCUUCGGUUAAUCAAACUCAAUCAAUUUUCUUGGCUUCUCCGCUUAUCAAUAUUACAAGGUAUGGGUAGCAUUUUUCAAAUCACAUGCGCUGGUACUAUUUUCAAUCGUUGCUUAGAUUGCUUUCUUGGAAAAGCAGCAUACAUAAGUAACCUCCAAUUUAAUCUCGUUGCCUUGGAGACUGAACUAAGGAAACUAAUCGCAGCAAAGAACGAUGUGAUGACGGCGGUUGUCAAUGCUGAACGGCAACAAAUGAGAAGGCUGGACCAAGUGCAAGUGUGGGUUUCGAGGGCGGAUGCUGUUAAAACUGUUGAAAAAUUAUGUCUUAGAGGGUUCUGUUCCAGGAACUGCACGUCAAGCUACAAGUUCGGAAAACAAGUGGCUAAAAAGCUACGAGCUGUGGAGACUUUAAUCGCCGAAGGAGUUUUUGAGGCGGUGGCUACGGAGGUGGUGCCUGAGAGAGCUCCAGAGCCUGUAGCAGAUGAAAGACCUACCGGGCGAACAGUAGUAGGCUUGCAAUCACAACUUGAACAAGUCUGGAGAUGUCUUGCAGAAGAAUCAGCGGGAAUCAUUGGCCUAUAUGGUAUGGGCGGUGUUGGUAAAACUACACUAUUGACCCAUAUCAACAAUAAAUUUCUCGAGAGUCCAACCAACUUGAUUGUGUGAUUUGGGUAGUAGUUUCAAAAGACAUGCGACUUGAAAAAAUUCAAGAAGAUAUUGGGAAAAAGAUAGGUUUGGUUAGUGAUUCAUGGAAGAGUAGAAGUGUAGAGGAGAAAGCUCUCGACAUCUUCCGGAGUUUAAGAGAGAAGAGAAUUGUAUUGCUGUUAGAU